This 139997-nucleotide long non-coding RNA is filed under the name Oryza sativa (Asian cultivated rice). Its description in RNAcentral is "long non-coding RNA (OSAT_LNC001875)". The stretch from base 71020 to 71213 matches the Rfam family "MIR812 microRNA precursor family". The record is from RNAcentral. Lineage: Eukaryota; Viridiplantae; Streptophyta; Magnoliopsida; Poales; Poaceae.
GGAAGUUCUUCCAAUAAUCCGACACCUUUUGCCCCUUUUGAUGGUCCUCCUGUUGAUAUCUUGCCUAACAGGGAAUUCAUGCUAUAUGGACGAUCUGCCAAUAGUCCCCCAUAUGGAGGGCCUCCUAAUGAUCCACCAUAUGGAAGACCUGCCAUUGAUCCACCAUAUGGAAGACCUGCCAUUGAUCCACCAUAUGGAAGACCAGCCAUUGAUCCACCAUAUAGAAGACCUGCCAAUGAUACAUCAUAUGGAGGGUUGAACAAUGAUGGGCCUCGUGAUCCUUACACUGCGUAUCCUGUAGAGUACUUCUCUAAAAGAGAGUACCCUAGUGGAAAUAGCAAAGUUACACCAUCUGCUUCAUACGACAGAUAUGCAGCAACUACUCGCUUGCCUAAUAGAGAACUGCCCUCAUCUAUUAGUCCUGGUGCCGAUUAUAUGUCCCGCCGUUCUUAUCUUGACCAAGUACCUACUGAUAGGUACUCUAGUAGGGGUACACUACAAUUAGGCCUCUCGAGAGCUGGGAAUAGUAAUGUGCAACAAUUAGGAAUCACCAGAGCUGGAAAUUCCAAUGCUUAUGAUUAUACCGAGGUACAUUUCCAAUGCGUUAGCUUGCCUCUUCUUUGCAAAUGGCCCUCGCCUGAUAUGUUUCCAUUAGAAACAUGAAACCAUAUAUAUGACUGUUGCAUUAUGUCUAUUUUCUUCCAUGAUGGUUCAGAUGUCUGAAAAAAGGACCAAAAUAUUCUAGAAUAUGUCAUGGUGAUCCAAAUAUAUCCUUCUGUCUUGUGCCCACUCUAAUAUCUAUCAUUGGUAACACUAUUCAAUUGUUACGAUGUUGUUGCAAACCCUAGAUUCAGUUAUUCAGCUGUUCUCUGCUGCUGUUGCUUACCAGUUUUCUUAGUUGGGUGUUGAUCUUUUCUCAUUUUUUAUUUCCUUGUUUCCUGGUUCACCUGAUGCCUCUCUGAUGCAUCUGAAUGUAUAUUUUUGUUCUCUUCAGUGCUUAAUAGAUUUGAAUUUCAUUCUUUUCAGGCCGCUGAGCAGAUCCAUGGACGUGAGGAUUACCGAAGACUGUCAGGUCUCACUGGGUAUGGCUUAUGCAAACUGAAUUUUUACAGGACACAAACGUGAAUUUUGUCCUCAUAAUCAUUGAGUGAUGAUCUCUUUGCAGGUAUCCAGGUGGCUCCGUCGAAUUUCGGAUUCCAAAUAGUUAUCUGGAAUCUGUCAUUGGAGCUGGUGGUGUCAAUCUAGCUGAGAUCCGUCAGGUAUAGCGUAUGCGAAACAUCACGCACUAUGCCCAGUCUUAACCAUGCCCCAAUGGCCUCCAAUAGUUUUCCUCAUGAAAAUCUCCCCUUGAUCCCAGAUCUCUGGCGCGAGAGUGAAGUUGCACGAAGCCCAUCCCGGUUCUUCCGAGUCCAUUGUGGAGAUCCAGGGCAUUCCGGAUCAAGUGAAAGCCGCACAGAGCCUUCUGCAAGGCUUCAUCGGCGCAAGCAGCAACAGCAGGCAGGCGCCCCAGUCCUCUCGCAUGGCCCAUUAUUUUUAGUAAGCUGGAGGACAUUCGCAACAGGGGGGUCACUGCACAGCUGAGUUUGUUCUUCAGUUCAACUGCAGAAAAUUGCGGAUCGGUUGCCAUAGUUGCUAGAACGGUACAUAGAUGCCACCUAACUGUAGUGAGCGGCAUAACUUUCAUAUUGUGUUUAUCGACUAUCUAGUUGAUUUUAGCGGCAAAAGCUGUACUGCCCAAUGUUGUCUCUCCUUUUGUUCAUGGAUUCAGACUUGUGACUUGAUUACUUGUAGUCCUUCAUGGAUCAGACUGGAGUAAAAAAAGAAAGAAGACAUGGGUUUAACAGGAAGCUCAAAACGGUGACAGUAGUAAAAUAAAAAGGGUUUGUUCACUUUAUUUCCAACAUCAACCUUACCAACAUUGGGCAAUACCAAAUCUUGGUGUUACCCAAUGUUGGUGGCAUUGAAUAUGCUAGUUAAUUUGGAAUCUCUCUGAAAUCUGGUAGUGUUUCUGAGAGGAAACUUCCGGAACAUCUAAAUUUUGGUAGGGUAAAGAUGUUGAAAGUACAAAUUUAGUUGGAGACCCUAUUAAAAUUUGGUAAGGUCGAAAGUGGUAACGGAGCGCAGCCCAAAAUGCUAUUAGCAGUGAAGCGGUGGAACUGGAAGCUUAUGCAGUUGGACAGAGGCUGCAAGCCCCCAACUGAGUGAUUAUGCCAUAACAAUUACUUAGCAUUAUCAGGGAAACUCAUUUUCCCAUCAAACUGAACCUGUAUUGAUUCUCUGACAACGAGUACGCUAGCAGCUGGUUCAACGCUGAAUACUACCCCAGUCCCCAAAUAUAAGUAAAUCACAUGCCCCAUUUGCGCUGAUAUUUACAUCAUCUAUAAAUAAACACAUACAUAAUAUAAAUGGUCUAGAACAUCAGGAGUACAAGUUAAAUAGUGACAACAAUCACCAGCAGUAAAUUGAAAGAGAAAAGGUCAAGUGCAAUGCACCGAAUCAAUCUGUCAUUCCCAGUGCUUUCAGGGAAAUCAGUCUUCAAGCCGCUUCAAAGUCUUAAAAAAAAAAAAGAAGUCUUCAGGCCGCUUCUUCUGCUCUGCAUCGAUGUACAAGGGAGCAGACCAAAACGAUGCAUCAAAUUGAGCUAGAAAACUCAAAACAACUAACAUAAGUGUUCUGAAAUCAUAUACAUCCAGAUCUCGUCGCUGUGGCAAACCUUCCACACGGAAAGAACAUGAUGCGUCUUCUCAAACCGCGGACAUACAUAGAUCACUUCACACAGGAACUGCAGAAGUUACAGGCAAUUCAGAGCUGAUUGAUUCCUUUCUCCAUCAAUGCAACAGGUCAACUGGAUAUCCACUGCAUGAAAAUUUCAAGCAAAGAAACAGUAGAAUAAGAAUUUUAUCUGUAGAUCUAGAACAGUACCAAAUAAACAUUCCCUUCACUCUCUGCCGAGAGAAAUUGUUAGGCAUUCUUCAACAGUGCAUUUAACACAAUUUUUUUAAAAAGAAAGAAAUGAUCUGUUCUUUGCAGACACAAAAUAUAACAUGGCCAAAGGAGCUUCCACUAGCAUUCAACUUCAUAGAUACAAUCAGUUAAUCAGAAUCAUUGCAACAACCCUUCUAUAUAAGAUUUACAGCUAUAAUCUGUAGGUCAAAGACCAUGCACCAAAAAACAUUGGCCUAUAGAGGCAAACAAAAGAUGCUGUCAUGUUUUCUGCACAUCACAUCUACUGAGAAGAUAAAUGGACAAGCCCUUGUAAACUAAUUUAAUUGCCAGCAAAAUGCAGUAAAAAUAAUCAGGGUUGCACUUCAUCAGGAGAUAGUUCCGUGAAAAGGAAGAAAGAGAACUGCCCGCAAGAAGACUAAAUUCAAAUAUAAAAACAUGAAUAUUUUAUAUUUCCUAGUAUGCAGAGUAGGACCAUAUGUAGAACAAUCAUAAUUUAAAGCAUGAGAUUUUAAACGUAAACAGAAGUCACCGACAUGAUUAUCAGCAAGAUAAUACAAUACCAAAAAAAGACCCCUAACCUAUCAUAAUAUAGGGCUGAGACUUGAAGUAGUGUAAACACACAAUAUCAACAUAAUCAAUAAAAGACCAAUAUGAUCACUUUAGGAUAGGUAAACCCCAGCCCUGCCUACCUGCCCUUUGUGAAGUAGCUUCCUAACUGUAGCAUUUAUCCAUUUUUCCUAGCAACCCCUGUUCUAUAACACUUCCAUUUACUUGUACAUCCAAUCAUCUGGCACUAAACCAUUAGCUGAGAGAGAAGCAAACAAAUCCUUGGCUUCAUCCUUUCUGCCAACUUCAAGCAACGCACCAAUCGUAAUGUUAAAGGUCCUAGUUUCAAGCUGCAACUCCAACAAACAUAGCUACUGAAACAAGCGAAGUGCAUCAUCAGUGAGAUUGUUUUUGCAAAGUCCUUGACGGAUUAUGUUGCACGUGCUAAGUUCAGUCUCUAUUCCUCUUUUAACAAUCCUGACGUAGAGCUCUUUCGCAGCAGCUAUUCUCCCUGUCUGAAACAAACCAUGCAGAAUUGUGUUGUACGUGAUAAUAUCAGGAAUAACACCAUUGCUCACCAUCUCUAUGAAAAGAACCAACGCGUCCUCCAUCCUACUACCUUUACAAUAUCCAUUAAUCAAACUGUGGUAAGUAACACAAUUAGGUUCCACCCCAACUGAGACCAUGCCAGGGAGUAAUUUCAUUGCUUCAUCCAUCUUACCGGCUGUUAACGACAAAAUUUGGUAAUAUCAGUAUCGGAAAAGGGGAUUAGGUUGAAGUGGAGACGGAGGCGGAGAUCGAUUCGAGAACCGAGCAAAAAUCGGCUGGAGUCCGAAUCGGCUACGAUCAGGAUCAGCUGGGUCCGAGUCAGACUGGGUAAGCCGAUACAGCCGAUUCCGACAAUAUGACUUGGUGUACAACAUCGGGUUGAGUUGAUAUGCUUCACGAUGAUUGCCGUGCAUGGAUAGAGUCCUGGGAAGGUAAUUGUAUCUAUUAAUUAGGAUAUUUUAUAUAAUUUCCUUAGAGAUAUGCUUGGGCAAAAGUCUGCCGCAAAGACUUAUGGUAUCUUAGAGUUUGUUAGGGAUAAGAGUCGUGUCCGGUAUGGACAUAUCUUGUAAUUCUCGGGUAUAAAUAGACCCGAACCCUAUGUAAUCGAUAACACACGUUCAAUAACAAUCUCAGCGCAUCGCCACCCUUUUUUGCUUUAGUUUUAUUUCGACGAGUUCUUGCUUUCGGGUUGAGCUGCAUCGGUUUCGAUCUUUAACAAGAGGUAAAACUUGUUAUGGCGGCUUGCGUUCUCGGGAUUAGUGCUUCCAUCUUUAUGACACUCUAAUCUUGUUUAUGUAAUUCGUCGAGUUAUCAUAUAUCUUACAUAAUCUUUGGCAAUAUCGUUAUCUAACCUCUAAUCGGCUAACGUCUGUUACUAGAAGGCAGCCGAUUAGGUUAAAUACCGACGUUGACUUAGAUUAUAUAGGAUAUCCACCACUCUAUGACAUAUCCAACGGCUUGAUUGUCUAGAUAUUAUCCUUCUUUUCAUACUUAUAGCUGCAUCAGUUGAGUUUGAUCUUAUGAGUCGUAAUUAGAAUCUCAAUCUCUAGUCUGUCUUUGGUUGCCGAUUAGGGUAGUAUCGGGGUUUCAGCCGAUCUUACCUGAUUUAACUACUUUUAUCCUAUAUGCUCGAUUGACAUGUUAAAUCUGCCCUUUAUAUUAAGAUAUUGCUGCAUUUAAGUAUAUUAGGCUUUUGUUUAGUAUAUUCUACUUGCUUUAAUAUCUUAAUAUAGAGUAGUAUCGGAGUAUCAACCGAUACAUGCUAGAUCCAUCUGAUCGGCUAUGCUAUGAACGUAUAUAAUCUCAUUAUUAAUAUAUAUUUCGAUCUAAGUGAUUCAUACUGUCUCGGCAUGGAGUCCGAUCUAUCCCAAUCACUUGAUUUAAGUAUAUAUCGAUAUAAGGACUAUAUAUUGUUAAUAUCUACAGCCGAUCGAAUAGAUUUAGUCCCUUCUUAUUUAUUAAUGACUGCCGAUCGAUGCACAUAUGACAUCGGCUCAAAGAUAAAUGAUAUGUCAUCGGCACCUAGCCGAUCGUCUAUCGUUUAUGGAUUUAACCGCGGUUUCUUUGUCUUUGUUUCUUGUUGAUUGCAGGAUCAAAUCAAUUGGCACGCUAAGCAUACCCGAAGGCGAGUUUUGGACCUGCACUGGAGUUAAGCAGAUCUCCCAGGCCUCGUGUUUUACGUCAACACCGGCUAGGCAAUAUCCACUGAUGAGUGCAUUGUAUGUAAUGACAUCAGGCUUAACACCAGUAUGUGCCAUCAAGUCAAAGAGUUUUUCAGAUUCUAUAACUCUCCCUUCUUUGCAAAAAUUAUAAAUUAUUCUACUAAAGAAAAUGGUGUCUGGACAGAUGCCUUGAUCCAACAUUUAAAAAAUUAACUCCUCAGCCUUCUCCCAUUUGUCACAGGUACAAAAACCAUGAAUUAGGGGGGUAUAUACAAUGAUGUCAGGGGUUAGUCCUUCAUUGAUCAUCUGCUUUAAGGUAAGCACUGCAUCGUAUACUCUGCCUAGCUUGCAGAGUACAUCUAUGACUGUUCUGUAGUUCACUGCAUUCGGACUCAAUCCUUGCUGCCUCAUUUUGCUGAAUACAAGCAUCGCCUCAUCUACUUUUUCUUGUUUAGCGUAUGCACAUAUUAGAAUGUUGAAUACAUGAUGAUUAGGUUGGAUACCGUUCCAUACCAUCAAAUCCAGGAGAUCAUGCAUCUCAACAAGGGCUCCUUUGGUAGCAUACCCCUGAAGCAGGGUACAAUAGGUAGUAAUAUCAGGCUUUAGGCCACACUUGGUCAUAGAAUUGAAAAUCUUUCUAGCUUCCGUGCAUCUUCUGUUCUUGCAAAGAUAAUCCAUCAGCAAGUUACAAGUAACAACAUCUGGUUCGACACCAUCACUGCACAUCAUUUUGAGAAAUCCAAUAGCCUCUGUCAACUGCCCUGAAGAGCAAUAUCCGUGCACAAUACUAUUAUAUGUCCUGCAAUUAGGCAUGACACCAUUCUUAACCAUGGUGUUAAGUACCUCCAUGGCCUUGUCCAUAGCUUGAGCCUUGCAUAAGGCAGCGAUAAUAGAGCUGUAAGUCACAACAUCUGGCAAAAUCCCCUGGUCAAACAUUUCAUGGUAUGUAGCGUAAGCUUUGUCCGGAUCCCCCUCUUUGAAGAAGCCAUUGAUGACGGUGUUGUACAACACCACAUCAGGUGGGCAGUCACCUCCAUCAUCAGGCAUCAUUUGGAGCAGCUCGAGAGCUUCUUGGCUUCUGUUCUCAUCACACAGACCCUUGAGAAGAAUGGUGCAGGAGAAGACAUUUGGUAUGCAGCCGAGCUGGGUCAUUCUGCAGAGCACUAUGUCCAUUGCGUCGCUCGUCCUCUUGUCGGCACAGAGGCCCUUGAGCAGAGGAGUGAAGGUGAUGGCUUCCACUCUAAAUCCCUUCUUAAUGACAUUGCCCAAGGCCGCGAAACCGAGGUCCAAGCGGCCCGCCCGGCAGCAGCAACCGAUGAGAACGCUGUAGGUGUACAAGUUGGGAGUUACCUCGUCGGCGCCGGCUCGGGCCAUGCGGUUGUAGCGGGACACGGCGGCCGCGGGGCUGUGACGCGCGACGUCGUCGAGGGCGCGGUUCAAGCCGUAGAUCGUGGCGCCCUUGCCACGCCGAAGCAAUUCGUCGAACACGUGGCGUGCGUCCUCGGCGCCAUUGCCCCCCGCGCGGCCCCCUCGCCCUUGGAUCGAGCCCUCCGAGCCAACAGCGCGGGAAGCGGCGCGGCGCGCCAUGCCCGCCCUAGCUGACAGGUGCAGCAGCAGCAGCAGCAGCAGCGGCGGCUGCGAGGCCUGACUCCCACACACAGGCACACGUGCCCAGUGCGAAGCUCGCCGAUCCGCGCCGUCCUCUGAUCUGCGCCGCCCAGAUCGAGGCCGCCGCGGGCGCCUGGGGAAUCUCAACCCAACCCCAGCCCCAGCAGGAAUCUCAACGUGACACCUCCCCCGGUGACGCGGCGAAGCAAAUCCUCUUCCUCCUCACUAGGAGUAUGCCCGUGCUAACGCUACGGUGACAACUAAUAUUACAAAUGAAACAACCAAAUGACAGCGACACAAUAUAUGCUUCAUCAAUGGUACAUAGAACAGAUAGUUAGGAAAAGAGCGAUAGAGUUAUUAGAAAAAAAUUAAUCAACAUGCAUCCACAAUAUCAUCUAAGAACAAGCCGUCCCUUGCUAUGCUAUAAUAAAGUACAGGUAUUGCUCCUCUCAAAUACACAAAAUAAUAAAUAUCUAAAAUUAGCUUGACUUAAGCCAUCCAUUUCGCCUCCUUCUGCAGCAUCUCUUCGGUCUGAACAAGUAAUUCGUUCGCCGCCGAUGACAUGGCGGCCGCCGGAGGGAAGAGAUCGGGGCGGCGGCGUUGGAGUGCUUUGCGGCGAAGGAAAGGAAAGAAAAAAGGAAAAAGUAUGAAUUACCCCCUGAACUUUUGCGGUCGACCGAAUUACACCCCCGAACCCGAAAACCAGACAUUUUUCAUCCCAAACUUUCAAUACCGGACGAAUUACCCCCUCGAUCCAAUCCAGAGCGGUUUUGUCCUACGUGGCGUACACGUAGCAAUCCAGUCAGCAUUUUCUUUUUUUUUUUAAAAAAAGUGGGACCCACAUGUCAUACGAAGCCCCUCUUACUCUCUCUCUUCACUCUCUCUCUCUCUCUCAAAGGGCAGUGGCAGGAGGUGGGGGCGGCCGAGCAGUGGCCCACCUCCGCCGCCGCCGUCUUCAUCAUCCCCUCCUCCGCCAUCGCGACCUCCGCCACCCCCACGCCGACGAGCACACCGCCCGCCGCCGCGCCGACUUCCUCGCCGCCAACCGCGCCUGUCGCGCCCGCCGUUGCCGGUCGCGCCGCCGCCCACCUCCUGCCACCGCGCUGUGUGAGAGAGAGAGAGUGAAGAGAGAGAGGAUGAGGGAAUCCGUAUGACAUGUGGGUCCCACAAUUAAAAAAAAAGAAAAUGCUGCUGGAUUGCCACGUGUACGCCACGUAGGACAAAAUCGUUCUGGAUUGGAUCGAGGGGGUAAUUCGUCCGGUAUUAAAAGUUCGGGGUGAACAAUGUCUGGUUUUCGGGUUCGCGGGUGUAAUUCGAUCGACCGCACAAGUUCAGGGGGGUAAUUCGUACUUUUUCCAAAAAAAAAGAGGAGAAAAAAAUUGGGGGAAGUUGGAAGCCGUCGCGGUAGGAGUAGUCAGUCGUUUGUGUUGUGUGAUCUUCUAAUCUAUCUAUCUAUCUACCCUAUAAUUCACCAACUCACUCUUACACCUACGUUACUCAUUCAUCAAAUCCAACGGACCAGAAUAUCUCCCGAUCAUCUAACGGUCCAGAUCACUCCUCCUCCCCCGCGUGCGUGUUCUCUCCCCAAAACCCGCUCCCCUCGCCGCCUCGCCCGCUCGCUCCCUCCUUCGCCCAACCGGCGUGCCUCCCCCACGUACUCCCCCGAGCAAACCCUAAUCAUCGCACUGCCUCUCCGGCGCCUCCAUCCCCUCCUCCUCGCCGUACUGCCUUCACAUCGUCGCCGUCGCUCCUCCUCCCCCUACUGCAUUCCUCUUGCGGCCGUCACCAACGCACUCUCCACCAAAUCCCUAUUGCUCAAAGGACGAACAAAAAGAAUUAGAGCGAACAAAAAGAAUUAGAGAGAUGGGGAUUGGAAUCAAGAGACAGAUCAGUAAGGACCGACAAGCCAGAUUCGUCGACAGAUCACAACCGAUUUUUGGGUUUGAUGUCUUCCAUUUGAUUUUUGGCGCUCCUCCCUCCUUGCUCCGAUCUGGCCUAAGUGUUGCCGCCCGAUUUUCGCGGUCGAUCCCGGCACCAGCCCCUUCCUCCGGCCGUGUGUGAGUCCGACAUUCCAAGUCCCCGCGGUCGGAUUUCUCAACCCCGGCAUCGGCCUCGCACUGCAACAAGGUAAGUUAUUAUUGGGAUGUUUAUAUCUGAAAAUUCAGAUAAUUUCUUUUGAACUUCAUUAAUUGCUUGGUCAGCAACAUAGCCCAGGAAACCAAUUAAAUUGAUACACAUGUUGUGUGCUCUCUUUAGAGAUCACCAUCCAAAUUGACAUCCAAAUUAAAAAGAAGAAUUUAAUUAUCUAAAUCAUGAUGCCAAUAUUGAGAGCUUCUUUUACUUUCCGUUGUAUACAUUAUUCUGUGAUGUGUACCGAAGGUUAUAUACCUCAAUUCUGGAAUUGUGCUCUAUUGAACCACUUGUAUUCAUACUGUAGUUUACCUUGUGUCGUUUAAGUUUGUCUUUGCAUAUAUUAAUGAAUGGCAUGCUUGCACACACACGGAAAGUUCUGAUUUGUGCAUGCAGUGACAAUUUUUCCCUUUAAAAAGUCAAAUUUGGUUUACAUUUUUAUUCAUGACACCUAAAUAUGUAAAAUGUCGUGCAUUAGUAAUGUGCAAGCACUUUCGAUGUAUUGUCUAAACUCUAAAGGAACAACUUACCAGUUUAUUAGUGAAUUCCGGUUGCCACAGAGCAUGCAAGCCUAGAUGAGUACAUGGAGAAAUGGUUUGGACUGGAUCAAUACUGGGCAUGCAACAAAUUACUGCGACAGCACGGGCAAAGGUUAAUUAAGCUUGCCUUGCGUUCUUUACUGAAUGGUUUAUGCAUCUGUUUAGGUUUUAUGAUUACAAUUUUGAGUUUGCAAAUGUUUCAGUAGUUUUACUCAAUGCCCUGUAACCAAUCAUGUAUUUGAUCCAAUUUAGUAAUUUACGCAAUUGAGUUUAGAAUAGUUUCACAAAUCAAUUCGGAGUCAAACUAUCAAUUGUUUUUGGUGUUUCAGGUCUUCAGACUGAAGUUUCAAAGUAGCUUCAUCAAAUUUUUGAAAGCUUUCAGAGUGAUUGUGGAGGUAGCCAUCUUUGCCCUCCUUGUUUCAGGAUUGAGUAUAUGAGAGACUGAAGUGAAGGAGGAUUUGUGCAUGAAAAAUAUUGCAGAAUUACUUAGUAUAGAAUUACAUACAUAGUAAUAAAAUUCUCUAAAAGAUAAGAGUAAUCUGCUUCUCUCUUUCUUGCAGUAGCCUUUGGAACUAACACUACUAUCAAACGAUUAGCUCUACUAACUUUCUUCCUUGCAGGAGGCACAAUUAGCGGUGCAUCUCUCAUGCUCUGUGUUACUUCUUUUGAUAAGAUAAACUACAGUGAGAAAUUAUUUUCAUGAUAAAAUGUGCAAAAUUCCAUAUGUAGACUGUAUUUUGCUUCAUACUGUUUUGCAUGUUCAAGAAUUAAUUGUAUUGUUAUUUACUUCCUCAAGUCAUAGAAAAAUCCUUAUAUGAAAAAGGAAUAUGACAAAUUAAAGAAAGCGUGUUAUACAAGACCAUAUUCAUGCUUCUAUGUUAAUCUUGUCAAUAUUGGAAAGCCUGGAGGUUAGUGCUAACUAAUAUAAUGCCUUUUUCACUCUUACCGAGUUUUGUGCCCUUGCAUCUAUUAUAGAUUACCGAGAUAUACUGAACAAUCAGUAUUAGAGUUUGACCAGUUCAAAGGGCAGUGAUGUUGAUAUUCAAGGUAGAGUAUAUGGAAUUUUAUCUGCUUGCUAUCUUUGCUUUCCUGUUUGGCAUAAGCAUCUUUAAAUCAUUUUCUGCAGCAUGGCCUAAUUAAUAAUUUCUUUCGCUGAUCAGACAAGGAUUGAUUACCUCCACAUAAAAACGCAGACAAGUCUAGGCUUUAUGUGGAGUGCUCCAUGGUUACUGAUAACUCCAAUGCUAACAUAUCUUCUGAAGAUGUUGAUUUUUUGAAAUGUAAGGUAUAUUUCAGUCCCCUUAGCUCUCCGAGAUAUGUUGUAUGGCACAGUGAAAAAGCAUCUGAUGAACUCACUUCAGAUUGUUUAUUUUCAAGAUAGCUGAACGCCUGAACCUUCAACUAGACUCAAGUAUGAGUCUGUAGUAGGUUUCAAAAGUGAAGGUUUUAUUAUAGACUAGAAAGAGUUACUUCUUAUUUUACAGUAUUCUGCUUUGAUUGGUAUAUAUUUUCCAGUGCAACAGAAAAGUGCCUCAAACCACAAUGUGUUUUGUAUAUAUAUAGCUGCAGCUUUGAUUUGAGACAUUGGAGAGUCAUGAUAGUUUGAUCAUUAACCACAUUUUAAAAAUGUAAAAUGUAUAAAAUAUACAACAUUGUAAUUUUACCCCUUGUGACGCGGGUUCCACGUGCACACAAAUGGUUUCUCUUUGUUUAUUUGCAUAUUCCACAUAAGUCCUCCAUAUUUAGUGAUUCAUUGGUUCAUAAAUUACAAUAUAAAUGCAGAAACUUUAGUCAUAUAUGUGCAUAUAAUUGUAAGUGAAAUGACAAGACAUGUAAUUUUUUGGGCAAAAUUUAGCUAUAUCGGCUGUUUCCCGUUGUUUAUUUCUACACAUAGAUGAAAACACCGAUCAACUGACUUUGAUUACGAAUGUAUUAAAUGAGCGUCAAUUUUAGUUCAGAGGUUCAUUCGUUAGUCAUCCAAGAGAGUCCACCUUGCUUAUCACAGAAGUUUAUCUUCAAGUUAUGAAAUGACCAAUAUUCUUUUUUGUGUAAAUACAAAUAACUACAGUGAUAAUAUACAUUUUGGUUGUUUUGUAGCCUUGUCCAGAUAAUCAGGACCACAUCAAGCGGAAUGGAUGGCUUAAGUCAAGCUAAUUUUAGAUAUUUAUUAUUUUGUGUAUUUGAGAGGAGCAAUACCUGUACUUUAUAGCAUAGCAAGGGACGGCUUGUUCCUAGAUGGUAUUGUGGAUACAUGCUGAUUAAUUUUUUUCUAAUAACUCUAUCGCUCUUUUAGCCUAACUAUCUGUUCUAUGUACCAUUGAUGAAGCAUAUAUUGUGUCGCUGUUAUUUGGUUGUUUCAUUUGCAAUAUUAGUUGUCACCGUAGCGUUAGCACGGGUAUGCUACUAGUGAGGAGGAAGAGGAUUUGCUUCGCCGCGUCGGGGCGGGGGGGCGUCGCGUUGAGAUUCGUGCUGGGGUUGGGGUUGGGUCGGACAGUCCGUGCACCGCGUCCAUGUGUGACCGGUACUGGUACCAGCUCCAAAUCAUCUGUAGUGUUCGGAUGCCCCUUUUCCAUCCUCUAUACGAAAGUUGCUUAAAAAAUCAAAUUAAUCCAUUUUUUUAAAAAAAAUUAGCUAAUACUUCAUAUAGACAUAUAUAUGAAUCUAAACAUAUAUAUAUAUGUAUAGAUUCAUUAACAUCUAUAUGAACGUGGGCAAUGCUAGAAGUCUUAUAAUAUGAAAUGGAGGGAGUAGUACUUAAUUAAUCACGUGCUAAUGGACCACUCUGUUCUCCGCACGUACUGUUCCUAGUUGGGAACUAGCAACUGCGAACACACCCUCAAUUCAUACAAUAGUUAUAUGUAAAGGUAUAUCUUACACUAUUAAUAUCUGGUCACGCCUGUUAUACGCACAUUGCGUCGUGAAAUCUGUGUUGCAGCUGGCUACAAAUCUGUAGCCCGCUACUUAUCUCUCUCUUCUUUUAUCUACUCGAUAUGUGUUUAUAGCUGACUUAUAAUCUAAUAUUCUACCUGCUCUAAGGUGGUGUUUGAAACUAAUGAAGAUGAAGAUGAAGAUUAAAUAGAUGUAACGUAAAACGAGAAAUUCAUUAGCACAUAAUUGAUUAAGUUUAAGUUAUUACAAACUUGACAAAUUAUUAAUUGAAAAAAAUUCUAACGGAAAUCGAGAUAAAAUCUAAAUCUCUUUUGCUACAGCUAUGUAUCUAGGAUUUUUUUAUAAGCUGGAUAUUUCUAGCAACAUAAAUUCAUGAUAUAUAUCUAUGACUACCUUGAUAAUAUUUAGAUAAUUUAUUUUAUACACAUUUCAAAUAAUUUAAAUUUUAAAUCACAUUAAUGUAUAAACUUUAAAUUUACCGUGGAUGUGAAAUGGGAUAACUUUAGACGCACUUUUGGGUCAAAUUGACGUCCGUUUUCGGGUCGAAAGUUAUAGGAUGAUUUUUUUUUUUGAGAAUUACACAGUACAACGCAGACACUCACAACGCACGCACACUCAUCCCUAUGAAAGUACGCGUGCAAAUCCUACCCCUAUGAGCAUCUUCGAAGACUGGGCCGGCAAAUCAUCCUUGAAAUUGACGAAGUCUCCACAGACGCCUCGCUGUUGACCGGUAUGUCGUCUACCGCUGAAAGUACAAUGCCGUUAAAUACUGGAAAAUUCGCUCCCAUGGGGAGUCGAACCUAGGACCUAAGGUCCUACUGAGGCAUCCCGCGGUAGCGCGAUAACUGGUCGGUUUUGGGCCAAAUUUGUGCGACCAGGGUUUACCUUAUCGUUUGGGCCGGGGUUACCGUCACCCUGCGGUAGUGCGGUAACCGUCUAAAAUCGUACAAAAAUCACAUCCAAAAUUUCGAAUUCAGAACUUGGCGGUUUCGGGAUUUCACCGUGGUUACCGCACGGUUUACCACGAUAUUCGCACGGUUAUCGCGAGCUGUGUAGCUGAAAUCAUGUAAAUAAAAAAUAAAUAGGAAAAAAAUCGAAAAUACGGUUGAAUAUGUGUAGAAAACUAAAAAUUGAGAAUAAUUGGAAGAAUAUGUAGGAUACUUAAGGCCUAAUAUUGUCUUCCUUUUUCCAAUUUGUAAACUAUUUUCAGUUUUGUCCUUAAAUUUGAAUUUAGCUUACUCUAUUUCAAAAAAUUUCUUCACCAUUAGCAAGUACAAAUCAAGAACUAUAUCCAUGAUUUUUUUUCCAAUUUUUUUUUUCCAGAAUUUUGAAUUUGGUCAAAAUUCAUCUAAACCAUAUCGCCGGUUUCUCCUACCGUACCCCCGCGGUAAGCGCGAUAACCGCCGCGCGAUAAGUGAAACUGUGCGACACUACCGACCGAAUUUGUGCCAGGUUUAGGCAGAUUUUGGGACCACUUUGGGCCUAACUCACAGGUGCAUUUGGGCUGAAAUUACAAACACUGAUGGGAUGAAUUUACUCUCGUUAAAUUUGCCGGUAAUUAAACUGAGCAACAAUCAAGAGCACAUAUCAGCUAUGAGCCUAUCUGUUAACAACAUAUACUAUUCAGUUUCUCCGGUGCGGCACCAAAUAUUAGCUCAACAAUCUGUUACCCUAAUACUACUAAUCUUCAGGCGCAAAGCCAUGUUGUCCCCCCAACGCGAAAUCAGAGGGAAGCAAACGCGUAAUUUCUUCAGAAAUUACACCGAUUCACUCCUAUUACAGGACACUGAACUGCACGCCUCGUAUUAUAGGACACUCCUCUGGUAGCAAACGUCCAGCCUUGCAAGCACACCACCAUCCUCCCAUUAAUUUCUGAUAUCAAUCUGCCAAAAAACAUGCUUGUGAUCGAAACUAAUGCAUCAUCAAAUUAGUAGUAGUAGGAUGUGACUUCGAAUAUCCAAUUGAUAUCAUAAAAGAUAAACAAUUUAUCUACCCGAGAUAUGGACAUCUUGAUUAAAUGGAAAGUGCAAAGGACUAUCAAACAUAACUGGCAUUCAAACAUUUGAAAGCAAAAUGCCCAGCGUUUCAGUUACUUCCGUAUUGUAGGUUACUGUUUCAGCUUUCAAGCUAUUGACCCAGCAAUGUCAUGCCUGUAGCCUGCCUAUAAAACCAAAAUAAACUUUUCUGCAUGCAUUGUUGGCAUAAUCUAAACAAAAUUUCAGACUUUCCGUAGCAAUUUUGGAUGCAAUCAGCCAAAGGAUAUUUGAAGUCUAUACAUAUUAAAAGUAAGCAGCUUAUCCAAACCUGCUUAAUUAAUUUCAAAUUUACAGACAAGUGUCUGCAGAACAAACAUAAAAACUAAAAAGGACAUUUUGAGCGUUGCCUUCUUCUCUAACAACUAAUGGUUAGCUUGGAAGAAAGCUAGUAUUGCUAAUAUAUACAUGUAUACUUCAAGCUAGUAUGGAGUUUUAUGAAUUCAAAAACUGAAAAUGGACAGUUUUGCAUCGGCAAAAGUAAAUUUAAUAGCAUGCACCUCCUGACUGACAGCUAACCAAAUUUGAAAACAGGCACUAAAAACCAUUGGCCAAGAUUAUAUAGCAAUGCGUGGGAAUCAAUUUACACCGAGAAACAUGCUAACAUUUACACCAAAAACCGGUGGAAAACCUCUUGGAAAAGAGAAUAAAAAACAGGCACUUAAAAAAUAUAGCUUGGUGGCGACAUUGCUUCUAAGUUCUAACUGCCAAGACGUGUGUAUAUUUUAUAGUCUCUUGGUUAACAUGAACUAAAACAGACAUGAGGUGAUCUGCUUGCUAUUUACACAAACAGAGAAAAGAUACCUCCUCUAGUACAACUGUAGAGUGUAGUAGAAAAGAAUUCCAACUCAGAACUUCAAAGCUGCAAAAAGCUUCGAAGCAGUUCAAAGAUUCUAUAGAAGCCUCGUAUUUUUCAGGGAAAAACCUACGAUAUUCUUGAUAUUUGCUCCCAGACGAUUGGGGAAGAUUCUAACAAGAAGGAAGCAGUGGAUGCUUCGAGGGAGAAGUGCUUCUCAUCAAUCAUGAACAGGUAAGUGCCAGCCCUGGUUAUAUCACCCCUCUGUAACAGUUUCCUAACAAUGGAAUUUAGCAUGCGGGAGUCGGCGGAACAGCCAUUCUCCUCCAUUGAAAGAAAUAGAUCAUCCAAUUCUUCUAGCGACCCCUGCUCUAUAAGAUUUUCUGCCAUUAAACUGUAGGUCCUAACAUCUGGCACUAAACCGUUAGCCGAGUGAGCAGCAAACAAAUCCUUAGCUUCAUCCAUUCUUCCACAUUUAAGUAAGGCACCAAUCAUAAUGUUAAAAGUCCUAGUCUCCAGCUGUAAAUCCGUCAAACAUAGGUUCUGAAACAUUCGAAGUGCCUCGUCAGUGAGAUUGUUUUUGCAAAGUCCAUGAAGGAUUAUGUUGUACGUGCUAAGUUCAAGCUGUGUUCCACUUUUGGUAAUACUGACAUAGAGUUCUUUUGCAGCAGCAGUUCUUCUGGUAUGAAAUAAACCUUGCAGAAUUAUGUUAUACGUAAUAAUAUUAGGACUAACACCACUGCUCACCAUCUCUUUGAAAAGAGCUAAUGCGUCAUCCAUCCUGCUAACUCUACAGUAGCCAUUAAUCAAGGUGCCAUAGGUAACAAUAUCAGGUUUCACCCCAACUGAGACCAUGCUGGCAAGUAACUUCGUUGCUUCAUCCAUCUUACCAGCUAAGCAGCAUCCAUCGAUGAGUGUAUUGUACGUAAUGAUAUCGGGCUUCACACCAAUUCGUACCAUCAAGUCAAAGAGUUUUUCAGAUUCUAUAACCCUCCCUUCUUUGCAAUGACUGUCAAUUAUUGAAUUAAAGAAAAUAGUGUUCAGACAGAUGCCUCGAUCCAACAUUUCAAGAAUUAACUCUUCAGCCUUGUCCCAUUUGUCACAGGUGCACAGACCAUGAAUUAGGGAGGUAUACACAAUAAUGUUAGGGGUUAGUCCUUCAUCGAUCAUCUGCUCAAAAUAAAGCAUAGCAUCAUCUACACUGCCUGACUUGCAAAGUACAUCUAUAACUGUUCCAUAGCACACUACAUUCGGAUUCAAUCCAUGCUGCCUCAUUUUGCUGAAUACAAGCAUUGCCUGAUCUACUUUCUCUUGUUUAGCGUAUGCACAUAUUAGAAUGUUGAAUACAUGAUGAUCCGGUUGGAUACCAUUUCGUACCAUCAAAUCCAAGAGAGCAUGCAUCUCAACAAGGGCUCCUUUGGUAGCAUACCCCUGAAGCAGGGUACGAUAGGUAGCAAUAUCAGGCUCUAGGCCCCUCUUGGUCAUAGAAUCGAAAAUCUUUCUAGCUUCGGUGGAUCUUCCAUUCUUGCAAAGAUAAUUCAUCAGUGAACUAUAAGUAACAACAUUUGGUUCGACGCCAUCACUGCGCAUCUUUUUGAGUGUUCCAAUAGCCUCUUUUGGCUGCCCUGAAGAGCAAUAUCCAUGCAGAAUACUAUUAUAUGUCAUGCAAUCAGGCAUGACACCAUUCUUAACCAUGGUGUUAAGUACCUCCAUGGCUUUGUCCAUAGCUUGAGCCUUGCAUAACGCAGCAAUAAUAGAGCUGUAGGUCACAACAUCUGGUAAAAUCCCCCGGUCCAGCAUUUCAUGGUAUGUACUGUAAGCUUUGUCUGAAUCCCCCUCUUUGAAGAAGCCAUUGAGGACAGUGUUAUACGACACCACAUCAGGUGGGCUACCUCCUCCUCGAUCAUCAGCCAUCAUGUGCAGCAGCUCGAGAGCUUCUUGGCUUCUGUUCUCAUCACACAGACCCUUGAGAAGAUUAUUGUAGGAGAAGACAUCUGGUAUGCAGCCGAGCUCGGUCAUUCUGCGGAGCACUAUGUCCAUUGCGUCGCUCGUCCUCUUGUCGGCACAGAGGCCCUUGAGCAGAGGAGUGAAGGUGAUGGCAUCCACUCUAAAUCCCUUCUUGACGACAUUGCCCAAGGCCGCGAAACCGAGGUCCAAGCGGCCCGCACGGCAGCAGCAGCCGAUGAGGAUGGCAUAGGUGUGCACGGUGGGAGUUACCUUGCCGGCGCCGGCUCGGGCCAUGCGGUUGUAGCGGGACACGGCGGCCGCGGGGCUGUGACGCGCGACGUCGGCGAGGGCGCGGUUCAAGCCGUAGAUCGAGGCGCCCCUGCCACGCCGGAGCAAUUCGUCGAACACGUGGCGUGCGUCCUCGGCGCCACUGCCCCCCGCGCGGCCUCCUCGCCCUUGGAUCGAGCCCUCCGAGCGUGGGACGCCGCCGCCGCCACCGCCGCGCGGGCGGGUAGGGACGCGGCGCGCCAUGCCUGCCCCCGCGGGCGCCAGGCCUGACGGACAGCGGCGAACAGAUCAGCGCCGCCGCGGGCGCCAGGGGAAGGGAGGGGUGCCCUCACGUUUGAUGCUCGAGUGAGGGCAAUGCUUUUAUCCCUCACUCCCAUGUUACAGUACUAACAUUGAGGGGGUGUUUGCAUAGCAAGGGUGAGUUCUAUUUCUCCAACUCCAACUUCAGCUUCCUCGUUUUCCGUUAGCACGCUCUUCAAACUAUUAAAUGGUAUAUUUUUUUAAAAAAAAUAUCUAUAUAAAAGUUGUUUUAAAAAAGAAAAUAAAUCUAUUUUUUAAAAUUUAUAAUAGUUAAUAAUUAAUUAAUCAUGUGCUAAUAAGCUUUCUCGUUUUGCGUGCCAUAAAAAUUUGUCUCUAGUAGUUCACAUCAAACGGGGCCUAAAUUUUAGUCCUUGUCACUUUGGAAAUUUAGGCGCUAAUUAAGAGUAUUAAACAUAGACUAAUAAUAAAACUAAUUGUAUAAAUGAAAGCUAAUUAGCGAGACGAAUCUUUUAAAUUUAAUUAAUCCAUAAUUAGCAUAUGUUUACUGUAGCAUCACCCCCUGACUAUAUAUCCUCCCUCCGUUUCACGUUAUAUGAUGUUUUCCAGGUGGUGUUUAGAUCCAGGGACUAAAAAUUAGUCCCUGUCACAUCGGAUGUUUCGACACUAAUUAGAAGUAUUAAACGUAUACUAAUGACAAAACCCAUUCCAUGAUCCUGGACUAAUUCGUGAGAGGAACCUAUUGAGACUAAUUAAUCCAUGAUUUGCCUAAUCAAUGUUAUAGUAAACAUGUGCUAAUUGUGGAUUAAUUAGGCUUAAAAAAUUUGUCUUGUGGAUUAGCUCUCAUUUAUGCAAUUAGUUUUAUUAUUAGUCUAUGUUUAAUACUCCAAAUUAAUGUCCAAACAUCCGAUAUGUCAGAGACAAAAAAAAUUAGUCCCUCGAUCCAAACACAUAUAGUCUCUCCGUCUCAAAAUAAACCAACUUCUAAAGUUUAAAAUUUGUUCCAAAAUAAACAAUUUCUAACUUCUUACCUACCAUCCAUCUGUAAAAUCGAGAAGUUUUAUAUCUUCAAUAACCCCCACCUACCCACCCAUCAAUAUAACUUUGCUAUUAAUUAGGGGUACUUUGUUCCUUUGUUUAUCCUCUUAUAUCCACAUUGGACUUUUUGUGAGACAGAGAGAGUACAAUAUAAGAGAUUUUAAAGGAAUGUGACACAUUCUAGUACUACGAAUUUAAAUAGUGUCCAGAUUCGUAGUAAUGCGAUAUGUCAUAUCCUCUAAAAUCCCUUGUAUUAUGUGAUAGAGGAAGUGUAAAACAUAUGCAUAAAUCCACACGUAAAUCUAUUCAAAACUCAACACGAUUUAUAGUGCGAAAUAGGGGAAGUAAAAAAGAAUACACCAGUAUUAACAAACAUUUUCAUUAAAUCUAUAAUUAAAAUAGCUCUUAAUAACGUAUUUAUUUUAGUAUUGCAACGUUAAAUCAGUUAUUAAAUCCAUAAUUAAAAUAGGUCAUGAGAAUGUAUUUAUUUUGUAUUAUAAAUGUUAAUAUAUUUUUCUAUAAACGUGAUGUAAAAACCUUGUUAUAUUUAGAACAGAGGGAGUACCUAGCAAAAUCACAUAUUUUUGUGGAUCAUUCUCUAUUAUUUUUGUAAGUAUCCUCCUUUCAGUUAUUGUGCAGUUUGUAACUUCAAUAUCCCUAUGACAUCCUUCGCGGAAAAACGUCAGGAUGGUGUUCACUGACAAGUAGUACAAAAUUUGGCAAGAGAGAGAAAUACUGCUCAACAAUGGCACAUAUUAAUGGGGAUUGCAGGCGCGUGGCCUGUAUAUAUCAUAUUCAACAUUAUUAAUACGGACCAAAUGAUACAGGCUAUUGUCUAACCAACCUGACACCAAUCGAUAUUACACCACCUCACUUUGUAAGCAGUACACCAUAAAACGUAAUUCACAUAUGCGCAGUCUGAAGAAAAAUAAAAAGAGGCACACAAACAUGUUCUGCCACAUCCCAAAACCAUCUCUCAUUGAGGCCUGUAGUAGCUGCUCUGGUGAGGAGGGUAAGAACCCUGGGCAUUGUACGGUGGCUGAGGAUAUGGCGGCUGUGGCUGCGGCUGUGGCUGAUGUGGAUUGUAGUACUGCCCGCGCCAUCCUCCAGGAUAUGCUUGUUGGCCAUAGUCAUGGUUGGGAGGUUGCUGGUGUGGUGGCUGUUGGUAGUGACCAGGGUGGGGCGCGCCAUAAGGUGGCUGUUGCGACGGCGCACCAUAUGGAGGCUGUUGCGGUGGCGCGCCAUAGGGCGGGUAUGGCUGUGAGUAAGCAGGUCUUUGCUCGGGCUGAGAGUACCCGGGUCUUGAAUCGCCUCCGGGUGGAACACCAUAUGGGCCCUGAGCAUGGGGAGCAUGCGACGACGGUGGUGGUGGUGAUGGACUGUUCUGAUCUGGUGGCACAGAAGUAUUCCUCUGCAUGCUUGCUUGGCUGGAAGAAGAUGAGAAGCUGAAACCUGCUAGCUUCUUCUGCACAUCUUCGAUCAUUUCACGGCAUUGAAUGUUUCGGGUCAUUAUGAAGUCACUGCACUGCUGCUUUAUUUUGCCAAUUGCUUCCUGCACAAAAGGACCAUUUCAGGAUAUAAAUACAUAUACAGUGGUCCUCCUACAUACAAUGGUAACUGUCAUCAUAUAUAUCCUAACUACAGUAGAAACAGAGACGCGCAUUUACCUGUAAUGUCACAUAAAAAUUGAGGCCUUCAUUAAUGUUCUUCUUAAUAUCUCGGUAUUUAGCAACAGCCGCAGCAAUUUGCUUGUAACAUCUCUCACGAGCAACUGAAAACAUGCUUCACAAAUCAGGCCUACACAGCUCAUUGCUUACAAACCAGGAUACAUACUUAAAAACACUGAUUGUGGUACUAUUUACAUGAUAAAAUAAUUGUAAAUUAGAAUUAAAGAGACCAAGUUCCAGCAUCAAUGGUUCUUCAUAUCUUAAAUUGAACUAGAACUAGGAGGAGAAAAUGUAUUCAACGAAGAAACAUAAUUGAAUGGUUAACAGAGAAAAACACAUGCAUACAAACAACACAGCAUUCUGUUGUUUUAGCUAGCAGACAAUUUGAUGACUAGGUAUGUGUAUAUAUAAGUUCCCAACCUUAUUGGUAAGUGUAACAGAAAUAAUUAUCCCACAUCCAAAUCAUUAGUUGCUACCUAAGAAUGGGCAAAAAUCCAGCUAUCAAAGUCACUAAGCGCACAAUAUAAUCCAUUGAUGAAUAAAUCAGAAGGGAUACCUUUGUAAUCCUCUAGGUUGAACACCGCAGCAAACUGUUCAUUUUGUGCCUGUGCAGAAAUCCAAAAUAUAAAUAGUGUUAGACAUAAGGACGAAAGAACAUGAAAUACAGUAUAGUUAACUCUUCAAAAUAUUUUCUGGUUGUUCUUUCUUUGCUAAUACCAACUAAACCAUUGAUGCUAUUAGACGUUUAAAAAUUUCAAUAUAAUUACAUUUUUUGGGGGAUGUCUAUCUAGAUUUUAGCAGAAAGGUGUUUACAUUGAACUUCUAGAAUAAGAGAAUUGCAAAGGUGGACUAUAUCAAUCUUUAUCAGGAAUGGUGGCUUACCUGUAUUUGUAGCAGCAGUUGUUCUUGCGCCACAAUGUUAUCAGCUAUCUCAGCACAGACAGGAUCAUACUUUGAAAUCUCCUUCUUAAAAAGAUCAUCGUGUGAUCCAACACCGGCCAUCAAUUUAGGGAGUAUGUCAUCCUGAUAGAAAUAUUUGUAUGUCAUAAUUCUAAAUGAACAUGAUGGCAUCACAGGUUAUAUGUGUCACUAUCAGUCAUGAAUACAGAUAUUGAAUUCGACCGUUACAAGGUGCCAAGGACAAACAAACUUUGAAAAGAAAAUGCAAGACCUCCCUGAAAACUUGUCAAGUGGAAGUUAAACGGAGAGCACAUGUAUAGCUUUUAAUUGGUUCCUAGCAGGUUAUCACAUACACGUACAAGCAUAGGACUCCAAGAACACCACAUAUCAGGCAUGAACAUGAUCCAUCCAUAGUGAAGAUCAAUGGGCAACUGGUUGUAAACUAAUUUUAUUGCCAGUAAAAUGCAGUAAAAAAUAAUGAGUAACACUUCAGGAGAUAGGUCCAUACAAAGGAGAGAGGGGGGGGGGGGAUGAAGCGAUCGCAAGAAGACUAGGUUCAAAUGUAAAAAAAAAAAGAGUGAUGCUAUUUGUGGAAGGGCUUGUGAGCCCUUGGUUGCAUGGCUGGUUUUUUUCCUUCUUAAUGAAAUAAAGCAGCUCUCCUGCAUUCUAAAAAAAAAGUAAAAACAUGGAUAUUUCCCUAGUAUGCACAUACGACCAAAUGUAGAAGAAUCAGAAUAUUUGCAUGAGCUUUUAAACAUAAAACAAAAGUCAACUACAUGAUUAUCAACAAGCUAAUACUGAACAAAAGAAAUUCCUAAUCUGUCAUAACAUAUGUCUGGGACUUAUAGUAGUUUAUGUACACGAUAUCAAAAUAAGCAAUAAAAGAUAGUACCUUUCUCUUCAUUUCUUUAAGCAUGUCUUCAAGACCUGCUCUCUGUGCUCCUAGAGAUUCUAGUUGCCUCUGUAAAAGCACAUCAAAUUGGUUUUUAAGUUUUAAAACAAGUGAAGCUUUACAUCAAACUUGCCAGCUAACAAAAACAAUGUAGAUUACCAAGCUUUGUUUAAGGGCUCCAACAAUAGCAUCCUCAUUCCCAUCCAAGGACAUAAUAGGCCUAGAAAUACUCGGUAGUGCAGACUCUAUCUGCAAUAUAUAAUAGCAAUAUGUAACAGACCAAAUAUGAAAAAAAAAAGAGUGUAGGAUUGAAUAACAUCAUUGAAAUUCAUAAUGAAGCAUAUCAAGAAAGACAAGUUGAAGAAAAAAAAAACAAGAACACUAUCUAGUAUAAUGUAUUUUUAACUCUCACCGGUCUUCUGUCAAGAAUAGAUAUCAAUGGAUAGCUCUCCUUCAAACCUCGCUCAAUCUGAGAAUCACUAUCACCAGCUGUCUUAAGAUUAGAAGCAAACAGAUUCAAUCGGUCUUGAAUGUUUUUUGUUAGGGUGCUAGAUUGAGGUCUAGUCCAACGACUCCCGAAUUGCGUCCGAAACUGAGCAUCUUCAUUCGCCUCCUUCUGCAGCAUCUCUUCGGUCUGAACAAGUAAUUCCUGAUUGACUCUGCUUAAAUCCCUAAGCUGCUGCAACUCCGCUUCCAAUCCAGCAGGGCCUCCGCUUAUCUGAACAGCCUCAACGUCUUCCUUCAAAUCUAAAGGUAAGGUGAUAUUACCUUCUAAUGAAAGAAUGGAAUCGGGCAAGUCCAUUUCCUUCAACCUAACUCUAGUGAUCUCACUAGCUUGCUGUAAUUUCUCCGCUUGAGUCCUGAUGAUGUUAUCUACCAUCUCAGUGUACUUGGAAAGUGCUUUCAUGCUUCCAUCAGGCACAAGUGAUGAAAAAAGCCUCUCUUUGCUAGCAUCUAGAACUUCAGCCAAAGAUGUAGGCUUUACAAGUGAUGCUGCAGGGAGCGCGCCAAGAGAACUAGCAUCCGGAACCCUCAUCAGAUAAACACGGUCAUUCUCUUUCAUAGCCCUCUCCAAGUUGGUCUUCAUAUUACUCUCCAGCUUAUUAACAGAAUCAAGAAGUGGGGCAGCAACUCCCCUGGCCACCUUCUUGGCAUCUGCCAAAGCGCUAAUUCCAAUCUUCAGACGUGCAAUUUCCUGUGCAAUUUCUUCUUUCUCGUGAAGAUCCAAAGAACACCUAUAGCAAGCAUCAGCAUAGAACUGAGCUGCCUUCAGCUGGACAUGAGAAACCCAUGUCUUAUCAAAGUGCUGACUGAGAGGAGCUGCGCUAAGAGCUGCAUAGGCUUCUUCAUAGAAUAUGCCCACCUGAAAAAGGGACAUCCACAAAUCAAUCCAAUAGCACAUCUGACACCAAUAUUACAAAAAGGUGAAGAAAUAUUUGUAUCUUGAAUGUUUGUAAAAGCAGUAAACCCUGCAAAUUGUACUUUAUUUAAUCAAAUAAACUGCAAGACCUAAUCUAGCUUCUAUUUACCACCAGGAGAGACACAUGAAUGCUACCAAAUCAAUCAUAUUGUAACCAGUCAGUUUCAUUUAAAAUAUGAUCACUCCAUGGGAUGAUGCCACAACUCAAGUUUAUCAUGCUAUCAAGACAGACUUCAUGCCCAAUGGUUCACCAAUCACCAUAGCAAAGUCCAAUUAUUAUUAUCAACACUAAAGAUAGCAUCUAAAGGAGCACUUAUUUAGACAAAUUCCCAAAACUACAAGUUGCUAUGUUAAGUCACCUGUGGAUGGUAAUUACAGACAGUAUCCCCAUCAAACGACUCCACAAAAAGCAUUCCAAAAUACUAGCCACAUAAAUCGAAAUAAGCUCCCUCACUACAUUAUUAUCAGCUCAUAUCAUCGAAAUAACCUGAACAAGAGGAGGCAGAGCAAGAAGAGGCUCACCUGCCGGGCAACCUUGGAGCACAGCGCGGGCGGCUUCCCACCGGCUAUCACCUUCUCGAAGAAGCACUCCUGCGCCUGCGCGAGCAUGAGCUUCUCCAGCAUGGCGGCGCACUCGGGGGUGACGUCGACGGUGGUGGCCCCGGCCGCGACGGCCUUGGCGGCGACGCCGCUCUCCCUCAUCCACGCGAACGCCCCCGCCGCGCUCUGGAACGAGCCGCACGCGGUCCUGAUCCCGACGUCGGUGGCCCGGUCCGCGGCGAGCGCGAUCUGGGAGUAGACGGCGGCGAGGUUGAAGAGCACGGCGGCCUUCUCGAGGUGGAUGGAGGCGACGCUGGCCUUCUUGCCGGUCUUGAAGGCGUCGUGCCAGGUGAAGGCGAGGGAGUGGACGUGGGCGCGGUCGGAGGAGAUGGGGAAGCGGGGCUCGACGAGGGACAGGGCGCGCGCGUAGGCGAGGAGCGCGUCCCGCCUUCGCUCGAGGGAGGACGGGUCCGGGAGCGACGGCUGCUCGACGUCGGCGCGCAGGUCGCGCACCGCGGCGAGGUCGUCGUCGGCCGCGGCCGCCUCCCGCUCCGAGUAGGCGGAGGCGAUGUAGAGGCGGAGCGGGCGGUAGAGGUCGGUGGGGGUGGUCCUCUUCUCGUGGAUCGCCAGCAUCACGUUCGCCGCCGACGACAUGGCGGCCGCCGGAGGAAGAGAUCGGGGGCGGCGGCGGCGGUGGAGUGCUUCGCGGCGAAGGAAAGGAAGAAAAAAAAAAGAGAGAAAAAUUGGGGGAAGUUGGAAGCCGUCCACAGGAGUAGUCAGUCGUCUUUGUGUUGUGUGAUGAGGAGGAGGAGGAUUGCUUGCUUCGCCGCGUCGGGGCGGGCGCCCCCGCCGGGGGGGGGGCGUCGCGUUGAGAUUCGUGCUGGGGCUGGGGUUGGGUCGGACGGUCGGCGCACCGCGUCCGCGUGUGACCGGUACUGGUACCAGCUCCAAAUCAUUUAUACUCGGGCUGUGUUCGGAUGCCCCUUUUCCCAACCUCUCUUUCUUGUUUUUCACACGUACGCUUUUCAAACUGCUAAACGGUGUGUUUUUAAAAAAGUUUCUACACGAAACGGAAGUUACUUAAAAAAUCAAAUUAAUCCAUUUUUUAAAAAAAAAAUUAGCUAAUACUUCCUCCGUUUUAUAUUAUAAGACUUUCUAGCAUUGCCCAUAUUUAUAUAGAUAUUAUGUAUAGAUUCAUUAACAUCUAUAUAAAUGUGAGCAAUGCUAGAAAAACUUAUAAUAUAAAACGGAGGGAGUAGUACUUAAUUAAUCACGUGCGUACUGUCCCUAGUUGGGAACUAGCAACUGCGAACACACCCUCAAUUCAUACAAUAGUUAUAUGUAAAGGUAUAUGUUAGACUGUACGCACAUUGCAUCGUGAAGUCUGUGCUGCAGCUGGCUAUAAAUCUGUAGCCCGCUACUUAUCUCUCUCUUCUUUUAUCUCCUCGAUAUAUGUUUAUAGCUGACUUAUAAUUCAAUAUUCUACCUGCUCUAAGGUGAUGUUUGAAAUAGAUGUAACGUAAAACAGAAAUUCAUUAGCACAUAAUUGAUUAGAUUUAAAUUAUUACAAACUUAACAAAUUAUUAAUUGAAAAAAUGCUAACGGAAAUUGAGAUAAAAUCUAAAUCUCUUUUGCUACAGCCAUGUAUCUAGGAUUUUUUUUAUAAGCUGGAUAUUUCUAGCAACAUAAAUUCAUGAUCUAUAUCUAUGACUACCUUGACAAUAUUUAGAUAAUUUAUUUUAUACACAUUUCAAAUAAUUUUAAAUUUUAAAUCACAUUAAUGUAUAAACUUUAAAUUUACCAUGGAUGUGAAAGGGGAUAACUUUAGACGCACUUUUGGGUCGAAUUGACGUUCGUUUUCGGGUCGAAAGUUAUGGGAUGAUUAUUGUUUUUUUAGAAUUAUACAGUAUAACGCAAACACUCAUAACAUAUGCACACUCACCCUUAUGAACGCACGUGCGCAAACCCUACCCCUAUAAUCUUCGAAGAUUGGGCCGACAAAUCAUCCUUGAAAUUGACGAAGUCAUCACAGGCGCCUCGUUGUCAACCGGUACGUCGCCUACCGUUGAAAAGCACAAUGCCACUAAUUCCUAGAAAAUUCGCUCCCAUGAGGAGUUGAACCCAUGACAUAAGGUCCUACUGAGGCACCCCGUGGUAGCACGAUAACCGGUUGGUUUUUAGGUCAAAUUUGUGCGACCAGGGUUUACCUUAUCGUUUGGACCGGGGUUACCGCCACCCCGCAGUAGCGCGAUAACUAUCUAAAAUUGUACAAACAUCACAUCCAAAAAUUCGAAUUCAAAACUUGGCGGUUUCGCGAUUUCACCGUGGUUACCGCAUGGUUUACCGCGAUAACCGUGACAUCGCACGGUCGCGGUUAUCGCGGGCUGUAUAGCUGAAAUCAUGUAAAUGAAAAAUAAAUAGGAAAAAAACAAAAAUAUGGCUAAAUAUGUGUAGAAAACUAGAAAUUGAGAAUAAUUGGAAGGAUAUGUAGGAUACUUAAGGCCUAAUAUUGUCUUCCUUUUUCCAAUUUGUAAACUAUUUUUGGUUUUAUCCUCAAAUCUGAAUUUAACUUACUCUAUUUCAAAAAAUUUCUUCACCAUUGGCAGGUACAAUUAAAGAACAACAUCCAUGAUUUUUUUCAAUUUUUUUUAUUUUUUCUGGAAUUUUAAAUUUGGUCAAAAUUCAACUAAACCAUAUCACCGGUUUCUCCUACCGUACCCCCGCGGUAAGUGCGAUAACCGCCGCGCGAUAAGUGAAACUGUGUGACACUACCGACCGAAUUUGGGCCAGGUUUAGGCAGAUUUUGGGACCACUUUGGGCCUAACUCACAGGUGCAUUUGGGCUGAAAUUACAAACACUGAUGGGAUGAAUUUACUCUCGUUAAAUUUGACAGUAAUUAAACUGAGCACACAAUCAAGAGCACAUAUCAGCUAUGAGCCUCUCUGUUAACAACAUAUACUAUUCAGUUUCUCCGAUGCGGCACCAAAUAUUAGCUCAACAAUCUGUUACCCUAAUACUACUAAUCUUCAGGCGCAAAGCCAUGUUGCCCCCCAACGCGAAAUCAGAGGGAAGCAAACGCGUAAUUUCUUCAGAAAUUACACCGAUUCACUCCUAUUACAGGACACUGAACUGCAUGCCUUGUAUUACAGGACACUCCUCUGGUAGCAAACGUCCAGCCUUGCAAGCACACCACCAUCCUCCCAUUAAUUUCUGAUAUCAAUCUGCCAAAAAACAUGCUUGUGAUCGAAACUAAUGCAUCAUCAAAUUAGUAGUAGUAGGAUGUGACUUCGAAUAUCCAAUUGAUAUCAUAAAAGAUAAACAAUUUAUCUACCCGAGAUAUGGACAUCUUGAUUAAAUGCAAAGUGCAAAGGACUGUCAAACAUAACUGGCAUUCAAAAAUUUGAAAGCAAAAUGCCCAGCGUUUUAGUUACUUCCAUAUUGUAGGUUACUGUUUCAGCUUUCAAGCCAUUGACCCAGCAAUGUCAUGCCUGUAGCCUGCCUAUAAAACCAAAAUAAACUUUUCUGCAUGCAUUAUUGGCAUGAUCUAAACAAAAUUUCAGACUUUCCGUAGCAAUUUUGGAUGCAAUCAGCCAAAGGAUAUUUGAAGUCUAUACAUAUUAAAAGUAAGCAGCUUAUCCAAACCUGCUUAAUUAAUUUCAAAUUUACAGACAAGUGUCUGCAGAACAAACAUAAAAACUAAAAAGGACAUUUUGAGCGUUGCCUUCUUCUCUAACAACUAAUGGUUAGCUUGGAAGAAAGCUAGUAUUGCUAAUAUUCUUCAAGCUAGUAUGGAGUUUUAUGAAUUCAAAAACUGAAAAUGGACAGUUUUGCAUCGGCAAAAGUAAAUUUAAUAGCAUGCACCUCCUGACUGACAGCUAACCAAAUUUGAAAACAGGCACUAAAAACCAUUGGCCAAGAUUAUAUAGCAAUGCAUGGGAAUCAAUUUACACCUAGAAACAUGCUAACAUUUACACCAAAAACCGGUGGAAAACCUCUUGGAAAAGAGAAUAAAAAACAGGCACAAACCUGAUGGAUAAGAUCUUUGAUCUCUCUCCAUUGGGCCAAAUGCUUAGCCCAACUCAUCAACCGCGGAAAAGAUGCAUGCUUCCUGAAAGGCACGCGUCUUCACUGUUUUCUUAUCUACCUGCCAGAAAAAAGUACCUAUUAAAAGGUUUUUCAAAGUAGUGCUCCGAAAGGAAGUGUUGUAUUACGAGAAAAUAUACCUGUUUAACACUGAACAGAUUCACAGCUUUGCCUACAGCAUCUGGUUUCCCUCCAAGUUCUUCCAUUUCCAGCAUAUCAAGCAGCAGGGAAGACACCAGAAAAAUGAAAAAUAAUUAAUUAAAUAGUUUUGUGUUACAUCAAAGUCAUCAUCGUCAAAUCCCAAGAGCUCUUUAUCUCACUUCUCCAAAUACUUGUAGAACUCAGGAUCCUACAAAAGAAAUAGCUUUGCAGCCAUCAUAAGCAGCUGACAGUAAUAUAGCCGCACAGGUAUGACAGAACUAGGGAGGGAAAUGAUUAGCUCAAGAAGAACUAAUUUCCUGGUUGUCGCUGUGUUAACAAUGAUGCAUACAGAUAAGAAUUUCAGCAAUAAAUUGAACAAUGAUAAUUAUCAUCUAAAUUUGUAAAAAGCCAUCUAAUGGUUAUAGCCAUCACUAACAGGAAACAGAAAGUAUAAAUUAUUUUUAGAAUAAGACUGAGGAAACAGAAAGUAUAAUGUUAGGGGUUAGUCCUUCAUCGAUCAUCUGCUCAAAAUAAAGCAUAGCAUCAUCUACACUGCCUGACUUGCAAAGUACAUCUAUAACUGUUCCAUAGCACACUACAUUCGGAUUCAAUCCAUGCUGCCUCAUUUUGCUGAAUACAAGCAUUGCCUGAUCUACUUUCUCUUGUUUAGCGUAUGCACAUAUUAGAAUGUUGAAUACAUGAUGAUCCGGUUGGAUACCAUUUCGUACCAUCAAAUCCAAGAGAGCAUGCAUCUCAACAAGGGCUCCUUUGGUAGCAUACCCCUGAAGCAGGGUACGAUAGGUAGCAAUAUCAGGCUCUAGGCCCCUCUUGGUCAUAGAAUCGAAAAUCUUUCUAGCUUCGGUGCAUCUUCCAUUCUUGCAAAGAUAAUUCAUCAGUGAUCUAUAAGUAACAACAUUUGGUUCGACGCCAUCACUGCGCAUCUUUUUGAGUGUUCCAAUAGCCUCUUUUGGCUGCCCUGAAGAGCAAUAUCCAUGCAGAAUACUAUUAUAUGUCAUGCAAUCAGGCAUGACACCAUUCUUAACCAUGGUGUUAAGUACCUCCAUGGCUUUGUCCAUAGCUUGAGCCUUGCAUAACGCAGCAAUAAUAGAGCUGUAGGUCACAACAUUUGGUGAAAUCCUCCGAUCAAGCAUUUCAUGGUAUGUACUGUAAGCUUUGUCUGAAUCCCCCUCUUUGAAGAAGCCAUUGAUGACAGUGGUAUACGACACCACAUCAGGUGGGCUACCUCCUCCUCGAUCAUCAGCCAUCAUGUGCAGCAGCUCGAGAGCUUCUUGGCUUCUGUUCUCAUCACACAGACCCUUGAGAAGAAUGGUGCAGGAGAAAACAUCUGGCAUGCAGCUGAGCUCGGUCAUUCUGCGGAGCACUAUGUCCAUUGCGUCGCUCGUCCUCUUGUCGGCACAGAGGCCCUUGAGCAGAGGAGCGAAGGUGAUGGCUUCCACUCUAAAUCCCUUCUUAAUGACAUUGCCCAAGGCCGCGAAACCGAGGUCCAAGCGGCCCGCGCGGCAGCAGCAACCGAUGAGAAUGCUGUAGGUGCACAAGUCGGGAGUUACCUCGUCGGCGCCGGCUCGGGCCAUGCGGUUGAAGAGCGAAACUGCUGCGGCUGGGCUGUCACGCGCGACGUCGGUGAGGGUGCGGUUGAAGCUGUAGAUCGAGGCGCCCCAGCCCCGUAGCGGCAAUUCGUCGAGCACGUGGCGUGCGCCCUCGGUGCCACUGCCCCCCGCGCGCCCUAGGUCUUGGGUCGUACCACCCUGCGCGCUGGGGACGCCGCCGCCGCGGGCGCGGGUGCGGGCGCGGGUAAGGGUGGUGACACGGCGCGCCAUGCCUGCCGCCGCCGCCGCCGCCGCCGGCGGCGGAGCUGAAGAAAUGGAGAAGCCAGGGAGCGAACGACGCUACUGAAUAUUCCGGCUUGUACGGUCACCGACCUGGCAGUACAGUAAUACACCCACCGUCCGAUUGGCUGGGCGGCGCGGAUGGACGGCCCAGAUCGGUCUCCGCUCCGGGAGGCUGAGAUCGGCCCAAUCGGCCCAGAUUGGGGUGGGCCGGACGAGCUGCUGCUGCAGCUCGGGCCGCCCGGAGGCACGCCUCGACGCGAAGUAGACCGGCUUUGCCUCCAUGUGCGCCGCCCACGGCCGGUAGUCGGCGUGAUGCCGUCGCAGCUCGGGGCUCUCCAGCGCGGCGCUCGGGAACACAUUCGGCCGCCGACGUCGCCACCUCCCAGCCACCGGAGCACCAGUGCCCCGCUCCUCUGUUCCCUCUGCUCUACCUGGAAAAAAAGAAGGAAAAAACGAUAGGGGAGGAAUUAUGGGGAGAGAAAUUUCGAAAUGACGGGAAUGCCCCCUCUACUUUUUUCUAUCUUCUGGAUGCAGCUGAUAUGUGGGCCCGCGUACAGUAUCGUCGUCCUCUUCUCGCCAUCGUCCAACGCCGACCAACGCCGUUGCAUCCCUUCUAAAAUCCAAUCGAUUCCCUCGCAUUUUUCCAGAAUAGGCUGAGGGGAUUUGAUGCUCUCACUUUACUCUUCGAUUGCCCUCAAGAUUCCAUUUUGAAAUCUCGAUCAAAAUCGCUCGGAUUUGAGUAAAGUUCUGUGGUAAACCAUGUCGAGCACGGUGACUAUGGAGAGCCCCCACACCACGGCAACCACGGGCCACAGCAUGAGCGCCGCGACCUUCCAUACGAACAUGGUGGUGAGUAGCAUGGAGGCUGCCCAUACCGCACACGUGAGCCACGCCCUCGCCGGCGCCGCUCGUAGACGCAGAGGCAUGCGAACAGCAGAAGGAGGGCGGCAUAGGAUACGACGACGAAGGCGACCGCUAGCGUCACCACUGAGGCCGGAGCGAGAUGAGAAGGCAAAGGACAGGGGCGGUGAGGGUGAAGAUGUGAAGGUAGCAGUCGGUUGGGCCAUGGAUGAUAGAGGAUUUGGAGUGGAGCGCUGGCAAGAGGAGGAAGGACAACACUGUGCGCGGGCCUACAUGUCCGCUGCAUCGAGAAGAAAGGAAGGAGUAGUGGGGGGUAUUCCCGUCAUUACGAAAUUUAUCUCCUCUCUUUCAGCCCGGAAAUUAUAAAAUAAUGCCUCCGGGUGUCCUACAACUAAUUACACAACUUUUGUAGUUUUCAUCGACAGUUUCACAUUUUUGUUGUGUCUUUCAGUCAAUUACAUGAUUUUUGAGUGUCCGGUAGCAAUUUCUUUUUUUAAAAAAAAACAAAUCCACCUUUUGAGACAGGCCUCCAUGAAAUGCAACGUGCCAACGUCUCGAAACUCUCGAUUCAAUGUAACAAAUACACUAUGAACAGCAAUGUCCAUUACUUCAGCUACGCGCGCGACGGCGGCUAGCCGCCGGCCGCCGGAGCUCCGCCGUCGCCGUGCGUUCCUUGCUGCAGGAUGUUCUCCAAUGGGGUGGGCUGGACGAGCCUCUGCUGCAGCCCGGGCAGCUCGGCGAGCUCUCCGUUGGCCGGAACCGCCAUGUAGUAGAUCAUGCCGUUGUCGUGCUCGGCGCCGGCGAGCUCGGCCUCCACCUCCCGCUUCAGCCACUUGGCGGCGGCGUGCACCGGCGCGCCGCCUUCUUGAGAGGCUUCGAUCCCUUGAGCGUCGCCGCCGCCUGCCUCAGCCGCGCUAUCGCCACGCCGACGUCUCCCUCGGCACGCCGCUCGCGCGCCGCCCGGAGGCACGCCUCGGCGGCGAAGUAGGCCGCCUUCGCCUCCGCGUGCGCCGCCCACUGCCGGUGGUCGGCGUGCUGCCGCCGCAGCUCGGGGGCCUCCAGCGCGGCGCGCACGUCGCCGUAGUCCAGGCUCACCUGCCUCGCCACCAUCGAGCACAGCGCCGGCGGCCUCCCUCCGGCGACGGCGAGCUCGAAGUAGCACUCCAGCGCCUACGCCAGCAUCAGGCCCUCCAGCGCCGCGACGCGCGCGGGCGACAUGCCCGUCGCGGCGCCAGCGUCGGCUCCGCCCGCCGCCUCCCUCAGCGCGCCGGCCGCAUCGCAGAGCGCGGCGCACGCCCGCCGGAUCCCGUCCGCACCGCGCCUGUCCUCCGCCGCCGCCGCCCGCGCCGACUCCGCCGCGAGCGCGAACAUCGCCACCUCCCGCUCGGUCACCAGCGACGUGUGCCACUGGCACGCCGCCGCGCCCGCCGUACUCCACCUGUGCCAUCCCCCCGCCGCCGCCGCCGCCGCGUCGUCCUGCCAGGCAAUCCCGAGCUGCGACGACGACGGCGGCACCGCCCUGCUCACCGCCGCGUCGAACCGCGGGCCGGCGACCGCCUCGAUCUCCGCAGGUACGCGCGGAGGUCGCCGGCGACCCUCUCCGACGACGACACCACGACGAGGCGGCGCGCGCGCAUGAACGCCUCCAGGUCGGCGUCCCUCUCCGCCGCCGAGCUGUCCUGAAGCGUGAAGUGCUUCGGCCUCUUGCCCGCGAACGACAGCAUCGGCAUCGGCGCCGGCGCCGGCGCCGGCGCGCUCGCCGCGCGUCGGAACGGCGACUUCAUGGCUCUCGUAAUCGAUCGAGAGCUGAACGCGACGAAACGUAGUAAUAAAACAGACAUAUUGCAAUGGGAUGAUUAGGAGUUGGAUUAAGUUAAGUAAAAAAGGUGGUAAUUAAGUACGUGACGGAGAAGGAUUAAGCGAGGCUGCUGUUCUGUUUGUAAACUUCGUAUCGUGGCGGGGGCGGGAAGAAGGGAAGCGUGUGGAGUGGGGCCCACACGGCCGUGGUUGGACAUUGUCAACGGCUGGAAUUUCCAUCACGCUGCUUAUAAUCGGUUUAGUUCAAUAUUUUUUUACAUGAUACUUAGUAUUAUAUAUAAGUCGUUUUAAUUUUAAGUUUAAUUAAAUUUAUAAAAAAACUUAGCAAUAUUUUCAACACAAAACAGACAUAUUAUCAUAAUAUAUUUAAUGUUGUAUUUAAUGAAACUAAUUUGGUGCUGUAGAUGUUAAAUUUUUCUACAAACUUGAUUGAACCUAAAGUUUGACUAGAAGAAAGUCAAAACAACUAAUAAUAUGAAAAGGAGGUAGCAGUAUUGUUUAGUUGAAAAUAUUAUAUGGUUUGAAAAUAUUUUUAUGGUUUAGGUUAAUUGUACAGAGCUUUGCAAAUGCCAAGGGCUAGUGUUAAGACAAAUGUCAAGGGCUAGUGUUAAGACAAGGGAGCUCUUAAUUAAGUUAGCGUUGAUAUAUAAUGGUGUGAAUAACUUUGGCAACGGAGCAAAUUGAAAUAAUGAGGCUCGUUGUUCUCCCCUACUGAAUUAUCAGUGAUCUAAAGUCGUGGAGAUUUUGUUUUAGAAAAAGGAAUUAGUCCUAAUUUUUCUCAUGGCUUGGUCAAAUGUAGCUUCAUAUGCUAGUACCAGUUUACAAUCAGAACUGAAAAUCACAGGUCCACCGAUUCAUGGACAAUAAUUUAAGCCGUGCAAAGUAGUGGAAUAUCCCCAUGAUUCGCACUAGUUAAGACUGAUUUCAUGUCUUACAAAGGUUGUAGCCUGUUCAAUACUAUUUUCGCGUUCUCUUUUUUUUCCCCAAGGAAAUUAUCACUUGUUUAACUCAGCACACAAUCUGCCAGAAAGAAAAAUGUAUGGAGCAAAAUCAACAACAUCAGCCAAGCUGAACGAUUAAGCAUACAUAAAUAAAUAAUAACGGUGAAGGAACGCAACGAAAUGGCAGAGGUCUUUCUCAAUUAAAACAAAAUUUUCAUGAUGCGUCUGUUUCUUUCAAAAUUGAAAACACAUCAUCAUCGUUUUCAUUAUCUCUGGCUAAUGCUUCGCCUUCUUCUUGGGAUGUGGGAUUUUCUCUUUUCUUUUUGUUGUUGACGAACCCUUCUUUGAGGGUUGCCGCUUGUUCCGUUUCUUUGAUUUCUCUUUCUUCUGUUUCUUCCACUGGCUGUCUGGGUCGACGAAAUCGUCAUCGCUGUCAUCUUCAACAGGCAUAGAGCCAUCAUCCUCAUCUGAUUCCAUAUUCUUGUCCUCAUCUUCGUCUUCCUCGUCUGAACUCAAGAUCAAAUCCUCAACAAUAUCCUCCUCCGUAGCGACAUCGUCGUGAUUAUGGGCUCGCUUCUUGCUCUUCUCCUUUGGAGUUCUGCAAACCCCCGAAAGGAAACAUAUAACGUCUACCAUUCCAAUAAAAGAAACAAAAAGAGGCAAAGAGGAAGGUGAUAGCGUACUUGGUUUUCUUCUUUUCAGUCAACAAGUUCUUACUGAAUGCAAUGGUGUCUUCGCCAUCAUCUUGUUCAUCCUGUCGCUUCUGUGCUUCUGACAACCUCCGUGAAAAGGUUGAGGACUCUGCCCCCACAAUAACGCUGAUAGGGAAAAGAAUGAUCAGUAAUUUUAUUAAUUAUAUGUACUCGCAAUAUGGAGCAUCAAGCAUAGCUCCACUCACAUGUAAAGACUACUAGAAAAUGUUGCAUGAUAAGACGACGAGGUAAAAAAAAAUUGGUGCAUUUCUGUUUAUAAGUGCUACGACUCAACUGGCUGACUCCUAAAUUUAGAUGAACAUCAAUGAAACCAAGUAACCAACCUUGUGUCGUCCAGAGAGUCCAUCCUGUCCUGACUUCUCUGAUGUAGAGUAGCAACAUAUUUUGAUAGAGGACUUGACUUUGCUUCCUUCUCAACCUGAAAUGAACAUUAUAUAUCUCACAAAAUGACACUAAAUGAGUAUAACAAAUAUACAGUGCACAUCCAACAGGACCAACCAUACCUGUAGAAAUGAAUCCACGGCUGGAUCAUUAGGAGAGAAUCCAAUUCCUGCACGCUUUGAGCUUACAAACUCAGCACUAGCCUUUAUCUGGAAUCACAAAGGAUACAAACAUCAGCAUACAUGCAUUCAGUUAGGUACAAUUCUCUCUUACAUGCUUCACAAACCUGAUGGAUAAGAUCUUUGAUCUCUCUCCGGAAUCUGUCAGCCUUAACGGUUUUGCAAAAGUUUUGAAGCCGGACAAGUGUUAAAAAGGACAUCUCAAAGAAGGCAAUGGAGUAGCUCCAUUGGGCCAAAUGCUUAGCCAACUCAUCAACCGCGGAAAAGAUGCAUGCUUCCUGAAAGGCACGUGUCUUCACUGUUUUCUUAUCUACCUGCCAGACAAAAGUACCUAUUAAAAGUUUUUUCAAAGUAGUCCUCCCAAAGGAAGUGUUGUAUUACGAGAAAAUAUACCUGUUUAACACUGAACAGAUUCACUGCUUUGCCUACAGCAUCUGGUUUCCCUCCAAGUUCUUUCAUUUCCAGCAUAUCAAGCAGCAGGGAAGACACCGGAAUGAAGGUACCAGUAGCUUCAGCAAUGCGAUUAAGCAUCUUCACACAUCUCAGGCGUACAGGAAAGUAACGCGCACUUGGUACCAGGCAUGCCACACCAUGUAUUAUCUGGGUUAGUGGAUAAGCCAAAGGUCGAAGGUCUUCCUCAGAACUACAUCCACACACAACACUUGUCCAAAGCUCAAGGCAGAAUAUGUAUUGCCAAUCAUAAACUUUUUGGUAGGAUUUCUACACAAGAACAAGGUCAGCAAAUAACAAGUCAGAAAAGAAAGGCUCAGUUAGAGUAAUAGAAUAUAGAAUAGAGAGUAAAACUAAACUAACAUAAGAAAGAAAGCAAUAGUGUUAUCCCAAAGUGGACUCUAUUCCUCGAUAGUACAUAUGCAACAUUGGAAUAAUGACAUACCUCCAUCCGUUUCUUCGUUGGUUUGAUACUUUCUUUCUGCUUUUUGUCCUUCGAUGUCUUGCAAAAUGAAAUAGGGACCACAAAACUUGUCAGCUGCCAAGUAAAUAAUUACAUUGCAGUAUAUGAUCAUCAGAGUUCAACUACACAUACCUUUGGUCCUCUUUCAGUAAGAGCUCCCCUUAGGAUGACUGCCAGUUGACGGAUGAAAACAAAAGCAUGCUGAUAUGCACUUUGUGGGUCCACAUUGUACAAUUCUCUGACACAAUUACCAAGAAAUUGAAUGUGCUGCAAUUUUGAUCCACUGAUUGAUUUGGACAAUUUACAGUUCACCAAAUAAGCCUUGUAGAUACCCUUGAGGGACGUAUCAAGGCACUCCGAACCUAGUUGAAUGCACAAAUCUCGAAGGAACAAAAAUGAAACAAGAGGCAUAGCACCUCGUCCUCUAGACCAGGUAUGCAGCAGAGCCUGUAAUCGAAUUAGUCAAGUGAAAAUAAAAGAAAUUACAAACUCUGCAGAGACAUCAGAUGACACGAAAGGUUACUAAAGAUGGAUGAGGAGCCAAAGCUACAAACCUUUACAUACUUCCUGAGGAGUGCAGGGAAGGCCGCCAGAAAAACAGCAGAAGCUCUGACACGAUGUACAGUAAAUGCUACCAUUUGCUCAUCAGUCAACUCUGUUAUCAUGUGGAGUGCAUUUACAAGGUAUAACCUCAUUAAUCUCCCAUGCCUCUUCCAUUGCUUAGUAAUCAUCAGCUCACUAACUGUCUCUUUCUUCCCCCCAAAGCUAGGUGCAUCAAGUAAUUCACGAAGGAUUCUAUCCAUGUUUUUCAAAACAAAGUGCAUGACUUUGUCAAGUACACUGCCAGACAUGACACUAAAUUUCGGUGCAGAAUUAUUUCCACUUUCUUCACCAUAAUGGCAGGCUUUCCGGAAUGCUUCGAGAAUAGACCGGAUAGAACCUAUCUUCCCAUCUUCUGCUCCUUGGCACCAGGAAUCAACCAUUUGCAUUGUAAUAGGCUUUACAAUUUCUUUCGGUUCUUCUUUAGGAACAGAACUAUGUUUCUCAGCACUUCCUUCAUUAUCCUAAACAAAAUAUGCAGCAAACAUACAAUGUAUAUAGUUCUCUCAAGCAAGAAGAAAAAAAAAUGCAAAAUAAAUGAAUAAAUAGUUUUGUGUUACAUCAAAGUCAUCAUCGUCGAAUUCCAGAAGCUCUUUAUCACACUCUUCCAAAUACUUGUAGAACUCAGGAUCCUACAAAUAAGAGUUUUGCAGCCAUCGUAAGCAGCUGACAGAAUACAGCAGCACAGAUAUGACAAGAACUAGGGAUGGAAGAAAUGAUUAGCUCAAGAAAAACUUCCUGGUUGUUGCAGUGUUAACAAUGAUGCAUACAGAUAAGAAUUUCAGCAAUAAAUUGAACAAUGAUAAUUAUCAUCUAAAUUUGUAAAAAGCCGUCUAAUGGUCACUACCAGGAAACAAAAAGUAUCAAUUAUUUUUAGAAUAAGACUGUCCAAAAGUCGAGUCAAUAACAUGUUCUUUAUUCCAAAAAAGAGGGCUAGUUCAAAGUGCAAGCAACUAAUCUGAAAGUACUUAAACUGGAAUCUGGAUGUGCUUAACACAUAUGAUUUCUUCAGUUUCAUCUGUCCCAAUUGCAAUGCCAGGGCCGCUAAACCAGAGCCAUAGGUUAUUCCACACUAAAAGUGCAAGUAGAACUGUAGAACUACCUUUAUGUAUAAACAGCUAUAAAUCCAACGUAAGCAGAAAAAAAUCAUAACAGUACUGAGCUACGUAAUUCUAGAUAUCAAAAGUACUCUUUACAUACCAGCAAUCCCUAUGACAUUACAACUAGCUUCCUGAGGGCAAGUUUUAUAGUGGAGGUGAGUGCCACAUCUAAUUUAAACCAUGUCAUCUUCUCAUUACUUAAGAGGUAACAAAUACAACAUGUCACAUCUAGUACACAAACCCCAAUAUUAGUUUACUCUCACGUCAUCUUACAUUUUUCUUGGAGAUUGUGUGGAGGUUGCCCCUUGCAUGAGGGAUGGCUCAUUCUCUCUCUCCUAACUUCUCUCCUCCAACUCAUCAUCUAAUCCUAUGUGGCAAAUUUAUGGGCAAUAAAUAGGGGCUUAUAGUACUUGCCCUGAUUACCAAAUGCACAAUCAGAACUUGAGAUUUAGUUUACCAUCACCUUCUUCAAAAUGAUCAGAAUGGCUAAAAUAUAUCAUUAUAUUUGUUAAGGAACUUGUAUGCCUUGCUUAUAGUACUUAUUUGCAGCAACCACGUCACUAUUCAGUACUCUGCACAAACUUCCGCGUGUAAAACUCGGAAGAUUGCAGUCCAUUUCCAAAAUCAAUAAAAUCAAUCAACAAGGGCCAACCAGACAAGUUUACCAAAUGCAUACGAGAGCGAGCCAAUAUCCACCUAUUAAGCAUGCAAUAUACCUUCUAACAUUCACUGCCUUGCGUGCUCAGUCCUAGUAUAAAUAUAAGAAUAAAAAACACAUACCAGAAUAACACAUACCAGAAUAAAAAACACAUACCAGAAUCCCCAAUCCUAGUAUAAACAGCCCAAAGCUAAAUCAACAUAGGCAUUACAUAUGGAAUGGAGCCGAGCAAUUCAGAUGCUACUUUUGAUGCUUACUAGUAACAAGUAAUAAUAGUAAGCAAUAUAAGCUUGGGAGAAGGGUGCGCGAAUCGUAGGAGACGGCGAGGACGGAGACGAACCUUCUCCUGGAGCCUCUUGAGCUGCUUCGCGUGAACCUUGGCCUUCUUACGAGAGCCCACCUUCUCCUCGUCCUCCUCCGACUCCCCAUCCUCCCACUCCUCCUCAUCCGACACGGGCAAGUCGACUAAACCCAGCAAAGCCAAACGUUGUCAAAACUAACACAAACAGUGCAUAGAGGAGAGGACGAGGAGAAGAAGCGGCGGGGAACGCACCGUACUCGUCGGAGUCCGACAUGGCUGACGGCGGCGGCGGCGGCGGCGGCGGCGUGCCCUAGUGGAGGCGGCGGCGGCGGCGGCGUGCCCUAGUGGAGGCGGCGGCGGCGGGUUGGGGAACUGAAGAGAGAUGGCGGGUGGAGGAGGAAGGGGAGUUUUAAGCCCGGCCCAUUAUACUGAUACAGCAAGAACUGUGGGCCUAAGCCCACUCAUGAGUGGGCCCAGUUUAAUCUCGAGGGGUCAUUCCGAUAUACUCCCUCCGUCUACUGUGUUCUACGUUUCUUUUUCAAAAUUAGGUUUUGGGCAUCACGUAUCGAUCAUUACUUUAUACGAAAGUAUUUUUCAUUAUAAAUUUACGAUCGUCAUUUUCAGAGACCAAAUAUUACUCCCUCCAUUCAAAAAAUAAUCAAUCUAGGAGAGGAUGUGACUCCUCCUAGAACAAAUAUAUCUAGACAGUCAUAUGUCUAGAUAUAUGGUUAUCCCCUCCUAAGUUGAUUUUUUUUUAGGUCCGAGGGAGUAAUCUUUUUUUCACAACACAUAUAUCACUUCAGAAGAGGGAACCGGUGUUGCCAAAUCUCUCGAAUAAAGCUUCGUAUUUCACUAUUUCAGAUGUGUCAUUGCAAUGCACACAAGUUCAGUUACGUCUAAUGUUAUAAAAUUGGUAUAAUCAUUGAUGUUUUGAUACAACAGACUCUGCCUUUUCAUGAAACAAAACAGCAGUGACACACAACAAAACUGGAGACAUCCUCUAAGCAAAACUUCUCAGUAUCCCCCAGGACACUGCCGCGGAUGGCAUGACUGCACACUUGUGCCCUGCCAGCUCCAGAUGAACCAGUGAUUAUAAUAUCUUCAGAGUAGAUCUACCAAGACAAAUCAUUCAGGAUUCUUCGCUGGUAGUAGUAGGAUGCUCUGUUCUAUUGCUGAGCCGAAGCUCCAACUUUAUGUUCAUGGCCGCCAACUCGGAGGCCAGGUAUCUGAAGACGUAAGGCAUGGCGACGGUCUCCAUCCCUUUGCUUGUUUUGCAGGCCUGGCAGGCAAAGUUCUUGGGAGGUUUUACGGUGGGGAGCCCGAGCAUGUCGCGCUUGGCUUUCUUCUGGCUUUCGGAUUUGAUCACCGUCGCCGUCAGCAAGCUCCCGCAGAUGGAGCACACGUCCGCGAUAUGGUAGUCGGAGCAGGAAUGGAGCCUGUCAUGUAGGAGGUAAGAGGCACCAUGAGCGAGAAGCGCGUCUCGCUCCAUCUCACCGAACCGAAUCCCUCCACCGUAUUUCCUUCCUCCUAUUGGCUGUCUUGUGAUCUGAUCUAUUCGCCCUGUGGUACGAACCUGCGAAACCCAACACAUCCAUGAGAAUCUACAAGCAAUAGUGUGGAAACAUUGGUGACUAGAUAAAUAGAGCAAUGAAUACUUUUGAUGCAUAGCAUUGUAGAGAUCUUCAAUCCGAUAUCGAAUAGAAAAGGAGGAAAAAUAAGCCAGAUAACGACUUUAACUAUACAUAAUAAGAUGGUACACAAAUAAUGAUUGCCCACCUGAAAUUUGUCUGAGACCAUAUGACGAAGGCGUUGAUAGUAUACAGGUCCAAGGAAAAUCUCACAUUUCAUCUCAGUGCCAAAAACUCCACUAUAUAGAAUUUCUGUUCCAUGGUAAUUAAAUCCAUAAGAAGCAAGCAUGGGUCCCAGUUCAUCCACAAUGGAAUUUGAUCUCUCUUUAACUGAGCUUGCAAAAGGCGUUGCAUCAAUGAACUUCCCUUUCAGACUUCCGGCCUGUGAAGACAAGACUUCAGUGAGUAAAGAAAGUACCAAGACGCUAUCAUACUUAAAUGAGAAGAAUUGGAAACAAGGAAUCUCUGUCUCUCUCUCGCAACAAUCAUGAUAUUUCUUUCAAAAUGAAGAAAAAAAUGCAAGCUUCUCUCAACCUAUGAAAGAAGUUUGUACCUUUGCUGCUAUCGACUCUAAGAGCAUUGCUAUAGUCAUUCGUGAAGGAAAUGCAUGGGGAUUAAUGAUGAGAUCUGGCCUCAUCCCAGUAUUAGCAGAGAAUGGCAUAUCAAUAUCAGGCCACAACUGCGAACAAACUCCCUUUUGACCAUGUCUGCUGCUGAACUUGUCACCAAUUAUAGGAUUUCUCACGCGACGCAGACGAAUAUUAGCCUGACAAAAACAUGCAGUAGUGAAAAGCAUGCCAAGAUGACAAAAAACAAAUUAGAACACACUUUCACAAACAAUAAUCCUACUAACAUUCAAGAAAUGCAUUGUGUAACAUACUAAAGUUCAUUGGUUCCAAAAGAGGCUGGGUUUUUUUGUAGUUUAAAGAAACUGAAGGUAUUUCACUUUUUUCUUGCAUUUAAACAAACACAGGCACUUAGUCUGCCCUUUUUUAACAAGGUGAAUAGGGAUAUCCACACAUUAUUGCCGAAGAUAAAUUUCAUCCAGCACAGGAUACUGGAGGUGGCCAUGGCCUCACCUUUUGUAGACGAUCCUUAAAAUUUGUCCCAUUGACAGCAACAUAAUCAAUAGCUGCAGGUUCUGAGCCCUUCAGUUUGAUAGGCCUUACUGUACCAGUGAGAUUGUUACAGACGCUGUAGUACUGCUCAUUUGGAAAUAUGUUCUGUUUCAUACACAUACAUUUGAGUACGGGGAAUAUCGUCAAGAAGAAAUUACACUGCUACCACUUCUCCACAUGGUAAAAAAUUAACUUAGUACGAGCACAUAACUACCUCUCCAAUCCGAGGAAGGCCAUCUGAUUCGAUUGCAGCGGUAGUGUCCCUCGAAAGAUUACUCUUGCAAAAGAACUCCGUAACAUUAUCUCUACUUUUUGCUGAUAAAUCAAUGCACUCAGUCUGCAGAAAGAGUACAAAGGAUAAAAGAAACUAAUUUUAGGUUUUGUCAAACUUAAGGUUCAAUCUAUACCAAGUUAGAUCAUCCAAUCAAGAUUUUUCCAAAGGUACUCUCUGUUGGUGGAUACUAAACGUGCAUACUGAGAUGGCAUUCCGAAUUGAAGAAUCCAAAUCUAAUGCUCAGGAUUAUUCAAAUAUAAAAUAUAGAUAGGUAAACUAAUUUUGAUAUUUGGAUGCCUAGGCACCAACAUCCACGUCAAGAACUGUCUGAUACAUCUUUACAAUCAAUAGCAACUUUUGAAGAAAGAAAACUUAUUGAACUACUUUCAAAUUAAUGCAACUGCAGUUUCACAAAAAUAAAUCAAAUAUGGAUUCAAUAUUUUGCAGAACUGAAAUGUCGCAUAUAUUUGUGUAAAAGAUACCCAGGUUAAAGCCACAAAUCUCAAAAUAGAUCAAUGGGUAAUGAUUCAGAUGCCCAGAAAAAGGCAUCCCAUCAAAAUUUGGGAUGGAGAGUACAUUAAAGAUGUGCGUAUGCCAUUCGAUACACAUUUUGACAUUAAAUUCUUAUUAGUGUUAAUGAGAUAUCUUCAAGAGUCACCAAAAAAGGGGAAAAAACAUUUACUUACCUGGAAAAUAUGCCCACGGAACAUCCCACGAUCAACAGCGGAUUUAUUCAAAAUCAUGGCAUCCUCCAUAUCAUACCUAGAUUGCAAUACCAGUUCUAUGAUUUUAUCAUGUUAAAGUUCAAACAAAUGAUCAUUACACAACAUAAUGAAAUGCUCACCCUGUGUAUGAUAGCACCGCAACAAUAGCAUUUGUUCCGGAUGGGAACUCAUCCAUGCAAUACUUGCUAUAUGUAGCUGUCCGGACAAUUGGUGUCUGAGGGGUCUGAAAAAAUAUUUAUAUGAGCCACCUGACUGGUUAUAAAAAAGGAUUUUCAAUGCAAUCAUUUCUGCAUGAUAUGUUGUCACAUAAUUAAGUACUUAGAAACAGACAAUUUCAUUGAUUUUGGGACAAUUUCAAAAGGCACAAAAUUAGCAAACCUGCCAAGAGCAGGAUGACAUACAUCUGCCACCAAUAAAUGAAAAUAGUACCAAUUAAAACACUUGAUACAACAGAACCACAAAUUAUCUUUACAUGGCACAAACCAUUUGCUCCUAAGGUUGUCAACAUGUUAUUGGGCAGGUACAUAUUCAACAGAAAUAGAGCAACUUCUAACAACCAAAGAAGUGUAGCUAAUGAUAGUUGGUUAGUAAUUAUUGCACAGGAAAACAAACCUGUAGAUGAAAUGCUUUUACAUCAGUACGGAAUUUUAGAGCUUGGCCACAGAAUCCCAUGGUUUGCUUUGCCAUCUGUGAACAAGCAAGCAGGUUAGCAGGUCUAGAAAAAAAAGGUCUCAGCAUUCAUUAUGCGUGAGCAAUUUUCAUUAUGCAUGAGAAAUUGAUUUACAGUAAGGGAAGAUCUGGCUACUGACCUGACAUUGGUACAUGUUCCGAGGACUUUGAUUGUGAUCAGACCAAGGUGUCAAAUUUGCAACUACACUAAGAAUGGCUGUAGGGUGGAUUUCUUCAUGAGUUGCAGGAAAUAAUUUGUUUCUUCCACCAUCCCCACCAUCAGGGCAUCGUAUUUCCAUGAAUGCCUAAUGUAGAAUGAAAAAUUAGUCAUCUUGUAAUAAUAAACUAAUAUAGGACCAUUGAAGUGGAUAAAAGGGAACCUGUUCAAAUGGUCCAAUCAGCUCAAUAUUUGGCCCUCCAUUGGAUAGACCUAAGAGACUUCUGACCGGACGAAGAAAUCUAGCUGGAUUGGUGAAAAGGUAUAGUCCAGGAUAAGCCCCACCAUGGCUUAAGGGUACAUAACCCACUUCCAAAUCCUCUGGAAUCUAAACAGAAUUAAAAGCACUGAUAUGAGAUAGAACUUGAGGAAAAAUAAACUAUCUAGGAAAAAUAACAGCAGUAUUAGAGAGCAGACCCCUGAAUGUGGAAGCAAUUUUAAACUUCUAAGAUGAUUUACUACUUCUUCAAUCUUAGCAGAAGCGAUGGAACCAACAAUGCAUCCAUCCACAUGGACAUGUAGGACUUCUGGAGGACCAGUUCGCUCUAUCCUCGGCAACAGUUGGGCCAUUCCAGCGCCAACCAAACGAGCAAUAAGUGACAUCUUUAUUUUCUGAAAAUCUUUAGUUGCCCCUUCUGAGUUGUAAAAGGAUGAAAUACCUGUACAUUCCAAAUUUAACUGAUGACACUCUCCCCCAAAAUGAAAAUCACACACACACACAACAGCAUUUAGUGUAGCAGUUUCUUACGGCAUGUGGAAGUCAUAUGGUUCAGUAAACCACAAGGCUCUCCAUCAGGUGUAUGAACAGGACAGAGGAAACCCCAUGACCUACAUGAUAAUUUUCAGUACAAGCAAUAUCGGAGCAAGACAAGAACAAUAAAUUGGUAAGGUAGUUUAACAUACUCUGGAAGCAACUUCCUCACAGAUGUCGUACGCAUUUUAGCAAAACUAGAACCCCUAUGCACAGACCGGAAAUGCGAAAUAUAACGAUGAAAGUUGAGCCGUUCAGCAUGAAUGGUCAUCCCAUCUCGCUGCAAAUUUAAAAGGUGCUUAUCACAUAUAAAAAUGAUCUGAGAGGACUGUGAACACAAACAACAUUGAACUUAACUGAAAAUGAACGUUCUUGCCAAGAGAUUUUACUACGAACAUAUAUCAUAAUCUGUGACUCGUGUCAAGCAUCUCUUAAUCAGAAGAGAAGGAAUCAGUUACCAACAAAUUACUUGGGAUAUAUUGUCUGAAAAACUAAAAUGUAAAUUGUGGGUAAGUGAUGCCUUCAUUAUUUCAAAACAGCCUAUAGCCAGCAUUGAAGCGGUGGGUUAGUGGCCGGUACCCCAUGGCCAUCUCCAGCACUGUGCUGCCGCAGCAUGAUACCUUCUGCUGUAACUCAAUAUAAUGUGUAGUGAGCAGUGAUACUUUUGAACAGAUCGUUUUCAGUUUUUGACGUAAUUCAUUUUGCAUAUUGUUAUCUUUCAUCUUGAAAACUUACUUGAAGGGUUGACAUAUACACAGCAUUACGUAAUUUUUAAUAUUCCCUCAGAAAUUAAUAGGUGUAAUUGAGUGUGAAAAAGAAUUAAGGUCGAAAAAUAGGAGGGUGGACAUGAUAUCCCUGCUCAAAUACCUUUGAAAGAAGAGAUAAUAGUUACUAGGGAAGUUACUUAGACAUGCAAGGGAGAGUGUGAUGCAAUAAACCAGAGCAAACAAGGAAAACCAUCGACAAAUUCACUCACGAGAAAAAAUAUAUACCUCACGAAAAGGUGAGUAAACUAUAAAUCACUUCACUGCAAAUUGAUUUAGUUCUUUGUUGUUUUUACAAUUAGUGCAUCACGAUGUGUUUUUAUGCUAUAUGACUUUGCCAGUAUAUUAUCGCCAAAUGUUAUUUAAAAUACCAGAUGCAGUAAGCAUUUGUAAGAGAUGCACCUGUGGCAGAUCUAGCCCUGAUUGUGAAUUUACUUUUCCGACCUUUAUCAUACUCUGAAUAGCUUUGCCAACAUAUGCUGAAGUUUUACUGAGAAAUUUCCUGACCUCCUGUGCUGCACAAAAGAAAAAUAGUCGUAACUGUUAUAAAAGUUGUAGCUGGUAUUUUUAUGGGAUCUGCUGUUAGGAUUAAUCUUGUGGUCUGUAGUUUCUGAUCCGUCAUGUUAAUGAUUACUAGUUCAAGAGUUUAGCAUACUUGUACAACUACCAAUACUAGCCAUAAAUGCAGAGAAUGCAGUGUUCAUGCAACACGAUUUAUUAGACAAAAGCCUGUUUAGGGGUCCAAGGUCUAGGCGUGAUGACUGCAGCAACAAGUUAGUAGUUUAUAAGUGAUUAGUUUCAUUGCAAAUAAGAUUAGAUUGGUCAGUACCAGCAAUUUCUAUAAUGUUAAAAUGUAAUCUGUUCAGAUAGAAAGUUAGAGAUUUGGUUUGUUAGGAUGGUAGAAAUUAUAUUCUUAAGGAUCAAGCCAGGCUUCCUAAAAACAGGACACUACGCACCCAUUAUAGUUCAGCCAAGAGAAUCAAAAGUUGAAGACUCAAAACAGCAGUUAGAUGACCUACACCCAGUCCUCGCUAUGAGAACCCUACCCCCAAUCCUCAUCAGCCAGCAAGGCUUUCCACUAGAUGUCUCAAUAACUCUUGAUGUCCCUUUAACUUGACCCUCCAGAAUAAAAUCUCUAACUUCCAAACAAAUCAAAUAUUUAACUUGCUAUCUAAACCAAAAAAUUCUAUAAAAUAUAGGAUACUAAUUAACAUAUAUACUACUCCCUCCAUCCAAAAAUAUAGCAGCCUAGUAUUGGAUUAGACACCACCUAGCACUACGAAUAUGGACAGAGCCCUCUGUCCAACCCCUCUCUGUCCAGAUUCAUAAUACUAGGUGGUGACUAAUCCAGUACUAGGUUGCUAUAUUUUGGGACAAAGGGAGUAACUAAUAUUAUGGAAAUAGGUGAUACUAACCAAACUGAUCUUAUUCCUAUGGAAAUUAGUCCCAACAAGCAUGUCUAGACCUUGGUUCCUAAGACAAUAACAACAGUGGUGAUAGUAGGCUACCCCUCGUCCACUCCUAUAAAGAGUACACCAGAUGUUGGAACCCAUAAACAACUCUGGGUCUCUGGCCAUAUGAAGACUUGUUGGAUCAUAUGAAUGCAAAGAUCACUAGCAUUCACUCGCUGAUGGAUCAUUAGUGGAUUCUAGUAUCGAUGUAGUAUACUUCAGAAACACAGGUCAACUAAAAAGGGUUCCUGUAUAAAAACAUGGAUAGAGUAAACAUACAGUCAUUGAGAUCAAAGCUUUUAUUUUUUGUAGCCUCUUCAACAAUUAACCGUUUGGACUUUCUCAACCAAUCUUGAAGUCUAUCCUGGAGAUGAUAGGAAAGAAAAACAAGAGUUAGGAAAACAGAACUGGAUGUCAGAAAAGAAAUCAAAAGCAACACCAACAAAAUCUCAGCCAUAAAAUAGGACAUCAAAGAACCAGCGUCAAGCGAUGCUCACAGGGAACAAAGAUGAAACAAAUAGAAUAAAAAAAUAAGCUCAAAGGCACAGCAAAAGUGCGAAGCAAAAUAUGACUUAACUCACUACCUUAGCAAAAUUGGGUGAAAAACAUCUUCGUACUACCUGUAACCACUACCAUGCCUACACUGUUAAUAACCUAGAUCUUCUGUACCAUACUAGGAGCGUGAAAUAAGUACUACCUCCGUUCCAAAGUAUAAGGGAUUCCAAAAUCCCUUAUAUUUUGGGACGGAGGUAGUAGUCAAUAUGAACGCAAAGGACUACUAGCUCAAGCUAUCAACAUAGUAUGUGCUGGAUGACCUGUUCUACCUUAGCACCUAUGCUUGAAGGAACACAUCAGCACCAGCUCCAAGCAGUUUAAAAACAUCCAUCUUGUAACUAACACUGGUCAAUUGGUCAUGGUCCAGCAGUCCAUGCAAAUAUGUAACAGAGAAGGUAGAGGCAGAGAAUUGAACAAGGGUAGAAAGGUUAAGACAAAAAACUUAUGCUAUUUUAUGUUAUAGUAUUGUUUUUACUAAGCACAUAACAUUGAAUGCCAUUUUUGUAGUACUAUGGAGUUGAUUUUCAAAAAGGAAAAAAAAAAGGUCAUGAGCUUGACGGCAGAGGGUUUAGUGACCUUUAGAAAAACUGUUAUCAGGUGGCCAGGCAAGAGAACUUCCUGGUACUGUAGAGCAUCAGCUUUAUCAGGUGACGCAGUUUGAUCUACAAUCGCAUAAAGUUUCUGCAGCAUAAAUCUAAGAAGUGAAAAGUAAUAAGAGAUACACAUCAUUAAAGAGGUUCAAAAGGAUAGAAAUUCACAGAAAAGAGCAAUAAAACUUCAACUUACAUCAAUAAAUUAAAUUUGUCAUGGUUGUUUUGCAGGUGAACAAAAAUAUAGUCCUUAAGAACUGCCUCAGCAACCUACACAAUGUGGAAUGACCAAAGUGAAGCGAUCCAAAUUUCAACAACAUGCAAAGACAAAUGCAGAUUAAACAUCCAAUAUUACAGUUUCAAAAUCAUCUUUCUCAAAUCCUUCCAUCACAGAUCGGAAGUACUUUCCUGCAUUUCAAAGAUAAUUAUCGAUGUCAGUGACUAAGAAGGAUUCAAAAAUUUGUGCAAAUAGAACAAAUUAAACUCUCAGAUACCAAGAUGCAACAAGCAUUCUGUGCGAGUAAAAAGAGACAGGUCUCUGACUUCGUCAAGAAUUAUUUGUGCCCUUUCACCAAUAAGUUGAGUGCUGACAACUCCCUUUCCUCUUUCAUAAUGAUCACUGUAGCAGCAUGUCAAGCUUGUAAAUAUUUCCCGGUCACUAGUAUCAAUUAGGGCCUAUCAUUUGUAAAUUCACAAUCAGGUCAAUGUACUGUUAAAGUUACAUUAAGAAUACUGCCAACCUACACUAAAUAUCAAAGAAUAGAAGCACAAUCAAAAUAUUACUUUUUAAAUAAAAUAGUGAGAGUAUAAAUCAAAUUAUCUGGUAAGGUAACAGAAUAAACUACAGAAAGAGGAAAGAUUAAUGAAACGCUUAGAACAAAAAAAAAGUUUGUAAAAUACAGCUUAAUUACUCAAUAAAUGAAAAAUAUGGAAUAUUUCAAGAAAGGGCUUGAGGUCGUCACUGUAGAUUGCAUCAUCAUCCAACAAUAUAUAGUAGCAAUGAUUUGUAAAACUUGAUCAUGCACAAAGAAAGCUUAUUAACUCAAUUUCCAGUUAGAAAACAAUAAGCCCCAUGAAGGAAAUAUAUACCUUGAGAACAAUCCCAACAGGAAGGAGAAAUUCUCUGCCUCCCAACCUGAAUUUUGCACAAAUUCAAGAAUCAAGUUCCAAAAACUAAAAAGAAACUCAAGCAUUUCCACUCACAAUUUGCCAGUGCAGAACUUACCAGAACCCAAGCCUUGCACUGCCAUUUAGGAGGUAAUACAGCUUUAUUGUCACACUGGACUGAUCAUCUUGGACACAUCUGUCAAAAAAAACUAGAUAUGGAUUAUAACAUAAAAAAGGUACAACUAGAUACACAGACAAGUAUACUUGCAACAGCAAAAAAACUCAGUAACAUAAGCAGCUAUAGACAAGUAUAUGGCACCUUAUGAUCACUGCUUUGUCAGUGUACCCAGCACCACGAUUAACGAAAGAGCCACGGAUCAGGCCCAUAGGCUGAAAAAAUUCACACCAAACCAUUCAUUGCCAUAAUGUUCUCUGGGUUUUUUUUUUCUAAUAUUAGCCUUGCAACAUAAAUCUAAAAGAAAAGCUGAGUAAUCUUACAUAGUUACGUUUUUGUAAAAUAAGAAUCCGUACAAGUCUCUCCAUCCCACCACAUAUGAAGUACCUGAAAGAAAAUUUUACAAAAUGCAUCAGAAUGAAUACACUAACAUAGGAAACAGUGUCAAAAAAUUUGUUCAGUAACAGUAGAAGAAUCAAGAGUGAAUGUGAUAUAAUCAUAACACAAUGAAUCGAUCAAUAAGAUCCACAGGUAGUCUUAACAAGUUGAAUGACUAGACUAAAUGAUCGGUGUACUAAGAAAUGAUAGAAAGGGAAGAAGAUGACAUAAUUAAGAGAAUGUAAACAAAUAAACAAGUUCAUAACAUACUCACCCGCCCAUUUCUGUUGCCUCUUCACCAUGGAAAAUCAAUUUUUCAGAAUCUGCACCUCUUAGAUGGCAAAGCUUUGACUGGAAUUGCAUGAGCAUAAAAUCAUAAACAAGAAUAGAAUACAAUUCACACUAAUUAAAUCAAAACCAUCGGUCAAAUAAGAACAAAUAAGGUGGUGUAGAGAGAAGUGGAACGUGAAAUGAAUCCUGCAUAGCUUCCAGAAGGAAGAAACAAUAAUAGUUGUCUAUGGCUACCACCAAAAUGUGAUGUAUCUGCACUUUUUUUAAUAUCGAUGCUUUGGGUGUUCCUAACUCUACAGAAUUGCAGCAUAGUAUGAUGCAUGCAGAAUUGCAGAUCAGCUUUCACGAACAACUGAUUAUAAAUUAUUCAAAGCAGCUAUUAUUUAUCAUUUUAGUGUCAGAAUUGUAAAGCAGCACUGAACCGCAAAAACUGCAUAAUCAUGCUUAUUAAUUUAGAUUUUUGGCCUAUUAUAAAGCUAUAAACUGACAAAACAUCAUGACACUAAUAAAGUGCAUAAUGUUUGAUUCUUUCCACCCAACUGAUAGAGAAAAGUCUCUUUUUUUUCCAGGUAACUAUAUCAUAUUAGAUAGCUUAGUUUUCAUUUUUUGACUUGAAGAAGCAGAAGUAGCUUUUGUACCAAAGAGACAGGUGAACUUAACCAAGACUUAUUGGGGUGCCAGACUAAUGUAAAAUUGUAGAAACACAAGCUAGAUCCUAAAAGCAGAUAACAAGCUGCACUCAUAUGUGGAUGCUACUACUCAACUAAGCUGUCAGCCGCUCAUUCAAGUUCCAAAAUCCACCUAGAGAAGUUCUUACGAAAAAAAUGUGAUAAGAAGUACAACAAAGAAGGGGUAACAACCAUUAACAUAAUAGGCAAGUAACCAAAAUUGAAGGUUUGCCUGACAGCUGGUCCGUCAUUACAUUGGAUGAAAGUAUCCACUUUAAAUUCCCCAUGAUACGUCGUCCGUGCCUGCCUGCACUGCUCAUCCAAACAGGAAAGAACGUCCAAAGUUUUCAAUAGAUUAAACAAAUGUCUUGUGUUUAAAAUGAAAAUGAUAUGUAAAGGGAUUUGAUAAGUCCAUAUAGCAAAACCUGCUGGGGGUAGAGCGGUGCAUCCAACCGACCAUCCCUCUUUGGUGGGAACAGAUGACCUUUCUCCAAGGAUAGUAUAGACGACGGUUAAGGGAAAAUGAGAUGAUAACCAAGUUACUUCCAUAGUUCAUUCCGUACACAAACAAUUAGCAUCCACAAAUAUAGCAGUCCUUCCAAACCUCAUCUAUUGGUGUCCUCGUAAGAGAGUGAAAACGAAUUCAAACCUGCGCCUUAGUAACUCUAUGUUGGAACUACUGGGUGUUGGCUUUAUUAACAACUUGUCAGCUAAGUUCGGAAAGCACGAGAGCUGUCUUAAGGUAAAUUCGUAGCACAUAAGAAUUGAAUUUUGGAUGCUGGGUGGGGAAAAACUGGUAAAUUCGUACUAGCACACAAAAAACUGGUCCACUGAACUGUAAGCGACGAGCAAAAGGUAAAAAAAAAAAAAAGCAGGAAGGAUAUUUCUGAGGGUGGUGGGGGAGUUGGGGACGGUGAUCUCCACGGGGCGGAUGGACUGAAGCAUCUUGUCGAGCCCCUCGUCGAUGAAGUAGUCGAACGAGUCGAUGUGCGGCCGGUACAGCUCCCGCAGCGCCGCGUACUGGUCCUCCUUGGAGGCCGACGAGCUCUUCCCGGCCGCCAUGGCCGCCCGUGCGGGGGGGAGAGGGGGAGGGAGGGANNNNNNNNNNNNNNNNNNNNNNNNNNNNNNNNNNNNNNNNNNNNNNNNNNNNNNNNNNNNNNNNNNNNNNNNNNNNNNNNNNNNNNNNNNNNNNNNNNNNNNNNNNNNNNNNNNNNNNNNNNNNNNNNNNNNNNNNNNNNNNNNNNNNNNNNNNNNNNNNNNNNNNNNNNNNNNNNNNNNNNNNNNNNNNNNNNNNNNNNNNNNNNNNNNNNNNNNNNNNNNNNNNNNNNNNNNNNNNNNNNNNNNNNNNNNNNNNNNNNNNNNNNNNNNNNNNNNNNNNNNNNNNNNNNNNNNNNNNNNNNNNNNNNNNNNNNNNNNNNNNNNNNNNNNNNNNNNNNNNNNNNNNNNNNNNNNNNNNNNNNNNNNNNNNNNNNNNNNNNNNNNNNNNNNNNNNNNNNNNNNNNNNNNNNNNNNNNNNNNNNNNNNNNNNNNNNNNNNNNNNNNNNNNNNNNNNNNNNNNNNNNNNNNNNNNNNNNNNNNNNNNNNNNNNNNNNNNNNNNGACGACGAGGUGAUCUGAGAUCUCCGGCCGCCGCCGCCGGUUUCGGGUUUCGCGGCGCGCCCCCAUCAUGGCCGACUCCACCAGGGUGCUGGCCGUCAUCCUGGUCGUCGACGUCGUCGCCUUCGGCCUCGCCAUCGCCGCCGAGCAGAGCCGCCCAUCGGUGCGCGCCCCCCUCUCUCCCCCUCCUCCGACGAACUGACUUUCUGUGCUGAUGCUAAUGCUGAUGCUGAUGAUGCUCCUGUGCUCUCUCUCUCUCUCUCUCCGGCGGCAAGGCGAGGGUGGAGACGGACGCGAGGCAGGAGUGGACCUACUGCGUGUACCGCCCCGACGCGGCGACCGGGCUGGGCGCCGCCGCGCUGGCGCUGCUGCUCAUCGGCCAGGCGGUGGCCGCCGUCUCCAGCCGCUGCUUCUGCUGCGGCGCCGCGCUCCGCCCCGGCGGCGCGCGCGCCUGCGCUCUCAUCCUCUUCCUCUCCUCCUGGUACCAACUCCGAUCCCCCCUUCCCCUUCCCCAUCCUCUCCACGAUUCGGCUCUCGCCGCCGCCGCCGCAUUGACCUCCCCGCGUGAGGCUGACGCGCGGGCCCCGCGAGUCGUGCGCUUCGUUUCUCGCGUUGUUUAAUCAAGCAAAGCAGCGCGAAUUCAGGGAUUAUUAGCUUGGGAAUCUCUAGCUGUCCAUGUUUGGGGUUGCCGAAAAGUCAGAAAGAAACUAGAGAUCGGUGCAGGGGAAAGCGCGUUGGAUCAACGACUCAGCCAAACUUGGGGAUUGGGAAAAUUGGGGUGUUGAUUGGUGAGGGUAAAAUUUACACGAAAUCCCUGCGGAUUGAUGCGAUUCGUGCUGAAAUAUACAAAUUAGUUGUUCUAUAUCCGUGAAUCAUCAAUCAUCUAGCUCUAAGAUUUUCUCAAGAAGAGGAAAUAUGCAAAUUAUUUGAUAUUUUCCCUAGAAUGUCAUGUAAUUUGUUAAAUUUUGCUUGCGCAUUCGGAUUAUUGGAUUGCUGAUAUUGUAUGCUAAUUUAUUUAGGGGUGCACACGGGGCAAAAUUGUAGGAAUGUUAGCAUAUAGCAGGCUAUGGUAGAAUACAAACUAUGAUGUUGAUGGUUUUUAAGAAUAAAUAAAUUGACUGGUUGGGAGUUUGGUCUUGAAUUUUGUACAGUUAGCAAUUAGCUUUGGUCAUCUUGGAGUUCUUAUGCUGAAUUGGUCAAAAUGUAAAGGUUGCCAUUUGCUUGCUAUGUCCUUCACAGUGUUAACUGAUCAAGGCUCAACCGUUGAGUUUAGUGCUUUAGUGGUUGUAGAAAUUGUUGGACGGCCGGCUGGACCAAGUCCCACAUUGAUUAAGGGCAAGCUUCAUCAACUAAUCAACGAGUAGCUUUCAGUUAAUACUAGUACUAAACUGUUCUGAUUUGUUGGGUUUGGAGUCGGUACUUUCUAUUGGUAAUCUGUGAGUCCAGUGAUACAGUCUAGUUAUAUGACCAUUUUCCCCCAAACUUCUUGCACAACACAUUGUAAACAAUUAUGACAGUGGUAUAUGUAUGAGCUCUGAAAUUCAGACUACCUGUAUGAAUUGUUUAUGAACCAUUUGUUUCUACACUGACUAGCUAAAGGCCCCAUGCGUUGCAACGGAUAUUAUAAGAGAUAAAAGCAAAAGAAAAACUUAAAUUUAGCAUAGUUAGUUGAUUAGGCAUAAAAUGCCAUAUAUAAAGCAAAAACAUUCAUGUGUAUGGAUCUUAUGGCCCCACAUGUUAGCUUGUGACGUUGGAGGCAGACGCUGACACCACCACUAGCAUCAUUUAAAGUAAUAAUAUAGAUAAUUGCUUAAUUGCUGCAGAAUUAAGUUUAAACAUUUUACCGAACUAACAAGUCAGGCAUGCGUUUUCUCAUGACUGCACCCGAACAACCAUAGUCAAUUUGUUUUACUUAUCAAAAUAAAAUAUUUUUGUUUUGUCUCCAGGCAGUUACUCAGUUUGUUGUAGAACUAGGCGUGUUCAUGGGUUAUCACUUAUCUUAUUUCCAGAAAUAUUAUGCAAAUUUUCUAUUUUGGAAGACCUGGCCCUAACUUUGAUAAUUCCCCUGGCACACAAUCUUUACCGAACGCCCCCUUUAACUGUCCUUUUUAUCUAGAGAAAACAGGGGUUUAUCUAUGAUUCCUCAGAUACGAUUGGCAUUGAUAUGUUUCUACUUGUGUUCUUUCAUACACCUGCUGGUGACAUGGGUACUGUGUUACCUGUUCAUUGUAGCACCUAGUAUGUAUUACAGCAUCUGAAAAAUACUUUUACUGCCAUGAUUCUGUACUAAUUAGACUGCUAUAUGAACGCAUGAAUUUAUUGAAUUCUCACUUUUGCCCCCAAAACAAAAGCAUAAAAAUUGCAAGCAGCAUAAGGCAUAAGAAUCAUAGCAUGACAUCUUCAAAUGCUUCAAUUUAUUCAUCCAAUGAUCUCUAUAUAUCAAACAGUUGAAUUACCCAGUUAAGCAGCCAGCGAAUCUAUACAAAUUUCAUCCAAACCAUCCAGUUUUUGCACACUGGGGUACUGAACAUUCUGCCUGAUGUUCUUCUACUCAGGUUGACAUUCCUCAUCGCGGAGUCGUGCCUGCUGGCCGGGCUGGUGCAGUCCGCCUACCACACCCGCUACCGCAAGGUCUUCUUCGAGAACCCGCCGGACUGCGAGACGGUGCGGCGGGGCACGUUCGGCGCCGGCGCCGCCUUCUCCCUGAUCACCUGCGUGCUCACCGGAGCCUACUACUUCUACUUCUCCAAGUCGCGGGUCUCCUACGCCCGCCGGGAAGCCACCAUCGGCAUGAGCCCGUACAGCUGAAACCCUGAACCAUCACUUCACUUGAUCUUGUCUCUGCUAUUUGUGCUUAAUUAGUCUGUUAUUACAAUGCAUAUUCAGAGAGAGAGAAAUCACUGUGUAAUACUGUGACAGUUUUGGUAACCAUGUGAUUUAAAUUUAUUUUGUUAGGUCUUUUGCACACAAAGUGUUGUUGGUCUGUUGGUGCAGAGGAUUUUUGCCAGUUGUUCUGCUUGCCUGUGGGUUCCCUGCUACCGGUGCUUCUGCUCUCGUGUCUCGUUGCUCAUUUUCAGAGCUAUAUACUGUAGAUGAUUAUAGCAAAGUGCUAUGAAAUCGCUUCACAAAUUGAUGGGGUUAAUAUCAGAGCAUCUAGCAGAAUGGAAUAUACCCACUGGCUUGAGACUUAUCAAGAUAUGAUCCUUGACUUACAUUGAACCAUAACUAGUGCUUUUAUGUAUGUAAGCAAGCACAUAGCAGUCUUUCACUUUUGUUUUUCUGUCUGACAAUUUGCUUUGUACUCCCUCCCUUUCAUAUUAUAAGUCAUUUUAGUUUUUUCUCUAGUUAAAAUUAUUUAAGUUUAAUCAAGUUUAUAAAAAAUAUAGUUAUAUUUUCAACGCAAAACAAACACAUUAUCAAAAUAUAUUUAAUAUUAGAUCUAAUGAAACUAAUUUAGUGUUUUGGAUGUCAUUAAAUUCUUUUAUAAACUUAGUUAACAAAGUUUAACUAAGUUUAUACGGAGUAAUAUUUAACGGUGGGAGUAGUACUUAAAAAAGGGAAAAAAAAAGCAUAACACAUAGAUGCACGUACAAACUAGAAAUGGGCAGAGUCGCACAAAUACACAAAUUUAACUACAGUAGGUCAACAUAUACCCACGAGUUAAUAACCUGAAUCCAAACUACACUAGUACAGUCAUAGGCUCUUGUUACGCUAAUUUAGUAUGCGCAUACGACAUACGUAUAUACUUUCAUAGCGCAUGUGUAUGCAUGUAUGCAUACAUAGGCUAUACAUGCAUAUACACACACAUAUAUAUACGUAUACGUAUUCGGUAUAUAUAUCCGUAGCUCCGUAUACGUAUACGUAUCAAUACAAGCACGGGUUACUUAACAUGAACCAUCUAGACCGGGCAUGUCAUCUUGCAGCCACCCGUUCCAGUACUGCACGCCGCCGCCGCCGCAGUUCGCGUCCGGCGCCGCCGUCGACGCCGCUCCGACCGCGCCGCCGACAUCGCCGGUGGCGGCCUGAGGUGGAGCCGCGAACGCCGCCAUUUGCUGCCACGCGGUCAGGUCGAUGCUGUAGCCGCCUCCGCCACCGGCGGUAGCCGGCGCCAUCAGCAUCUGCCUCAGGAGAUCGGGGAACGACGACGACGUCGGCGGCGCCGCCGCCGGCGCGACGACAUGGGCAGAAGCCGCCGUCGAGGCUGUGGCGCCGGCCUUGCCUCCGCCGGCGGCGCGCUUGCUGUUCUUGCGGCCGCCGCCGACGGGGACGUCGCGGAGCGUGCCGCCCUCCGUCCAGUGGCGGCGGCACGCCUUGCAGAGGUACCGCGGCUGCGUGCGGCUGUAGUUGUUGUAGUAGCAGAACUUGGUGUUCGCCGAGCCGCACCGCGGGCACUGCCUCGGCGGCGGCCUCGGCAGCGGCGGGUGCCCGGCGUGCCUGCCACCCUGCCUCGGCGCCGCCGCCGCGUUCACCGCCUCGACGCCGCCGCCGCCAAUUCCGCCAUUGGCAGCAGCGGCGUAUCCCUGCCCCUGCACGCCAAGAUCGUCGUCGAACACCAUCAGCUCAUCGUCAAGAUCAGUCAACCAUCGAGCUAAUCCGUGACGUACCAUGAGAAGGGGAGGAGGAGGAGGAGGAGGCCUAGGCGGGGUCAGGUAAGAGAGGGGCGACGAAGCGGAAGAGGAAGAAGAGCCCAGGAACGGCGACGACAUGGCUCCCGCGACGCCGCGGCGAGGGCCAGGGUAGCUUCUUGCCGGCGGCGGAGACGACGACGACGAGCUGCGCCUGCGCGCGCUUGCUCCGCGCCGGGGACGACGACGACGACGACGACGAGGAGUAGUAGUAGUCGUACCACGGUGAACCCCUGCGCAUGUCGGACCGGUGAGCCGCCGCCGCCGCCGAUCGAACACUCUCCUUCUUCUUCCUCCCCCCAACCAGCUGCUGCUGCUGCAGCUGCUUAGCAAUAUCAAUUAGUACAGAUUAAUGAAUAAUCUAGCUAAAUCUUACUUCUAGUAGCUGUGUGGUGACUGUGACAGUGUGAGCUAGUAGCUAGAGGGCAAGGAGGAGGAGGAAGCGAAGGUGGAAAGCCAUGGAGGUGUUUCAGUGAAGGUGUCGGGGUUGAUUAUAUAGCUAGGCGAGAGGGGAGGUAUACUCCCUCCAUUGCUCGUAAAGGAAGUUGUUUAGGACAAUGUUUAAGAGGGUGUUUGGAAAUUAGAGACUAAAAGUUUAGCCCCACUUUAGUCCCUCCAACCAAACACCACCUAAGUCAAACCUUGGGAAUAUAAAUCAUGAAUAAUUCUCAAGUUGUUAAGUUUGAAAACGUAAAAAAUAUAUAAAUAGAUUUGUCUUGAAAAAUAAUUUUAUAAAAGUAUACAUAUAUAUCACUUUCUUAAUAAAUAUUUUUAUAGAAAUAAAAAGGUUAAAGUUAUAUUUUAAAGAACGUGUCGCUGUACAAAACAACUUCCUUUACAAUUACCGAGGGAGCACUGAGGUUAGGUGUGUGUGGAAGAAGAGGGGGCUUAAUUUCUUUUGCUUAAUGACUAAGGUCAUAGUGGAGACGAGGGCGGCGAUCGAUGAUCAGCUCGCGCGACGGAAAAGCGAACCGAAGCAAACGUGGACUGAACAAUGUAUGCGUGCAUGCAGCCACCCGACCCUCCUGCUGCGGUGUGUGCUGCAGCAGCGGUGCAGGUGUGGAAAGUGGAGGACCACACUUUUUGGUCCAUCACAUUACACGUGUCUAAGUAGGGAGAUAUACAAAAUCACUACUAGAAAAAUCAUUUUUCGAGACGUGGGCGUUAUUUUCUUUUCAAGCGGGUAGGUCUCUCGAAACUAAAUUGCCGCCUACGAAAAUAAAAACCGUGAGACGAGAUAGUUGUCCAUCUACGAAAAUAAGCAUCUUUAAAAACCUCUCUCCCCUCUUCCCUCGCAGCCAAAGUUUUCUAAGUCCCCUCCCACCUCUUCUCUCCUCUCCCCUCCCCUCCCACCUCUCCUCCCCUCUCCCCUCCCACCGGUGGCAGUGGUGGCGCACCCUGGCGCGGUGGCCGGAGGGAGGGGGGAGGGCAGUGGCGGUGGCGGCUGCUGCUCCUGGCUAUGGCUCCCCUCCCUCCCUCCCAGAUCUGGCCCGAGGAGGAAGGGGGGAGGGCGGUGGCCAGCGGCGCUCUCCUCCCUCCCUUCUAGAUCCAGCCGGAAGAGGGGAACCGGCCGGCGGCGGCAGUAGCAGUGGAGGCGGCAUGAGGGCGAAGGUGGCGGCCACCAGAGGCACGGCGGCGCACGACAACUAGGAGGAGAGUCGGCGGCACCGCUCCCCUUCCUCCGUCCCUCCCUCCCAAAUCCGGCCAGAUGAGGGGAGCCGGCCAUCAGCGACGGAGGCAACGCUCCCUCCUUCCUCCUCCCAUAUCUGACUGGGGGAGGGGGAGGAGAGUUGGCGGCCGAAGGGAGGGGCCGACGGGGGAGGGCGGGGGUGGUGGAUGCGGCGGAGGAGGAGCCGUCUCCCGAAUGGGGAGAAGCCGAAGGGGGAGGCCACCAGUGGCAUUUUUUUUAUUUUCGCUAAAAAUAUUUUUACAAGCGGGUGGAUCAACCGCCUACGAAAAUGAUUUUUGUAGGUGCCGUUGGGCGUUCGCAAGCCUUUACGUACAUGCGCUCCUUUCCCCCGCCUGGAAAAACUACUUUUGCCCGCCUAGAAAAAUGUUUUUUCUAGUAAUGAAUGGUUUUCCGACAUAUUUUCUCCGUAAAAAAAAAACCCAAAUCUGAACAGAGGAGGUUAUAUUCCAUUCCCACCUAGGUUAGCUUUUAUAGACCAAAGAGAAGUAAGAGCUAACCACGAUAGAUCAGUGGCAGAUCAAAAAAAAUAGCAGUGGGGUCUGAGCAAACUAGAUAGAGUUACAAUCCCCCUCCCAUCUAUAUAUGGUAAAAAAUUUUAGUAGGGUCUUCGUGGGGGCUUUCAUAGUCAUCACGCCAGUAGUGGGGGCUCAGAGAGCCCGCCGCUCUCAUGUUAGAUCCGUCCCUACGACAGGUAGUAUAGCGAGGAUAGAGGAACAGGCAAGAACUUAAACGGCGGCAAAAGCCAAGUAUCUAACAGAGAUGUUACUUUAGGCUGCUAGCUAGUUCCUUGUACAAUCUAACUAUUUUCUUAGUUUUUAUCUCUUAUAUAUAUAUAUAUAUAUAUAUGAAUAAUGCCCUUUUCUUCCUAUAUUCUUUUAAAUUGACACUUCUAUAUCUUCUCGUUUAAAAAAAAGUUACACAUGCCUGGUGAUCGGCGGGUAGCUACUACUAGUACUGUAUUGCAUUAAUCAAACAGGUGUAGAAUAGCAUCAAGACAAGUUCCCAAGUUUGGUACCAGUGAUGGACGGUGCAAAAACCCUGAGCUGUAGAGCGAGCACACAAGGAUUGGUUCACCUUUUCGGUUGAGCAACAGAUACGGACUUCUGAUGGUAAUAUGACGGUUUUCGCCAUUUUAAUCAAAUUUUGAUAAGAUUUUGGUCAAGUUUUCACAAUAUUUGAAUUAUCAGAAACCAUUCAAAUUUCACUCGAAAAUCUGCUCUCAUCCCGUGUCAAAACACCUAUACAUUUCGUGGUUUCUGGUUGGUUUUCGUUCAAAACGUGAAACUUACAUAUAAAACCAAUUUGUGUUAACGAUAUCAUCGGACCGAACUAUCGAGAAUCAAAAUUCAGACAUAUGAGGAAGAGAAGACUUCUGCAUGCAUGACAUGUGUAUAAUCGACAUGAUUUGCACUUUGGAAAGAAGAAAAAAAGUGUGAUUUAUUAUUUGAACAAUUUGCAACACGGACUGAUAAGAUAACUUAAAAUCUGUGAGGAGAUAGCGCAAUUAAGAUAUAUACCACUGAGUGCUGCACUCUCUUGAUCGCCGUAGACGGGUCAAAAGUUGGUUAGCCAGUGAUAUAGCAGUAGUAGUUGCAUUUUCUUGAACAAAAUUGCACUCUUGAUUUCUUAAAAAAAAAAGAAAGCACUCUCGAGAAAAUAUACUACUAUCUCCUUUUACAACUAUAACAAUAUUUAAGUACUUUAUCCGUUUCAACAACAUAAAACUUUAUAGCAUUACCCAAAUUCAUAUAGAUGUUAAUAGAUCUAGACACAUAUACAAAACAUACAUACAUACAUACAUAUAUAUAUAUAUAUAUAUAUAUAUAUAUAUAUAUAUAUAUAUAUAUGAUCAAUGGAUGAAUCGAUGUAAAUCCAAAAAGUGUUACAAUGGGUGUGUUCCGCUGCAGGCAAGGGCUGCAGCGCUAGCUACUGUAGCCUAUACGAACAGUGAAUCAAGAAAAAAAAAAGUCCAGCGGCUGGCUGCAGCAGUUGCAGUACAAAUUUAGACAUACUCGUUAAGGUUUAUAACUAAAAUUUGUUAUAAUUCUGGGACAAAAGAAAUACUACAUUAAUUUUCUCUUAUAUAAUUAAAAAGUAAAAAAAAAUGUUCCUGUGCUUCAAUAGUUGAGCAACCACUGUUGACCACCCGCUAACCGCCAAUUAUCAAUUCCAGCGGUUCCUGAACAACGGUCGCCGCCGCUACCGUGAUCAGAGCCGGAGACACACAGCGGCGGAGUUAUAGCUCCCCGGCAUGUCGGGCAGCCUAAAACGAUAUGUCUGUCUCCAUUAUCGUUAACCGUCCACACGUAUAAAAAUUAGUCGGUCAUCGGAAAACGUUACUAUUCACCUCCGCUUCUAAUAUAUUGACGUGCGAUCUUCUUAUGCGUUGCGGCAGUACUGGCUCCGCCACUACGGACAGAUACAAGUGCAGAGUUUUCUUGCGCUGGAAGACUAGCAAAGCUAGCCCGAUUGGUCGGCCCCCACCACGUAGGUAUAUGGGCGUGGUGUAUAUUGGUAGUUUAGUCGCGUGGUGGCCGGCGACGGCGACAGGAACCGGCGAGGAGGACAUGGUCGGCGCGCAAAAGGCACUCUCCCGGCCCCUUUUUUCUCUCUCUCGAUCAGUUCCGUGCUCUGCUCCACGAGUGAUCGCCCGCCGAGUGAGUAGGACUGAAAACAACAAGCGUUUUUGUCGCCUCCCGCCGCCGCCGUCGCCGUCUCAAGUCUUCCACUAUAUACCUACAGUGAAGUCACCACGCGUCCGUCUUGAUCGGCGCAUGCAGAAACAGGAGAUGCAUAUGCCUUUUGAUCGAUCGAUUCUGGCAUGGAAAAGAGAAGAGAAACGUAGCCACCCAGAGCUUAAUUUCGGACCAGCUUCGCAAAAUGGUUCGGAAAUGGGCCAGGAGAUCAUAUGCUUGACCUGCAGUCUCAAUUCCUGGGAGACAAAUCUAAUUUUUGAGAGUAUCUAAAAAACUGUCACAAAUAAAUUUUUUGGGUCAAAAACAUUCAGAUAUAACUAUACCAUAACUGAAGUGUAAUUGCACUGUAACUGCACUAUAACUUUUAUAUAUAACUUAUUAAAACUUGCAUUCAACAAUGGUUUGAUUAGAUAACACUAGGAUCUUAUGCAUGACAUGUAUAAAAAUUUCUUUCUAGCAUUUUUUUCUCUUCAUGCUCAAAUCUCGAGGCGAUCCGAUGGUCACAAAUAUAAAAGUUUUGGGGGCAAAAAGUGUUAGGAAACGAUAGGCAAACAAAUGAUAAAGAAUAAUAGAUCAAUCACAGAAGACACGAGAUUUUAACGUGGAAAACCCUCCCAAAGUAGGAGAGAAAAAACCACGGGCGCCAGCCAGCAAAAUAUCUUCACUAUAUCUAGGGUGGGGUUACAACGCCGCACAACGGCUUACAAGAGGUAUAUAUAUGGUGGAACCCUAAAAAGGAUGACGAUCCGGCCCAAGCCUCCCGGCGACAGGCCUCCGCUCCACUACGGCAGAAGCUGGCCUUUAUUAAGUGCAAAUGAAUUUGUAUCACAACUCAAAAAAAAACUUGUAAAUCCGCUAAUUUAAUCGUUAGAUUCAAGUGUCGAUUGUUUUAUUGCUGGUAUCUUUGGUGUAUAAUUGUUGACGACUAAAUUGGUAGAUCAUGUACCAAAUUAGAAGUUAAUAUUGAUCUUCGGGAUCGAUUGACGUGCUGCACAAGUAUUGCCGCAAUUGGGAUGAGCCCACAGAGGGGCAGUUGUAUCUUAUUAAUUAGGAGCCACAUUGAUCGGCUUUAUUCUUCAUUACCGAUCUAAUGCUAAUACAUCAGCUUAGUGAUUAACGAUAUGUCAUCGGCCCUUAGCCGAUCGGCUAUCGUUUACGGAUUUAACCUUAUUUUCUUGUUUUCCUUUCUUGUUGAUUGCAGGAUCAAAUCAACUGGCAUGCAUUUAAGCUCGAAAGCAAGAUUUAGGAUCUGCAUUGGAGUUAAGCAGAUAUCCCAAGUCCUCGAAAGCAAGAUUUAGGAUCUGCAUUGGAGUUAAGCAGAUCUCCCAAGUCAGUAUGUAUUUUUUUCAUCAACACGCUUUUAAUAAUGUACUCUUUCCAUAUUUUUAAUAGAUUUUACAUAAUAUCUGACCAUUUAUUAUAUUAUAAAAAAAAUAUAAAUAUCAUUUAUUUUCUUGCGGCAUGUUUUAUUAUUAAAGAAAAUUUAAGUAUAAUCGACUUGUAUUUUAUCAUAUUUACACUAACCUUUUGAAAAUCUACGAAUGGUCGGCACUGAUACACGUAUUAAUUUUUUCUUACUAAAUUUUUACUAACAACCAUCUCAACUGUUUGAUUUAGGUAGAUGGAAGUUAUAAAAAAUAUCUAAAUGUACUUAUAGCAUAUCAAUGUUAGUAAUAUUUUAAUAAUAAAAAGUUAGUACGUAUAGCAUUUUACUUUAAAAUUUAACGCCGCCAUCUAUUAAAAAAAACAGAGAUAGGAUAUAGAAAUAACAAAACAGACAUAUAGUUAUAUAAGCUGUUCAAUUAAUUUGGUUCACUCGGCCGUAUGCAAAACAAUGUCUACACUGGCAUGCAUCAAAGCAUUCCACAAGGACAAGUUAGGACCAUGGACUUUAUAAUUUUUCCCUUUUGCUAAAUGGAGGUUAUUUCCCCCAAAUUAUUACUCUAAACAUUUAAUUUGGAGACUGGAAUUUGUAGACAAACUGCUUUAAGAUUAAAGCAUACUCCAUGGAGCAAAACUAGAGUAGAAACUUCCAUCACAAAAAAAAAAGAAAGAAAGAAAAGAAAGAGGGGCAGUCACCUGACAGGCUGACACCAGGCAACAUCUGCAAAGUUAAUUAUCGUCAAUUGACGUGCAGUCAACACUCUUGCACUACGAGGAGAUACCAAUGCUCAAGUACCCCGAUCUUGCUCUCUUACAUUUGCCGUGCUCCAAAAUUACCAGUCAUAUGUUAGCCAAUCAAAAGAUCACAUACAUACUCUGAAGAAAAGGUUUGGAAAGCAUUUGAAGCCAUGAACAGUUGAACACAUACUUUUUUAUGACACCAGACAAUGUCAGCAGAAAAGAGACAUGAGAUUGGCAGAAAAUUCGGAAUUCCUUAAUAAUAGAAAAAAGAACAGGAUUAAUAUUUGGAGACAAAGAAGUUCCUCCAAACAUUCAUUUGAGAAAGAAUUAUGAGCGUGGUUUCAACACAUACCCUUACCACUACACUAUCAAUUGCAUCUUCAAAUUCCAAAAUAGAUUACUAGUUUACUACUGAUUGGCCCACGAAAACAGAAAUAAAUUGUAUUAGGAGUUCAGGACACCAUGUCGCAAUGUAUGCAUUUUCUAGAAAAAGGCUACAGUAAUCCACAUAUGCUAAUGACGGAAUAAUUAUGCUUAAUAAAUUCGUCUCGCGGUUUUCCAUACGAGUUAUAAAAUUAGUUUUUUUAUUCGUGUUCAAAAACCCCCGAAUCCGGUCAAAUAUCCGAUGUGACACCCAAAAAUUUUCUUUUCGCGAACUAAACAAACGCAAAGUUUGCAAAGUAUGCUACUUACAAAACGCUACGAGUUCUAUUGUGCCAAUGCUGCUUAUGAUUCUAUAGCUGAAAUUAAUCACUCUCCCAUUGAAAGACGUACAUAGGGUACCAAGGCCUAUUACUGGAAGCAGAACGUGAAAGAGGUCACCAUGGCGCAGGGCGUGUCGCCGGCGGCGUAGUAGGGAUCGGCGGCGGCGCACCGUUCGAACCGCCGCUCGAACGACCUCCACCACGAGGUGCUCUUCGCGGCGCCGCGGUCGAGCAGGAACGCGAUCCAGAGCUCCCGGUUGGCCUCCGCCUCCGACGCCGCGUGCCUGCCGGCGCCGCGGUCGAGGUAGAACCGCUGCCACGCGUCCGGCCGGCCCUUCUCCCUCCACCCCUUGUUCGGCGGCCGCGGCGUCGGCAUCGCCAUGGCCGCCUCCCGCCCGAGGAAGAACCGGGCACGGCAUCCACCCCCUCGGCCUCUCCUCCGGCGGCGGCACGGACGGGCGCCGGGACGGGUGCAGUCUCCCCCCGCCAUAGACGAUGGCGGAGAGACUCUCGCCGCCGCCGUCGACGUCGUCAUCAGACUCCUCCAUGUCGUCGCCGCCGUUGGGAUCCCCCGAGUCGUAGAGGAGAACCUGCAGGGUGUGGAAUUGAAGCAGAUGAGCAAAUCAAAGGCCAAAAUCAAUCGAUCGAUCGAGUUUUGAUCGGCGGACGGCGUACGUGGGGAGGGAACUGGUCGCCGUAGAGCUCCUCGAACACCUCGAGGAAGGCGUAGAUGGGGUCCGGUGGCUGCUCGUCGGGGUCGGGGAGGCGGACGCCGCCGGGCAUGAGAUCCUCCAUCGGGUGGACGGGGUGGAACGUCUGCCACGACGCCCAUUGGCGGCGGUGGUUGGCCAUCUCCGGUGCCCUCGACGGUGGCGAAGUCGAAGUCCAGGCGAGGCGAGGCGAGGCAAGGCGACACGACGCGGCUCGGAUCGAUCACCGACAGGUUUUAGCUGCCAAAAGUCGGUUUGGAAAAGGCCCAGUGAUGGGCCACACGCCCACGGCCCACGCUAGGAUAAUAUUGUGAAAAAUUGGAAAAAGUACACCGAAGGUCCCUCAACUUCUCAUCGAGUUACAAAAUCGUCCCUCAACCACAAAACCGGAUACAACGCAUCCCUUAACUUACAAAACCAGUACAAACUAGAUCCCUCGGCGGUUUUGACUCCAAUUUUGUCCGACGUGGCAGCUGACUCAGCGUGGGACCCACGUGGGCCCCACACGUCAACACCUACUCACCUUUCCCCUCUUCUCUUUCGUUUCUCUCCUUCCUCUCGCUCUCUCUUUGCUCUCACACGGGGACGGCCCUAGGGCUGCCACCCACAGCGGCGCGCGCGAGUUCGCCGGCCUCCCCGCUCACCUCGUGCGGGCCGGCCGGCAGGGCGAGGUAGGAAACAGGCGGCGGGGUGGCGUGGCGACGCUGCGGCGGCGGGCCGGGCGCAGGCCGGCGCCGCGGGGAUGGGCGCAAAGGUGGAAGCAUGCGCGUGCGGCGGACGGCGGUGGGAGGAGCCGCGUGCGGGCGGAUUCACGAACUUCAUCACCCUGCCAUUGAGCGAGCCGGGGGCGGCGUUGGUAGGGAACGGGUAGGGCGCCGAGUUGAGCAACUCGAUCUCGGCCGUCGGCGACUAGGAGAAGUCGAUGAUGACGUCAAAGAUCUCGGCCAGGGAGAGGAGGUUGGUGACGGUGUCCAGGGCCGAGAGGUACGACGCGUCGGAGCCGAAGACGUGGAUGGGGAAGCUGUUAGAGAGGGAGACGUUGAAGUAGCGGGCGUUGAUGGCGUUUAGGAUGCGGAGGCGGUAGCGGCGGCGGUAGACGAUGAGGAACGGCCAGGCCUUGCCGUUGACGGUGAUACCCUCGCCGAAGAACUCUGGCUGCCAUGGCGCUGGAACGGGGGAGGACGGCCGGAGCGGCGGCUUGUUGGGGACGGCCUCGCGGAUGAGCAACGGCCGGAAGGACAACGGCGGCGGCGGCGGCGACAACGCGUCGGCCGGCCAACUCCCUCCUCGCCGCCUCCAUCCCCACUUCCCUCCCGCUGUCGCCGUCUCCGUCUUCCGCUCCUCCCUCGCCCUGAAUGGGAGUUUCGUCGGAGCGGCAUCCUCCUCCUCCACCUCGCCACCACCGUUCCCCUCCAGCUCCCCCUUCGCUCUACCCCUGUGGUCCCACCACCGACGCUCCUCCCCGCUCGCGUGCGCCGACCUCGUCGACCGGGGUGACUUCAACGGGGCACGCCGCGACGCGACACCAUGCUCGCCGCCGCCGACCUCGUCGAGCGGGGUGACUUUGACGGGGACAAGAGAGGCCAUGGCGACGCCCGACCGUGGCGUGCUCCUCUGCACCGGUGACCGCGCCCGCCGAACCGUCCUGUCGCGCCGCCCUGGCUGCUCUUCGCCGGCCACCGCCCAUGGAGAGGGAAGGAGAGAGGAAGUGAGUUGAUGGGGAGGGUAAGAAGUGGUGACGUGGUCAAUCUAACACGCGGGUCCCAUGCGGACUCAGCUGCCACGUCGGACAAUACCGGGAUCAAAAUCACCGAAGGACCUAAAUUGAACGGUUUUGUAACUUGAGAGAUGUCAUAUAUCUGGUUUUGUGGUUGGGGGACGAUUUUGUAACUCGAUGACAAGUUGAGGGACCUUCGGUGCACUUUUUAUGUGAAAAAAUUGUCCAUUGCCAGGCCUCCUAGUCCUGAUGGUUUUAAUGGCCUUUUUGUCAAGAAGUGUUGGCCCAUAAUUUGUCAGGACUAUUUAUAGGCUAGCUGCUGAGUUUCAUUCGGGGCAUCUUGCAGCGAGAGGUCGAAGUGGGCCUGGGCACGGUGUAGACUUCGAAGUCGUCGUCGACGAAGGCCACCAUCUUCGUGAGGGUGGCGCCGAUGGGCAUGUCGCCGGCCAGAGGACGUCAUCGAGGCCGUCGGGCGCCCGCCCUCCCCCCCCGCAGCCGCCCAGCUCCUCCCCUACCGGCUGCCGCCCGCGCCCAGCUCCGCCCCGCCAGCCGAGCCCCGCUCCGCCCCCGACGGCCGCACCCAGCUCCUCCCCCGGCUCCCCUGGCUAGGAGGGCGGGCGCAGGAGGCCGUGCGGCGCUGCUGCCGCCUCGUCGCCCAUCGCCCGUUGCCGGUCUCCCGCGCUCCCCCACCGGCCGGCUGCCCUGCAUGGGGAGGGGAAGAAGGAGAGAGGAAGAGAGGGAGGGGAAGAAGGGGCUGGCAUAUGGGACCCACGUGGGUCCCAUGCUGAGUCAGCUGCCACGUUGGAUAAAACCGGAGUCAAAACCGCCUAGGAGUCUAAUUUGCACCGGUUUUAUAAGUUGUAUCCGGUUUUACGGUUGGAGGACGAUUUUGCAAUUCGAUGACAAGUUGAGGGACCUUGGGUAUACUUUUUCCAAUCAGAUUCGCUCACUAGCUAAUGGAGUCGAAGUGGAUUUAUUCCAAAUCAAAAUCUCUUCCAGACCAAAUAACAUGGGCACAUCUAAGUCAGAGUCCCGUUCCGGCCCGACAGAUAUGGGCCCCUUGAAUCACGGCCGUACUGACCAACGGACUGGAUCCUUCCGACGCCGGUGGGCGGGGAGGCGGAGACGGCAGCCUCGUGGAUAUUAAUUGUUUUGUUGAAGCAACAGAUGCAGGUGAUUUGGCUGGUGCAAACCCAAUCCUUAGUUGUAGCUGAUAUUGUUUUGAUCCACAAUGUGUUUUGCAUUCUGUCUAGUUGUGAUGUCUUGCAAUGUCUCAACUCUCUACUGUGAAGGCUUUUGCCACAGAUUUGUCUUCAGGCGAGUAUAUUUCUUUAUAAGAUAGUGGCAGGAAUGCCGCUUUGUUGCUGCAACUUUCACAACAAACUUCAGCAAUACACCGCAUUUGACGGCACCUUACAUGCACAGGCUUACAGCUUAUUUCUGCAUAUAUAUAACCAAAUGGCAUCCAUUUCCAUCUCUACCAAUCCUUGCAAAUCGCAAGAGAGAAAUGUUAUGAACUCUGAAUUCUGAAGAGUGAUGUUGUACUUUGAGCUCUGAAGAAAGCAAGUUUACCGCCCAUAGAUCACGAGCAGUGACAGCCACUGACCCAGUGAGUCCAAUGCUCGACCAAUGCGCAGUGAUGGCCUGUUCCAGAGUACCACAUCCUUCCUGUUGUUGCUGAGUGACCUGGCCCAAACCUAUCGACAAAUUAACACAGUAUUGCCAGCUUCAGAGCAUGGAACAAAGACAAGGCUGAAACUUGAAAACCACUGAUGCAGAUGAACAGGGAUUACCUCCAAUCCAUUGUCAGCUUGCAUUUUCUUUCCUUGGACACCUAGUCUGUCUGCACAAAGUUGUUAUAUGAGUAUGGUGAAAUAUCAAAGAAUAUGGCUAGAUCUAAGCAUGUGAAAGAGAAGGCUUGCCUUGGUUCACAACGAUGACCUCCCAGUUGCUGAGUAUGUCUUUCAUCUGCUGGCUCGGGCCUGUUUAGUUUCCAAAAAGAAAAUUUUUUUGUGUCACAUAGGAUGUUUGACCGAAUGUCGGAAGGGUUUUUCGGACACGAAUGAAAAAAAUAAUUUCAUAACUCGCCUGGAAACCGCGAGACGAAUCUUUUGAGCCUAAUUAAUCCGUCAUUAGCACAUGUGGAUUACUGUAGCACUUAUGGCUAAUCAUAGACUAAUUAGGCUGAAAAGAUUCGUCUCGCGAUUUUCUCUCUAACUGUGCAAUUAGUUUUUUCAUUUAUCUAUAUUUAAUGCUUCAUGCAUAUGUCCAAAGAUUCGAUGUGAUGUUUUUGGGAAACUAAACGGGGCCACAUUGAGCGCACAUCACAUCCAAUCAAAAGAGGAGCCUGAACAGUUGAAGCAAAGCUUGCUGUGAGGAAAUGCAACAAAAGAAAAUAUUCAACAUUGCAGCAAAACUGUUAGUACACAAAACAUGCUAUGGUACCUAUGAUUGUGCCCACAGAUACUGAACUGUGAGCGGUACUCCGAUUAAGACAUCUCCCCAUCGCCCACUUCAAGCAUGCCAGGAUCUGCAAUUGAUGUUCAACAGCAUCUGUUGAUCGGUUCGAAGCUCUCAAAUGGUUGAGCAGAACACAUUCAUCUCAAAUUCUUACCGUUCCAUCCACCAGGUCCAGCAUAGGCAGGCAGCCCAUUUGUCGUUUUCGUCUGCACAAGAUGUCAUACUGAAAUAACAGCGCAAUCAUGAUCAGUACUACCUCCUUUUCACAAUAUAAGUCAUUCUAACAUUUUCCACAUUUAUAUUAGUGUUAGUGAAUCUAGAUAGAUAUAUAUGUUUAGAUUUAUUAAUAUCAAUAUAAAUAUGAGAAAUGUUAGAAUGACUUACAUUGUGAAACGAGGGAGUACUGAAAAACUCAAGUAUUAUGUAAAUGAUACUACAGAGAAGAUGAGCAGAACCUGCCCCAGUUGUCAGUGAUGUCAUCAGUUGUUCUCCGGCUUGUUAACCAUGUAGCAAGAUUUUCUUAUCCCCUGUACAGAAAAGGCAUGGGGCCCUAGGGAAUCAACAAUGCUUCGUUGUUCCUUCGACCCAGCCAAUGAUUUUACAGCAAGCCAAACAUUUACAGAGUGACAACAUAAUAUUACUGUAGGUCUUCAUGGCAUUUCUCAUUCUAGUGUACUAUUCAUUAGACAUGAAAACAUUUAGCCAGCAGUACGAUGCAUAAGGCUCACAAAGUUUUGCAGCACACGUAUUGCUUCUAUAAACAAAUGUACAAAAGAAUGGAAUCUUUACUCUUUCCUCCACUAAAAAGUCCUUGAUUGUAUAACCAAGGGAGAGUGAUAUCUACUACAAUAUGAAAAAAAGCACCAAACCACACUGCGUUGGCACAUGAAGAAAAGAACAAUACCGCAGAAGAUUCACACUUCUGAGGUAUUUGAAGAUUAAUCAAAAUGAAUAGAUGAAUGGCAAAAGCGCAGAGAAAAACAGCAUUAUAGAAGAAGCUGCUCUGAAUGAGAUACGGCCACAUGAGGCGAUAUAAUUGAAAUGUUUUUCAAACAUAAUUCGAAUAGGAUCACACAAAAAGAGAAUUAACGAGAUCAGGAAGGUAACAAGUCAUAAAUAGUAGAAAUCCGAAUCGCUUUUAGCACAAACAGAGAGUAACAUGAAGCGUUCGGGUUAGCUAGCCAAGAUCAUUCACAUUUAGGAUCACAACUACUAUGACAAGUACUAUGCCAAUCAGAAUCAAAUCACAGUUGCAAUCCCAUUCAUUCCAAUACGUUAGCAAUUCACUCGGUUUAACUACGAAAGCAGUUACUUGUGAUUCCCACACGUUUAGUUACAAGUAGCAAAGAUACGGGCAAUAAUAAUAACACCAUUAGACAUAGUAAUAUCCUAAUAAUGAUUAAUGAGCAGAAGCACUCUAGUAUAUUUAGCUGGAUCACAGAUCAUUGCUCCUUACCACCAACCAUUAUUGAUUCCCUGCAAGAUUCUAGCUACACCUCGUCGUCGUCGUCGUCGUCGUCGGUGACCUCCUGCUGGAUCUCGGCGUAGCCCUUGGUGCGGUACUGGUAGAGGACGAAGGCGUCGAAUUCCCUGUUCUCGUGAACCUGGGCGGCGAUUUCCUGCCUGAGUUCUUGGUCGACGAACAUGUGCUGCGCGACGCCCGGAUCGAUCGGGAGCGGGCGAGGCGUCUCGCGCGCGAGGUAGGCCAUCACCUCCUUGGUCCGCAGGUAUCCCAUCAGCUCGUCGCUCAGCUUCACCGUCACCAGCUUCUUCUUCUUCCUCUUCUUCUCGCCCUCCGCCGGGGCCUUGGACUUGCUGUUGCUCUCCUCCUCCUCCUUGAGUACGGCUUGUGUCCCGUCGGGCUUGGGCUUGUGCUUGUGCUUGUGCCUCCUCUUCUCCUUCUUCUUCGGUGAUCCCUUUUCGGGGGACUUGAGAUUCUCCUCCUCCUUGGGUAUGGCGUCCACCACCAUCUCCUCCUUCGCCUCGUCGGGCUUGUGCUUGCGCCUCCUCUUCUCCUUCUCCUUCUUCUUCUCAGGGGAGUUGAGCUUGCCGAUUCCCUCGAUCUCAUCCCUCUCCAUCGCGCCCCGCCCGCCGUCGCCCUAAUCUCUCCCUAUCGAAACCCUUCACUCACGUACUCCCUCCAUCAAAAAAAAAAAGACAAACCCUGGUUUCUAUGUCCAACGUUUGACCGUCCGUCUUAUUUAAAAAAAAUUAAAAGACAAGUCAUGCAUAAAGUAUUAAUCAUGUUUUAUCAUCUAAUAACAAUGAAAAUACUAAUUAUAAAAAAAAAUCAUAUAAGACGGACAGUCAAACGUUUGACACGGAAAUCCAGUGUUUGUCUUUUUUUUUUUUAGGACAGAGGGAGUAUGCGUUGCGGCGGCGGCCACUGCGAGGUAGAGAGGAGAGGGUAACCCUAGGCGCUAAAUGGGCUGGACCUUUACCACACAGGUCCAACUAAUUACAUAUAGGGAUAAGUUCACUUUAGAUCUCUCGUCUUGACGUUGAAAUACUCCCUGUCUCAUAAUAUAAGCAAUUUUAACUCACCAUUUGUCUUAUUAAAAAAAAUUGGAAUUAUUAUUUCUUUUAUUUGUGACUCACUUUAUUAUCCAAAGUACUUUAAGCACAAUAUUUCUUUUUUAUAUUUGUACAAAUUUUCUGAAUAAGAUGAGUGGUCAAACAGUGCAAGUAAAAAGUCAAAAUCCUUUAUAUUAUGGGACGGAGGGAGUAACUAAUUUCGUCCUCAAACCGUAAUAAUUGUACAUAUAACGAGGCCCUCCACUUGCAAAACCGGUGUACCCGAUAUUCCAAGCAGUAUAGAGCCUGAUUUUAGCCGAUGUGGUGAGUGGGCCCCACGUGUCAGGUCUAUUUCUUAUUCCUCUAGCCUCCCCUCUUCCCAUCUCCUAUUCCACUCCCAUCUUCCCUCUCUCUCAUCCGUUCCCGAUCGCUGGUGAGGGAGGGGCAAAGGCGACUGGUGGCAGGCCGCCAUCGUUUCGGACAACACCAUCUAUGUCGCAUUGGCCCCAUCAGGGUUCUCUACGUGAGGUGUCCUCUUUGCCAUCGAACUCACAGAACUUGAGCACGUGCUUCGCGCUGGACCUGUUCGCCGAUGUGUAUGUUUGAGCCGUGCUCUACCACCGGGAAGAAGUUCGAGCCCUCCAGGAUGCGAGCGAUCAUCGAUGAGUGCAUCGGUGCGCUUUCCGCUUCAAGCGAAGGAAGUUAGCUAGAGCAGAGCUAGUGACAAUGUCUCAUUGGUGCGCUUUCCGCUUCAAGCGAAGGAAGUCAGCUAGAGCAGAGCUAGCAACAAUGUGACAUAGGGUGUGUUUAGUUCCACGCUAAAAUUGAAAGUUUAAAGAAAUUGGAACGAUGUGAUAGAAAAAAUGAAAGUUUGCGUAUGUAGAAAAGUUCGAUGUGACGAAAAAGUUGAAAGUUUGAAGAAUAAAAAGUUAGAAUCUAAACAAAGCCAUACUCCCUCCGUCCCGAAUUACAUGGCACCCUCUCUCUUUUGAGGAAAAUCAAACUCGAUAACUCUUGACUAAUAAUCAUACUAACACAUAUAUAAGAUAGUGGCAGGAGUACCGUUUUAUUGCUGCAACUUUCGUUACAAACUUCUGAUAUACACCGCAUUUGAUGGCACCUUACAUAUACGCUUAUAGGCUUGCAGCUUAUUUCUGCAUAUAACCAAAUGGCAUCCCAUUUCCAGCUCUACAAAUCCUUUGCAAAUUCCAAACAUUUUCUUCCUGAAUCCUGAUAAAUUUAGGCUGUAUUCGCAGACACGUACUAAUCUGUACUGCUCUCUAUGAUUAGUUUGGUGUCAAGACGCUUGCAGUCAUGAGGCACCACCAAUGCUGACCCUGAGCUGCGAACGACGAGUGCUGCACAAUUGACAGAAAUUGUGUGAGCUCUGAAGAAAGCAAUUGAUGUUCAACAGCAUCUGUUGAUCAGUUUGAAACUCUCAGAUGGUUGAGCAGAACACAUUCAUAUCAAAUUCUUACCAUUCCAUCCACCAGGUCCACCAUAGGCAGCACAUUCGUAGGACGUUCUGGUCUGCACGGGAUGUCAUACUGAAAUAACAGCGCAAUCAUCUCGUGCAUUCGCUCUCAAUGCCCCCAAUCACACAACUUGGUCAUGUUCUUUCCUCCAAUAAAGUUGGAUGAAGAUUAAGAUUUUCGUGACAUAUUUUUUAAACUGCUAAACAGUGCGUUUCAUGCGAAAACUUUCUACAAGAGAGUUGCUCUAAAAUAUCAUACAAAUCUAUUUUUCAAGUUUGUAAUAAUUAAAACUCAAUCAAUCAUACGUUAAUACUACCUCAUUUUGCGUAAAAAACUUAAUCAUCAUCUUCAUCUUCAUUUUUAGAAGAAAAGAACACCACCAACAUGUUCUUCUGCCCCCCAAUGGCAUUCGCUCUCAUUAAGGUUGUUCUGCAUCGAGUACAAUGCUCCAUGUAACCAACGACUAUUUUUUUCUAUAGUUCAUUCUAAUUUGUCAACAAGUGAAAAUAUAAAUCCUUUUGUCUGCUACAACAUGCUUAUUGUUACCUGAUAGGGCACGUGCCAUUGCGAGGCGUAGAAACAUCUAAAUGCUCAACGACUAAUUUUGCAGCCCACAGUUCUAUAUUAACUCACAAAUCUGAUUAUUCUCACGUGUCAUACCACUAAACACUAUCAGUAUGAUGCAUUUAAAUAGAAGAAUUAUACAUAGCAGAGCAGAAACCAGUUAUAUGAAACCGUGUAGAUAAGAUAAACCACAUGACGGCAGACUACCACAGAUCCAUAAAAGAAAACAUUUUGGUUUUUUCAGCUUCACCUAGCAAUUAUGACAAUAUAUCUGGACAACAAGCAGUGGCGGAUCCAAGGUCCGGCAACUCCGGGCAGCUGCCUGGACUCACCGGCGGAUCACACCAUUACAAUACCUUAAAUUUUCAGUGAUUAACAGUGUAUAUAAUUCUUCACAUAUGUAUUUGCCCGGGCUUUAAAAAGUAUCAAGAUCCGCCACUGACAAUAAGGAUAUGCACCAAUCUUAGAACCUCACUACUUUCUUCCCAUGACAAUGCAAAACAGAUCCCACUUUCAUUUACCAGAUAUAGCCUGACAUCAGUUGGUACCGGGUACCCUAAAUAGAAAGAUAUAGAGGCAAAAAGACCAUACUGACCUCAUAGAUCCUGACAUUUCUUUACCAGUUGCCAUCUUUGGUUCCUCAGCAUGUGCCACCCUGUACUUAUAACACCAUGUCAGCUAAUAAGAGUAAAAGUUAAUUUAAUUAAGGGGUACCUAAAAGAAAACAUCAAUAAACCCCUUUACAUUUCAACAAAAACCUCAAGUUUCUCUUCCUGACACUGACCAACCAACUUCAAUUCAUAACAUGAAAAUCCAAGACAGAAGGAAACAUAAUACUCCAUCUGUUUCAUACUAAUUUUUUAUAAGUUUGACCGAGUUUAUAGAGAAACAUAGUAGCAUUUUCAAUACAAAACAAACAUAUUAUCAAAAUAUAUUCAAUGUUAAGUUUAAUAAAACUAAUUUCGUGUUUUAGAUGUUGCUAAAUUUUUCUAUAAACUUGAUUAAAUUUAAAAAAGUUUGACUACAGGAAAAAAAAAUCAAAACGCCCUACAAUACAACGAAACGGAGGAAGUAAAAAUGAAGCACGGAAUGAGAAACUUCUUUCUUUCUGUUUCCGAUGUGUGCGAUGUGGUAGAAUCGGAAUAUUAAUCGGGCACUUUGAUUUGCUAAAAUAUCAUCAUGCAAAAACAAAGGGAAAAAGGCUAGCCAACCUGAAAUCUGCUGCCUGUGACAUGAAUAGGUGGUGCGGGGUGUGAUCAAGCUCUCCUUGCCUUCGGUGUUGCCCUUCCUUGUGCUUCUGAAGCCUUGUGCUCUUAAAGGACCAUGCCAAAACAAAAAGAUGAAAUAUGUUAUGGCAUGAACCAUGUACAUAAUGUUGAGUAUGACACACGAGGGAAAUUAAAAGCGUGGCAAUAAGACAGUAAAGAUUAUACGAGUCCUUAAAUGACUUGGCGUCACUUUAAGACCACUGACUGAACCUCAAUAUAAAUCUGCAAGCAGCACAAGGUACAGUAUGGAAGAAGAGUAAAUUAAUCAAAUACAAGUCUUGAGUAAUGAGCUAUACCGAUUCCAGUUGGCCAUAGCAGCAUGCUGGGUUAAAUAUAUAUACAUAUAUAUAAACACCAGUCAUUCUCAAGUCCCCAGCAAGCACUCAAUUUGCCGUUUUUUUUUGACAAAUUGACCCUUUUAGAAAACUUAUUUCGAAACUAACCCCUGCCAAAAACUUCAACCAAAAAUAGGCCGUCGCCUCAGCGCCAAACACAUUGGCGCUGACGUUGGCCGUGUCAGCGCCAACGAGACUGGCGCUGAUAUUGUGCCACCGUGGCGGCCGGGCCGAUCCCCAGCUGACGUGGCAGCUACCUCAGCGCCAACCGGACUGGCGCUGAGGUGGGACUUGGCCGCAACCCCAAGGCCCAGACCAGCAAGCCUUCUGGAUGGCUUGCGGGCUGGGACCUCAGCGCCAGCCAUAAUGGCGCUGACCGUGGGACACUCAGCGCCAGCCCACCUGGCGCUGAGGUGGGACUUGGCCGUUUCGGCCAUGGCCCAGCCCAGCCGAAACGGCCCAGCCCAGCAAGCCUUCUGGAUGGCUUGCGGGCUGGGACCUCAGCGCCAGCCAUAAUGGCGCUGACCGUGGGACACUCAGCGCCCGUUGGUAUCAAAUGCUCUUGCCCAUUUGACCUUAAGUGGCAUAUGGUCUUCUAGCCACUUCUUUGGCCUCUCUCCGACCACACCCAUGAGGCGUUUUAUCUCAUCUAGGAACAAUGCUUUCUCAUUUAUUUGACAUAUGCGCUCAAGAUCUUUCAUCUGAUCAGUCGUAGCUCCAGCUGUGUAGAAGUUAGCACAGAAGUGCCUCAUGCACCACCUGUGGUGAAUGGUUAGGUGAUGAGGCAUGAUGUGGAUGAUGGAGUUCAAAAUGCCAGGGUGUCUAUCAGAAAUUAUACACACUUCUCUAUUAGGACCGAUCAACUUGUUUCUCAACAUGUUGAUGAACCACUCCCAGUUGGAUGUAUUCUCCUUCUCUACCAGAGCAAACGCCAAGGGAACAAGAUGUAACCCGGCGUCGACCCCUAUUGCCAUGAGCAAUGUACCUUGGUAUUUACCGGUUAAGAAAGUGCCAUCAAUUGCUAGCACCGGCCUCAAGUGCUUGAAUGCUUCUAUGGACUGGCCAAAUAUCCAAUAUGCACGUCCAAAUACUCGCUUCUGUACUCCAUCCACCAUCCUGGACUUCUCGGGAUGAGCCUCAACACGGAAAUGCAUGGUAGGGUUCUUUGCUUUGAUGGCACGCAUCAGUGUAGGCAAGCGAACAUACGCCUCGUCCCAAUAUCCCCAAAUGACCUUCAUAGCAACUUGCUUAGCACGCCAUGCUUUGCCAUACGUAGGCCGAUAGUGCCAUAUUUGCUCAACUGCCUCGACAAUCGCUGCUGGAGAUAAAGUUGGUUCAGCUCGCACAAAUGCCUGUAACCUGUUUCCAAUAAACCUUGAAGUAAGUUGCAAAUGCUUGCCGGUUACUUCCGCACUACAGCAUGUGUGGUCUUCGCCCACCCUAGUCACCCGCCACCUAUCUCCUCCACUCUUCCUUGCAUUAAUCUGCCAUUUGCAAUGGCGAUCGAGACAAGCCAUAGUAUACUUUACUGACGCGUUAGAUUCCUUCACAUGGUACGGCCGGUGGACACGGAUAGAAUAACUCUGUAGCCAUAUUUUCAGAUCAUCCAUCGAUCGAAACUCCAACCCCUUCCUUGGUUCAUCACACAUUGGUUCGAAGGCACCGUCAUAUUGUGGAUCCCCAUCAGCAAUUGCUAGCCCAGAUCUGGUAAGAUCCUCGAAUUGUGUUAUUUCCGGGUUUCUACCCACCAGUUUCGCAAACACAAUCCUUUCAUGCUCUGACAUCUUACGCACUGGACGAUCAUCAUCGGAGUCGGAAGCGGACUCAUCCAAUUCAUCCUCUGUAUCAUACUCCAACCAGCCUGGGUUCAAUCCACUGCGUAUCAUAGCCUCCUCACACUCCUCUCGGGUAUAGAAUUUCAGCCUAGCCAACUCCCUUAGGCCCAUACUUACAUUCUUAGCAUUCGCUUCUUCCUCAGGCAACUCCACAUCAUCUCCUACCUCCCGACCAUCCUCAACAUCUCCUUCCUCUCUUACCGGCACAUUCUCCUCCACAUUAACUUCCUCCCUUAACGGCACAUUGUCCUCUGCAUGUACUUCUUCCCUUAACGGCACAUUCUCCUCUGCAUGUACUUCCUCCCUUACCGGGUCAUUCUCUUCCCUGACCUCCACAUCCGCCAUAUCAUUUACUCCCUCGCCCCCCUCCACGUCUUCCUCAAUCAAUUCUUCCUUCCUACUACACCUCUCUGACAGUUCGUGACAGCUAAUGGGUGAUUCUAUGAGUGGACUUUCAUUAAGGUCUAUAAGUUCUUUCUUCCCUAUCCUAACAUCUUUCUUCCAUGCAAACACCUCAAGAGAUUUGAAAUGUGACCCCAAUACUAUAUCUAUAUAUGUUUGCCAUUCGAUCUCUCCAUUCAAGUCUAACAUAAAUUUAUGUGACAUGACACCGCCGCCCACAUCGUAUCUCCCUUGCAUACCAACCGACUCAUCAUUCCAAUCCAAUUCAUGCUUGAUGCGAGACAUUAACUCCUCAAAGGUAGGCUUCGCAAAAAACACUAAUUGUCUAACUGUCAUUCCCUCAAAUUGGCUUCCAUGUGUACUUUCAUCUACCACACAACCACCAUAAUGAAGCCGGACCAAUCUAUCCAUCUACAAUUUUUAACCCAUGCAUAAACAUUAAUUACUUGAAAAUAAUAUGUAAUUACCAUUGCAAUACCAAUACUUCAAAAGCUAACAACAUGUCUAAUUUUUCCAAUAAAUAAGUACAUUACUCAAAUACUACACAUUAUUGAUAAAAAAAAACUCUACUCCUACAAAUUACCUACCCUUCACCACACAUCAACCCCUUUCAAACCCUCUCAAUCACCACAAAUCCAUCCCACAUCCUAGGCCAUCACCACACAUCCAUCUCCCAUCAAACCCUAGCGCAUCACCAAACAUCCAUCCCAAAUAUAUUUUGUCAAAUGUAUCAAUAACAACCAAAUGGAUAAAGAUAUGCCACCUCCACACUUCAUCCCCACCCAUAUUAUCCAUCUAAUAAUCCAUCCUUAGCCAACUAUUAUCAAACCACGUCUACAACCAAAACAAUGCAAAAUAUCCAAUAAAACUUUGGGGAACUUAGGGUUUAUAGAAGGGUUUACCUUCUCUUCCGAUCCCAAACUCAAUGCCGCACAAAUCACCUUCGAUUAGAGAGGUUUUUGGGGGAGAUUGGGCGAGGAGAACGCGGUGGCGACCGAACCCUAGGCGGGCGGCUGGGGAAAAAACGGAGGAAGAACUGGCUGGGGCGGCCUCGGCCGGGCUCUAAGUAGCCAAGGUCAGCGCCAACUUACUUGGCGCUGAGGUUGGGCACCUCAGCGCCGAAGCGGUUGGCGCUGAGGUAGCUGCCACGUCAGCUAGGGGAUCGGCCCGGCCGCCACGGUGGCACAAUGUCAGCGCCAGUCCCGUUGGCGCUGACACGGCCAACCUCAGCGCCAAUGCGCUUGGCGCUGAGCCGACGGCCUAGUUUUGGUUGAAGUUUUUGGCAGGGGUUAGUUUCGAAAUAAGUUUUUGAAAAGGGUCAAUUUGUCAAAAAAAACGGCUCAAUUUGCACCCAAAAAAAUUGUUAAUGCAAGACGAUAAAUUAAUAGAUACUUCCACCAUUUUAUAAUGUAAGACUUUCUAGUAUUUCUCGUAUUCAUUAGCAUCUAUAUGAAUGGGGAAAAUACUAGAAAGUCUUACAUUAUGAAACGGAGGUAGUAGCAACAAGACAACAAAUUUAAGUAGCAGAGAGUGGCUACAUCCAUUUUUAACUUGAUAUAUCUGAAUCACCGGUAGCAAGAUAUAAGGUGCAAGAUUACAUCAUAAUGAUGAGCAGAACUAGUAUAAUAUAUAACUAGUAUAAUGAUGAGCAGAAACUUGCAAAUUACAAAGCCACAGCAAGCAGAUUGUUAAAUAAAUUAAGCUUCCUCCUUAAGCUUGGUCCUCCAGUUCCUCCUGUUCCUCCUCGACCAUCCUCUUCCUCAUCUCCUCCGGUGUCCUCCAGUUUAUCCAGCCCCUCAUAUCGAUGAGCUCGUCGUCGUCGUGGUGGUCAUGGUCAUCGGAGGUGGUGAUGGGGUCCAUCUGGAGCUCGACGGGGCCGUUGGUGAGGCGGUGUUGCUUGAGGAUGUUGGCGGAGAAUUCUACAUCCUUCUCGACAGGAGCGAGGUGCCUGGGGUCGACGAAGGGGCAGUUCAUGGACUUGAGGUGAAGGAUCGGGCAUAGCAACGCGCCCGUCAUGUAGGCGACGAGCUCGCCCACCAGAUAGUGGUCGAUGAGAUCCAGCUCCAUCGUCACCGUCGUCUCCGUCCCAGGCGGAUGGGUGGCAGCCUCCUCGUACUUGGAUCCGGCGGCGUCCGCCGCCACCACGACCUCGUCGUCGACGUCGUGCAGCUUCGCCUUCUUCUUCUUCGAUCCCUUCCCCUUCCUCUUCCAACCCUUGUCAGGCAUCGGCUUGGCGCGCUUCUUCUUCUUCCAGACGGAAGACCUCGCCAUCGCCUGCCCCUCGAUCUCUAACGGCAUCGCGCCCGCGCCGUCGCCCUGAACCCUCCCUCUCAAAAAUGUCGAAACCCUAACUCAUGUGUUGCGCCGGCGGCCGGUGCGAGGAAGAGGAGAAGAUAUGUGUUCGCUGUCCCUACUUCCCAAACUGAACCCUCCGCACAGGGAAAAAGUAGCGCUCCAUUAGUAUAUAAUUAAUUAAGUAUUAACUAUUUUUUUUAAAAAAAUGGAUUAAUUUAAUUUUUUUAAGCAACUUUCAUAUAGAAAUUAUUUGCAAAAAAUAAUUUGAAAAAUGUGCGCGCGGAAAACGAGGGGUAGAAAAAGAGGCACCCGAAAACACCCAUAAAUAUAUUGCUCCCUAAACCCUAGGCGCUAAAUGGGCUAGACCUAACAUCUGGCCCAACUAAUUACUCAGGCCUAAUAUCUUAUAUCUUACGCUCAGAAGUUGAACAUUACUCCUAGUCGAGGUUCAACUUUGAAGAAGCACAAUGGCCGGGGACUUUUUAGGCCAUUCACAGUGCACACACGUGGCGUGUGGCAAUGUUUGUCUACCUAGAUAAAGUGUAUGCAUGGAGGAGAGAGGGGAGUGGGGACCGCUCCUUCUCCAGGUUCGUGUGACCAACAUUGGCUCCGAGGACCUCGUCAGAGAAAUCAACUUUUUGCCAGGAAAAUCGCAUCCGCCCAUUUGGAGAAAACCGGAGAGAGAGAGGGGGGAUAGGGAGCCACAUCUGCGCCGGAGAAGCUCGCCGGAGACGGGAUAGGAGGGGCGUCCGAGCCAUAUCCACCCUGAGGUCGCCAGAGAAGCCGCAUCCGCGCCGGAGAGGGCCCGAGGCUAGAUCUAGCGAGCCCCGGGCUGGGCCUCCGCUCCGGCCGGCGCUGUCGCCGGUUCAGUCGCCUCUCCGCCCGGGCGCCGUCGCCUCUCCGCCAGGCUUCCGCCGCCUCUCUUGCGUAGUCUCCGCGGUCCACGCCACAGAGCUUGUCCGCUCGCCGGCCACGGGAGGGGCGCUGGUCGGGGGAGGAGAUGAGGGGCGCCGGCCGGAGCCCGGAAGAAGCGGGAAGCUGGGGAAGAAGCUAGCGGCGGCGCGUAGAUUGGAGAUGGAGCGAUGCCGAUGCGGCCUAUCCAAAGCUACACGCGCAUUGUGGAGAUGAAAGCCUCGUUUUGCUUUUUGCCUACGUGGAGGCUUUGGCUCCUUGUUGAGGGCGGACGAAUUGCUAAUGCCCUUAGAAUCUAGCCUAUGUGACUUCAAUGAAGCCUCGUCCUCUCUUUUACUCUGCUACUGCUUGUCCUGCUACUUUCUUUGCUUGAUUGCAGCAAUGUGCAGAUGGGAGGAAGAUGAGGUCGUCGCGGCACACCAGGCAGAGCUUCACGUGCGAGACGAGCUGCUUGGACGUGACGACACGGGCAGACGACAGCGAGGUGACGAGGUCGAUGAGGCGGGCGGCGUGCGAGCGCGACACGAAGAAGUCGAGCCCGCCGUGGCCGCGCGCCGCGCCGACGUGGAGGGCGUCGCCGACAGCGCCGUGGGUGACGACCUGCUGCUCGACUUGUGCCCGCGCUCUCGCCGGGAUGGGGUUGGAGAAGGCACCGGCCGCCGGUGCCGGGAAGGAAGUGGAAGAAGAAAGGGGAGAGAAAGAGAGGGAAGGGAGAGAGGGAGGAGAAAGAAGGAAGGUGAAAGAGAGGACUGACAUGUGGGCCUCACAUGUCAAUGGGUCCACAUUUCUUUUUGUGUGAAUGAGUAAUGGGUCACGCACAUUUUUUUAUCGGAAUCGCUAGUGCUCUCGCACAUUUUUUUAUCGGAAUCGCUAGUGCUCUGUUGACAAAAAAAAAAAUAGGGUGCUAAAUCUUUCACUUUUUUGACCAUUCAUCUCUGUUUACAAUUAGUGCUGCAUUUGGAUUGAGCAAAGUCAUACACGGCUGUGGACUUUGAGAUGGACCGAGCUUUUGUUGUUGCAUUAUGUGGACUUUGUUGUUGCGUUCUGUGGGUCUCACAUAUUUACCGUUCAAUUUCGAAACACACGCCUGCUUUUUUUCCUUGCAUUUGAGCAGUGUUUUCUACUGCUACUUUGCUUAUGAUCCACGCUUACUAAUUACAUCGUGCUUACAUUAUAAUUACAUAUGUAAUUUUGUGACUUACAUCGUAAAUAUACUAAAAUUACAUAUGUAAUUUUAUGACUUACAUCAUAAAUACACUAAAAUUACAUAUGUAAUUACAUAUGUAAUUUUAGGAACUUACAAUGUAAAUACAUGCCAACUUUUUUUUUAAUAGUUACUCCCUAAAUUUAAAUAGAUGAGAUUAAAUUUAUCCUAUGGCUUGAAAAAUUUGCAUGAUAGGGGGCUAGAAAAUCUAUCGCAUGAUGUAUAGGCAGUCCCUUUUUUUAUUUCUAAUGCCACGUUAACGCCACGUGGAAAGAAGACCGAGUCAAUACUGUCACGUAGGCGUCACGUCAGCGAAACCACUCUUCAAAAUCGUCCAGGGAGUCAAAUUGCACCGGUUUUAAGAGUUUGGGAGUCGAGAUAUCCGGUUUUAUGGUUUUUAUGGUUUAGGGAUACGAAUUAGAUUUCGAUCACUUUUAAGGGUCAUGAAGUGAACUUAUUCCUUGCAGGGGCUGUAUCAAGCAGCUGAACAGGCCCAUAUCUCAUCCGUUCCCAGAUACUGGUCCUUCAACCGCGAUCCACGGCGAGACCAAACAAAACCGGCCCAUCCAUCCACGCACAACUCACUCGAACCAUCUCGAUCGACCCCAACCGAAACAGCGACCAACAUACACCCAAAAAAAAAAAUCAGCGCACAUAGAGGAGAUAAAAACGACGAGAAACAAUAAUAAUAAAAAAUAAAUAUCCCGUUGAGGGGAAAUCCAGCCCGCGAAACCCCAUUGGCCGGGCCAUCGCCAGCUCGGCGCCACGUGGCACUCCUCCCCCUAUCGCCUUAUCGCCACCUGGUAUAAAACGCCCGCCUAAUCUCCUUCGCUCUCUUCUUCUUCUAGCUUAGAACCCCAACCCCCCAAAGCCUCACUCACUUCGCUGCAGAGGAAAAAAAAGAGAGAAAAAUCUCCGAUGGCUCUCCAGGCGGCCACCACCACCUCCUUCCUCCCCUCCGCGCUCUCCGCCCGCAAGGAGGUGAGAGCUCUAAGCUCGGGGAUUCAGCCAUGGAGGCAUUUCAGAGUUCAGACUAGUUCAGAGUUUUGCUUCGUGUUCAUGGCGGCGAUUGGUUAAAUGGUUUUUUUUUUGUUUUUGGGUUGGUUUUUGGGGGUGUAGGGAGCGGUGAAGGACUCGGCGUUCUUGGGCGUUCGUCUCGGCGACGGGCUCAAGCUGGAGACCAGUGCUCUCGGCCUUCGCACCAAGGUAGUAACUGUAAUAAUGUUGUUACAGCACUCUGCUUGCUCUGUGCUGAUGCUCUGUUUGUUAGUGCUAAUAUUAGUACUUACUACUAACUGGCGAGUAGUACAAGUAAUUGGCUAGUUCGUUCAGUGAAUUGCCAGGUUUUCGUUUCUAGACUUCACGAUUAUUAGUUUCAGACUUUCAGUUAUGUUGGAGGAGCUUACCACUGUGGCUCUGUGGUUUGCUCUGUCAGAUUAGGAGCACCCGUGGCGUUGCAAAUGGUUAUGCCUGUGUUUGGCAUUAAUCAACUGGCUAAUGAGAUUAUAUCAUGAUGAUUCUCUCAUCGUUUUAGCUAUGACAAUGUCAGGGGCUUGUUUUGUUUUCACAGGUGUGCAGCUUUGCUAAUUGCUAGUAACAUCAGUGUGUGCCGCCAUUGUUAGUGCAACCAAGUAGCCUUUGUGUCUGGUUAAUUUGCAACUUCAGGUUGACAUUUGGACUUGCUGAGUGAGUGUAUCUAGCAUUGCAAACUGAUGUGAAUUUUGACGAACUUUUAGUGCAAGAUUGCAAGGUUUGCUUGAUGUACUUAGAAAUGGUAGUUGCUCACAACUCUGACAGCGCCACAAAAAUUGUAUUAUACUUGAUUAGCCUGGCAUUUUGACUUCCUAUUGAUCUGGAUUUUAUGUCAGUGUUAGUUUGAGUAUAUAUAGCAUUGCAAAGUGAUGCGAAUUUGGGUAACUUUUAGUGCAAGAUUGCAAGGUUUACUUGCUGUACUUAGAAAUAGUUGCUCAAAACUCUGACAUCGCCACACCCCCAAAAAAUUGUACUACUACUUAAUUAGCUUUGGCAUUUCAAGUUCAUAUUGAUGUGGAUCGAUUUCAUAAACUUGAUUUUACUGCAAGACUGUCAAGUUUGCUCCCUGUAAUUUCAUAAACUUGGUUCCGCAUGUAAACUAGACGAAUUUAUUAAGCCUAAUUAAUCCAUCAUUAGUAAAUAUUUAUUGUAGCAUCACAUUAUUAAAUCAUAGCAUAAUUAGAUUCAAAAGAUUUGUCUCACAAUUUACAUAUAAACUGUGCAAUUAUUUUUUUCCCCACAUUUAAUAUUCUUGCAUGUUCAAACAUUUGAUGUGAUGUUUUUGGCCAAAAAAUUUUUUAUAUAAAAACAAAGGCCUAGUUUGUUCAUAUAUCUUGACAUUGUUGCCACGAAAACUGAAACUCUCCUGCAGAGGGUGAGCACGUCGUCGGUGGCCAUCCGCGCGCAGGCGUCGGCGGCGGUGUCGUCCCCGACGGUGACGCCGGCGUCGCCGUCGGGCAAGCAGACGCUGCGCAAGGGCACGGCGGUCAUCACCGGCGCGUCGUCCGGGCUUGGCCUCGCGACGGCGAAGGCGCUGGCGGAGACGGGCAGGUGGCACGUCGUCAUGGGGUGCCGCGACUUCCUCAAGGCGUCGCGCGCCGCCAAGGCCGCCGGCAUGGAGAAGGGCAGCUACACCAUCGUCCACCUCGACCUGGCGUCGCUCGACAGCGUCAGGCAGUUCGUCGCCAACGUCCGGCGGCUGGAGAUGCCCGUCGACGUGGUGGUGUGCAACGCCGCCGUGUACCAGCCCACCGCCAAGCAGCCGAGCUUCACCGCCGACGGCUUCGAGAUGAGCGUCGGCGUCAACCACCUCGGGCACUUCCUCCUCGCCCGCGAGCUCCUCGCCGACCUCACCUCCUCCGACUACCCCUCCAAGCGCCUCAUCAUCGUCGGCUCCAUCACCGGUAAUGACAACCUUUCUUCCUCACCAGAAUUAGGCUGUUGUGUUCUAAUGUCAAAGCUUCCAACUUCUACUAUUUUGUAGUUCUCCACGUACACAAUUACUACAAUUACUGAACUGCUAAAAAUUGCAUGUUUUAUAAAAAAAAUUAUAGGAAGUUGUUGUGAUUAAUCCAAUUUUUAAGUUUUUCUUUUUCAUCGGGAAGAUUGAAAGAGACCUUCUGAAUGUAUUAAGAAUGAGAAAAAGUUACAAGAAAAACAUAAUAGGAAGUUGUCGAGGAUGAUGCGCACCAGCGUGUGCGUUCAAGAACCACGAGCUAACCACACAAGCACAAACCUCUAAAAGUGAAAACUUCUUCUUAGAUAAUACUUAAUUAAUGGAUUAUUUUUCUGUGCAUGGAGGGCACAACCUUAUACUGCUUUCUAAAAUGGGUAUGAUAAUUAUUUGAUAGUAUAAACGAAUGAAUCAAGUAUUACAAAGUCGAUAAGCUGAUUUUUUUUUAAAAAAAAACUUUAUAAGUGCAGUUGUAACUUUUUUUUAAAAAAAAUAUCAUAUCAUUUGAAAGCAUAUCGGCAACAUUCUAUUGUAACAUGUUACUAUAAGAACAUCGUUCUAAUUUCGAUACGAUGAAUGCAGGGAACACGAACACGCUGGCGGGGAACGUGCCGCCGAAGGCGAACCUGGGGGACCUCCGGGGGCUCGCCUCGGGCCUCGACGGCGUGUCGAGCUCCGCCAUGAUCGACGGCGGCGAGUUCGACGGCGCCAAGGCCUACAAGGACAGCAAGGUGUGCAACAUGCUGACGAUGCAGGAGUUCCACCGCCGGUACCACGGCGAGACCGGGGUGACGUUCGCGUCGCUCUACCCCGGGUGCAUCGCCACCACGGGCCUCUUCCGGGAGCACGUCCCGCUGUUCCGCCUCCUCUUCCCGCCCUUCCAGAAGUACAUCACCAAGGGCUACGUCUCCGAGGAGGAGGCCGGCAAGCGGCUGGCCCAGGUCGUCAGUGACCCCAGCCUCACCAAGUCCGGGGUGUACUGGAGCUGGAACAACAACUCGGCCUCGUUCGAGAACCAGCUCUCCGAGGAGGCCUCCGAUCCGGAGAAGGCCAAGAAGGUCUGGGAGCUCAGCGAGAAGCUCGUCGGCUUGGCCGAUCACGAUCAGUGAGUGAGAGUGAUGUGCUAUUGAUUUUCGUCUAGGAUUUUGCUGUGCUCUUCUUCUUCUUCUCCUCUCUACCAAGAAAGAUCGAUGGAGGAGAAUUUGUAGGACGCGUUUCUCACGAAUUACUUAGCUGUUAAUGAUCAGCUUGAUGUGUACGAUAUGAUGGUGCAGAGUGAAAGUUGUGUUGUUCACUGGUGGAUCAUGGGAUGGGAAUAUGGGAUUGUUGUAAGAUGUAACUCAAGUGUUUUCUUUUUUGGGAUUACUUUUGGUAAUAAGAGCUUGGGUGAUCGAAAACUACAGAUGGUUUUUCUUUUAAGUUGUAUGAUCUCUGUAGAGUUUUUGAGUAAUUUGUAGUUUUGUACCCUAUCAAAGAUCAUCUCUAGCUGCCUCUGAGCUCUCCAACUCUAUAUGUCCAUCUCUAGUAUAUAUGUCCCAUAUUUCUGACUGAAAAUUUUCAAGUCGGUUGGUUCCCUCCGCCUGGAUAUUCUUUCAGCUAAUUAGAUUUUUUUUAAAUGAUAAAUUUGCUAAAAGCUUGUUCAAAUUCAGCUAAGAUCUAUUCAAACUUCAAUUUCUCUAUCGAAAUUCCCGGAAAUUUCAAUUCAAUCAUUCCCCAAUACAUGCCGAUUUCCGUAAUAUUGAACCAUGACAUGUAAACAACGAAGGAAUCAAGGGCAUAUUUAGUUUCAUCUCACAUCGAAUAUACGGACACACAUUUGAAGUAUUAAAUGCACUCUAAUAACAAAACAAAUUACAGAUUCCGCCAGAAAACUACGAGACGAAUCUAUUAAGCCUAAUUAAUACAUCAUUAGCAAAUGUUUACUAUAGCACCACAUUGUCAACUCAUGACGCAAUUAGGCUUAAAAGAUUCGUCUCGCAGUUUCCUGACGAACCGUGUAAUUAUUAUUUUUUCUACGUUUAAUACUUUAUGUAUGUGCCCAAAUAUUCAAUGUGACAACGUGAAAAUUUUUAUUUGGAACUAAAUAGGCCCUAAUAUUCUUUCAAGAUAUUAGAAUAGUUAUCCCUCUCCACCUCCCUGCACAAACAGUGAACUUCUUUCUCCUUGGGCACAGGAGUAGUAGCAGCUCCCGGAAACAGAAAGCAAUCAAGCAAAGUCCUGAACCUGAAGCAUCCUGAAACCAGCAGACGGCAGAAACCAGUGGGCGCAGGCGAUAGCAGUUUUUCGUGGUCCGGCGUACAGCCAAAAUACUGGCCAUCGGGUGCCUACAUAGAAUGAGUCCACUGGACGCAGCUACCACCGUGUGUGCUACACUGACCGCCGCUGCUCGUCGACCAGUUGUACGGGGCUGACUUAUUCUGAAUUUCUAAUGGUUUAUUUGGGGGUUUAGAACACUGAGGGGUGCUUUAGAUCCAAAGAUGUGAAGUUUGGGCGUGUCACAUCGGGUAUUAUAUAUAGUGUCGCACAGGGUGUUUGGGCACUAAUAAAAAUACUAAUUAUUGAUCCUAUACGAUAAGCUAUAUAAUACUCGAUGUGACACGCCAAAACUUUACAUCCCUGAAUCUAAACACCCUUUUAAAUAGAGUAUUUGGUGUGAAAUAUAAUUUUGAUUUGGGAAGAAGGUGAGUGAGAUUUGGAAAAAAAAAGCAUUUCAAUUAAAAAAUUUGCCAGCAGUAAAUAAAGAAACUACUCGGUUUUGUAAUUAAAGUGAGGUUUUGGCACUUCUUUGCCCUAAACUGGCCUCCAUUUUAUAAAGUGAGAACCGUGCAGCAAAAGCCUGAAAAGGCAAAAAGAAAGAAAUUGUAGAGGUUUUUCAGGAGGAUACAACUAGGUGGGUCUCUAACUCUCUAUGCAGCUGUGGUCUGUGGAGCAAAACGAUGAAAUGGAAGACGGGACGUUGACGAGGGUGAAGAAAACGAGCGUUUGACCAGCGUCAACCAUGGCGUGAACAGUAGCACCACUAACCUGACCGAGAGGUUGAAGAAGAUGCAAUCAACGGGGUACUAUAGUUCCCACGAAUUUCCCAGCAACAACGGGUUGGUUCUCACUACUCACGAAUUCCCUGUGGCUCAACAACUACUAGUACAUCCUUUUGUCCAUUAUGAUAAAAGUUCUAUCUUAAUUUUUAUUUACACGUUUUUCAAACUGUUUUUUAAUUUUCUAUAUAAAAAAUACUUAAAAUAUCAAAUAAAAUCUAUUUUUGGAGUUUUAAAAAACUCAAUUAAUCAUAUAUAUUAUUGACUUAUUUUAUUUUACGUGGACUAAAAUAUCUUCAUCUUCAUUUAGGUUAUGUUCUUUUCUCAUCAAGAUACAUGAUACAUUAGCAUGUUUUUCAAACUGUUUUUUAAUUUUGUAUAUAAACUUACUCUAAAAUAUCAAAUAAAAUUUACUUUUAGGGUUUAUAAAAGUAAAACUCAAUUAAUCAUUACUAACUUGUUUCAUUUUACGUGGACUAAAAUAUCUUCAUCUUCAUCUAAGGUGGUGUUUGGAUCCAAGGACUAAAUUUUAAUCCCUAUCACAUCGGAUAUUUGACACUAAUUAGAAGUAUUAAACAUAGAUUAAUGAUGAAACCCAUUCCAUAACCCUGGACUAAUUCGCGAGACGAAUAUAUUGAGCAUAAUUAAUCCAUGAUUAGCCUAUGUGAUGCUGUAGUAAACAUGUACUAAUUACGGAUUAAUUAAGCUUAAAAAAUUUAUCUUACGAAUUAGCUCUCAUUUAUACAAUUAAUUUUAUUGUUAGUUUACGUUUAAUACUUUUAAUUAGUAUACAUCCGACGUAACACUGAUCGAUACAAACACCAACUAAAUCGAAAAUCACCGAAUGGCUCGUCAUCCUCCCACAUGAGAUGCCAAGAUGGAACACCAACAAUCCAACGGCUAGGAAGCGCCCCAUCCCACCCACCGCCUAACCGCCUUCCUAUGCAAGUGGGUCCCACCCCUUCCUUCCUUUUUUUUUUCUUUUUACAAAUCCCCUUCCCUUUCUUGGCUAGCUAGCUAGCUUGGCCCAACGCCACGAGCCGAGCCGAGCACAUCCGGAGCCAAGCCGAGCUCAGCGCCUCAGCUCCCCCUCCUCCUCGUCCCAUUCCCGGUUUCCUCCUCCGAUUUCCCCCAAAUCCGCACGCCUCUCCCCUCCGCCUCCAUUUUUCCCGAUUCCCAAUUCCCAAAUCCGGAUCAGCCGCAGCCGCAGCAGCAAAAAAUUUCGAAAUCCAAAUCCAAACCCAUCCCCCCCACGACGACGUCACCCACAUCCCCACCCCCGCGAGACGAGACGAGACGACUCCCAAAUCUCUCUCUCCUCUCUCCUAUGCGCGCCGCCGCCGCCGCCGCAGCAGCAGCAGCUAGGAGGCGGAGCAGCAGCAGCAGCAGCAGCUGAGAUGAUCGUGCGCACCUACGGCCGCAGAUCCCGCUCCUUCUCCGACGGGGGAGGAGGGGAGCGCGGCGGCGGCGGUGGGUUCUCGUCGUCGCAAGACGCGUUCGAAUUCGACGGGGAGGAGGAGGACGACCUCGUCCUGCUGGGGUCGUCGUCGCAGUCGUCGCACCCGCCCGCGCCGUCGCAGGAGUCGUCGUCGAUGUGGGACUUCGACGAGGACCCGCCGCCGCCGCCCCGGCGGCGGCGGGGGAGGGGUGGGGGUGGGGACUACGCGGAGCCCGCCACGGCGGCGGCGGCGGCGGCGGCGGCCACCUCGCUCAUGGAGGCGGAGGAGUACGGCGAGAUGAUGGAGAGCGUGGACGAGGCGAACUUCGCGCUCGACGGGCUGCGCGCCACCGCGCCGAGGCGGGUGCGCCGGGCCAGCUUCCUCGCGCUGCUCGGGAUCUGCGCCUCCGCGCCGCGCCGCCGCGUCCUCCGGGCCCAGGGGUCGGUACACCAAAGAACCCUCCUUUUUUUUUUCUUACUUGUCUGCGCUGUAAGUAAAGAAUAACAAUUCGCGUUCUUGCUCUUGCUUCGCGGGCAAUCUUGGUGAGGAAUCUUGUUAGGGUUAUGAAAUUGGGCAGCCAGUUCUUGUUUCUUCUGCGUAAUCUUGGCGGAAACAGUGGGAUUUUGUACGAUUAUGGCUCCGUAAUCGGCAUUUCUGUGGGAAAUGAACCACCUUUAGGGCAUUUGACCUUCGAACAGCAUGCUUGGUGUUGCAAUCCGUAGCUAUUGCCUUCAUCUUAGGCACAAGAACUUGUUCUGAAUUAUGAUUUACCAACUUGUGUUUGUUUUCUUGUUCUGAGUUUUCUUGCUUGGUUAGGGUUAGGGUUAUCACCGUGGUGGUGCAGAAUUAGAUGUUCGCUACUUGUCUUAACCUCUGCCUUGCCCAAUUUGGUACCGAGUGUUACAGCUGGGUUUAGGAAGUGUGAUCUUUGAGCAUUUCUAGCAUGUUGGUCUCUUUAUUUUGCUAAUCUCACAUGGUUGUAGAGGAAGGAAGCAUAGUGACUGAUGAUGAAUGCCUAGAUACUAGAAAUACAUCUUUAUUAACUGAAUUAGGAUUGCUUGGGUAUCUAUGUAGAUAUGACUGUAGAAUGUUACUGCUGGAAAUGCUAUCCAAUAUCCAUUGAUCUCUAGCCUAAUAUAUCUCUCGAGGCCAAGAGAUCAGUCAAUUUUGAACUUUCAGGAGAGUUUCUAUUUGGUACUUAAUCUCUUUUAUUUGUUACUUUUGGUGCCUGGCUCUCUUUUCAUGAUUGCUAAGUAGACAGGUAAAGUUCUACCUAAAAUUAUUCUUAAAAGUUCAAAAUCGCUUUAGAUUAAGGAGUGCCAGCCAGAGCCUUAGGCAGAGUCUUAUAAACCAAAAGCACAAUGCUACAAUGUUCACAAAACUUUUGUGGAAUUUCCACUUGAGCUGUAUAAACAUCGCAAUCUACUGUGAAUAAAAGAAGCACUUGAUGGAAGUUCAUGUUAGCAAAUGACAUGUUUUCUGUGAGGAGGUUGAUUGCUUGAACUGUUAUGGACUCUUGCAACUUUUUAUUUUACUUCGUACCCAUUUAUGCUAAUGUGCACAAAUAAAAUUGCUGAGAGUAAAAAUGUACAACUUGUUACGCACCAGCACACUUCCUAUUUGUAUCCAUUUUCCUGUUGAAUUUCAAAUGUAUUCAAUUGCUGAAAUUGUUCCAUUCAACAAACACAUAUUCCGUUAAUGAAAUUAUUAUACAUUGCGUUUUGUUUUCUUACUCACAAGUGUCCUCUUUUCUUAUAUCCUAUAGAUUGGUGCAACAAAUUAUUGAUGCAAUUUUGGUUUUGAACAUUGAUGAUCCUCCCUGCACUAUUGGUGCAGCUGCUCUUCUAUUCGUUUUGGCAAGUGAUGUGAGUACCUCUCAAUCCCAUCCUUGUGCUUCUGUGCAUGCUUCAUUCUAUUUUUUACGCAUAUCGAUUGUUUUCUUUUAUAUAACAGCCCAUAAAAAUAAUCACAUCAUGGCAAAGUUAUUUAUUUCUCCAGUACAGUUAUAUAAGUAUUCACCACUUUUCCAUGAAUAUCUUGGCAUGUGAUUACAAAGAAGAUUAUUUAAGAAAGUCCAUGCUUUUAUUUCAUCAUUUUGUUUGAAGUUGAACUUUAAUUUAUGGUGUAAAUUUCAGUUAAUAUUGCUAGCAGCUCGUAUUCUUUAAUGGCAUAACUUCACUUGUGCUUAUUCUCCAAUAUCUCCCUUCUUGUUGUUCAGGUUCAAGAAAAUCAUUUGUUGGAUUCAGAAUCUUGUGUCCAUUUUCUUCUUAAAUUAUUAAAUCCUCCAGUGAAUCUUGUUGAUUCCAAAGCACCAUCGAUAGGUUCCAAACUUCUUGGAAUCAGUAAAGUUCAAAUGCUUAAUGGAUCAAAUAAGGAUUCUGACUGCAUUUCAGAGGAAAUCCUUUCAAAAGUUGAAGAGAUUCUCUUAAGCUGUCAAGAGAUCAAGUCGCUCGACAAAGAUGACAAGAAAACAACAAGGCCAGAACUGUGUCCAAAGUGGCUUGCUUUGUUGACAAUGGAAAAGGCAUGCUUGUCUGCUGUUUCAGUGGAGGGUAAGUUUUAAUCAAAUUUCUUGGUCAUGAUUUCCCUUUAUGACCAUUAUAAUUAUUUUUAUGAGCCAAAUAAGCAGUUGCCAUAAGUUACAUAGCACCUGUUUACAAUAUUCAUGGGUGGUUUGCUUAGCCCUUUGCUUCACCUGCCUUUGAUUGAUGACUUCCAUCCGUGUUGCACAACUGAAUUGGAGUAAUUGACUGCACUAGAAGCACCUAUGGCCAUUGUCAUACUAGGAAGGUUUUCCCUUAUCAAAUAUUUGAUUGUUACAGAGACUUCUGACACUGUGUCCAGAGUCGGAGGAAAUUUUAAAGAGACAUUAAGGGAGUUGGGCGGUCUUGAUAGUAUUUUUGACGUUAUGAUGGAUUGCCAUUCAACAUUGGAGGUGAGAUCUCGCUAACAUCGCAUAUUUUACACUUCCUUUGUUCAACUCUAAAGGAUGGUGCAAGUUUUGUUCCUUUUUGCCAUUUUAGCUUUAAUGUGCUUGAAGCCACAUGAAAGCAAUGCUUGUCCAGAUACAUAGCCAAAGGUUGUUAUAUUUUGGGACAUGGAAAAUGCUUGAGGUAGUAACUAUUUUCAUCAGGACAUGGAAAAUUGGCUGCAUCACAAAUUAUGUUGUUUCAUGUUGCAAAAUAGUUUUUUAAUACUUUUUUAUUCUGCAUGUGGUGUUAGUGUCUUACAGUGAUUCCUCUGAUGAUUAUAUCCCCCACGAUAAUAAUACUUGACAUAUCUACACCAAGUGGACAUUAUUCAUUUGGAUGUUACUUUUCCAGCUAUACUUGCUGUUCUUGCAUAAACUUUGGAGUAAAUUGCGUAUCCCUUUAAGAGAUAAACUGCUUGGUGCUCCUAUCUGUGUACUUUUUAUGCCCCCAACUAAUAAUGCAAUCAUAUUACGCUGAUAAACUGAAUAAAUAAAUUAACAAUAUACUUCUGGUGGAAACCUUGUGUAUCAGAAUCUCAUAAAGGAUACCUCAACUUCAGCUUUGGACCUAAAUGAAGGAACAUCUUUGCAAAGUGCCGCUCUCCUCUUGAAAUGUUUGAAAAUAUUGGAAAAUGCCACAUUUCUAAGCGAUGAUAACAAGGUAAUGUUCCUUAUAUAUUCUGUUUCAGUUUAGUACCCAUUUUCUUCUUCUGUACCAUCUUCUCCCCUCAUUUGUUCUGUGCAAAAUGUGCAAACAGUGUGACUUUGUAUUUCUGCUUAACAUUUUUCUUUUUUUCCUGAAAAGCAGUAUAAACUCUUACACUCAUUUUGCUUCUUGCAGACCCAUUUGCUUAAUAUGAGUAGAAAAUUGUACCCGAAACGCUCCUCGCUUUCUUUUGUUGGUGUCAUUAUCAGUAUUAUUGAGUUAUUAUCAGGUAUUUUUCUUAAUAAUACAAUAUGUCCGCUAACACAAUAAAAUGUUUUAAACAUCCAGUAUGUUAAAGUUGCAGUCUGACGCCUAUUUUGUUUUGCUGCAGCUCUUUCAAUACUGCAGAAUUCUUCUGUUGUUUCCAGCUCUACAUAUCCGAAAUCGUCUAAAGUCUCUCAACAGAGUUGCUCUGGUAAUAACAAACACCAAAUUUGUUUGAUCAACUCGUUGGCUUUUCUGUGCACUGUUUCAAUAUAGUUUGGUCGCCAUUCAAGUCUCACUACAGAUGUUGAACUUGACCUGACACGGUGGCACCAAUAUUUAUAAAACGCUACCUGAUAUUUUUAAUAUUUCAUGUUUCCUGACCCAGAUUAUCUUGUUGGUUCCUCAUAUAAGUUUAAUUAGUGUCGUUCUUGAAACUUUGUUAUGCAGCAGAUGUCAUGGGGGGAACUUCAUUUAAUGAUGGAAAGCGCAAGAACUCGAAGAAAAAAAACCUUUUGUCGAACCAGACACGCCAUAGUUGCUUAUCUUCAAAAUCAGAAGUUUCUCAUAUUACUAUAUCUUCUGGUAGUGAUGCUGGUCUGUCACAGAAGGCAUUCAAUUGUUCUCCAUCUAUAUCAAGCAAUGGGGCAUCAAGUGGUUCAUUAGGCGAGAGACAUAGCAAUGGUGGUGCUUUGAAGUUGAAUAUAAAAAAGGAUCGUGGCAAUGCAAAUCCAAUUAGAGGCUCAAGUGGGUGGAUUUCAAUAAGAGCGCACAGUUCUGAUGGGAACUCCAGAGAAAUGGCAAAAAGACGCCGUCUAUCUGAAAAUGUAAUCACCGACAGUGGUGGCGGUGAUGACCCUUUUGCUUUUGAUGAUGUUGAUCAGGAGCCUUCAAAUUGGGAACUGCUUGGUCCAAAAAAGAAAUCGCCUCAGAAACAUCAAGACAAAUCAGGAAAUGGAGUGCUAGUUGCAAGUCAUGAACCAGACCAACCUGAAGAUCUUAAUCAGUCGGGUACAACAUCUCUUUUUAGUGCUAAAGAUGAAUCCAGUCUUUUGGAAGACUGCCUCUUGGCAUCAGUUAAGGUAAUUAAAUAUGUUUCCUUCUGAUCUUUCUUGUUUCUUCUUCAAGAGAAUAUACAUUCUUGGGUCACAGUUUCUCGGUUUGUCUUUGUGACUUUGUUGAGUGACAUAUUUUGAAUUCACAAAAUUUCCUUUUCAAUAUGGCUCCUCAAUCUAUAGCAUCUGUCGUGUAUGUAUUCUGUACAAAAUAGUAUUGUAACAUCUCCUAGAAGAAAUUGGCACCAUCCAUAUCAUACAGUAGCAAUUUAUGAGACGUGAUCCUGAUUGGAGGUUUAGGACAGAGCCUCGAGCUAAAUUGCUAUUGUAUUGUAUCUACUAUCUUUUAGUACAUGAUAUGUGCUGGGCACUCUGUGUCUGAGUGUAGUGAGUGCUUAAGUUUACAUAGUUCAGCUAACAUGCAUAUGUAAGACAGUUUAUGAUUAAAUUUAAGUGUAGAAAGAAGGUACUUUCAAAAGAUUUUUAAGGACAAUAUAAUUGUUUCACCGGGACUCAUGCUUGUUCUGACUGUGAGCCUAAUGUUACCUUUACAUGCCCUUACAUUGUCUAUUUUUUAUCGUUUUAUGAGAUCUUCCAAACAACUUGAUCUGUCUUAAUGUUUUUUUGCUAGCUCCUUUCUUGGAUAUCUGGUAAAUGGUUAGGCCGAAGUAUGAACUUUGCCUUAUUGUUUCAAAGAAAAUGUAACAACUCCUGGAAAAGUCUAAUUUUGGUUGCCCUUUAUUUUGCUGACCGUAUUGGCACACAUCUAAUUCUGCUGUUCCUUUCUGGCAGGUUCUUAUGAACUUAGCAAAUGACAACCCAUCUGGUUGUGAAUUGAUUGCGUCAUGUGGUGGACUUAACACCAUGGCCUCCUUGAUCAUGAAGCAUUUCCCCUCAUUUUGUUUUGUCGUGGACAACAACUAUAACACGAGAGAUGUCAAUCUUGAUCAUGAGUUAUCAUCUUCUCAAAACAGCAAGGCACACCAGGUCAAAAUUAAGCAAUUGCGAGAUCAUGAACUUGAUUUUCUGGUUGCCAUAUUGGGCUUGCUUGUUAACCUUGUAGAGAAGGAUAGCCUUAAUAGGUAAGUCCCUCACAUGCUUCCUUCCAUUUGCUCAAUUCAUAUCAGUGUUACUGUUCUGGCAGUUCCUUGGGGUCAGGACUCAGAAACAUCCAAUUAAUGUUCAUGUUCUCUUAACGACUCAGAAAUACUUUAUAACCUCUCCACAGGGUACGGCUUUCAUCUGCCCGUGUUCCUGUUGAUCUAUCUCAGAAUCCACAGAGUGAAGAGACACAGAGAGAUGUCAUAGCACUCCUCUGUUCUGUAUUCUUAGCAAGUCAAGGUGCUAGUGAAGCUUCUGGAACUAUAUCACCGGUAAUUCAAAAUUCUUCAAGUUCCUUUUGUAUGUAGAUUAUAUCUUUGUAAAACUCGGCAUUUAUUACCUGCUCUUUGUUUCAAAAAGCAGUAUUUUAUUUUGCUCCUUAGCAUAGGUCAGCAGAACAGUUGAUCUUAUUCAGAAAACAAUAUUUUGCAUGUAACAUACUGUUAUCUAUGAGAUGAAAAUUAAUGCAUGUGUAAUAAUGUCAAUGAUAAAUAUUUGCUAUCUGAAUCCAGUCUACCAACUCUAGUUAGACCGAAAUUACUGAGGUUCUAUUUCAAAGAAUAAUUUAGUGCACCAUUUGUUCAACUACUAUGAAGUAAAAUGGUAUUCCCUUCUAUUGACAUCGGGUUAGAAGUGAAAGGCCAUCUUAAUGCAAUGUUCUCAAUGCCACAAACCCACAAAUUUCAUUAACACAUACAGAUUAUUAUUAACAUAGCUAUAAAUUGGAUUUCCAGAAGCUUGAGUUGAAUUUAUUUUGUUACAAUUGAAAGCACUGGGAACAUUAGCAUUUUUUUUUAGUUCUUGGUUAUUGCAAUUUAUAAUGUUAUACAGAACUGUGUACCUCACAAUGCAUUCAUUAUGACAUUCUAUGAACCAUUUGAUUGACUGUUGCUUGUAAACAACAGGAUGAUGAGGAGUCUUUGAUGCAAGGAGCACGGGAAGCUGAAAUGAUGAUCGUAGAGGCCUAUGCAGCCCUUCUUCUUGCGUUUCUUUCAACUGAAAGGUUUGCAAUCUGUAGUUGAUGGAUUGUUUUAUUAAUGUCUAACUACUUGCAUAAUGUCAGCACUAUGGCAUUUAACUUAUACUGUCUGUUAACUGCAACAGCAUGAAGGUUCGUGGAGCCAUUUCCAGCUGCCUUCCAAAUAACAGCUUAAAAAUCCUUGUGCCUGCGCUAGAGAAAUUUGUGGUAUGUCUCCAUAAUUCUUGAACUACUGUUUGUAUAAAAAAGUAUGGAUGAUCUUUGAAUUUACUCCAUUUUGGAAAUCAUUAAUUUUUCAUGUCUGAGGUGUGAGGUGUCACCAUAAUUGUACUUCCCAUCCAGGAAGCCUGUUUGCAAAAUUUCACAUAAAUAAGGAAAAUUUGAACUUGUUUCAAGUUUGAAUAGUAACAGGAUGUUUUAUUUCUCAACUGGAGAAAACAUUCCGGCUGGGACUUUUAACCCUUAAAAUGCUAGUGUGCUCCCACUGUAAGAUUGUCUGCUGUCACAUUUGAAACUUUGUGUAAUACCUUUAUCACUACCCUUGAGAUGAGAGACACAAUCUGGUACCGAGUUAAGUUAUUGAUAACUCCCAGUUGAAGUACAGCACCAAAUCAAGCCAACAUGUUGGCUACGUAAUUAAAUGUUCUCUUACAACAGAUAGAGGUAAAAAGGGAGUUUCUAAGUAUCUAACCUCUUACCCUCUUGGCUUAGCACUCCAGGCACAACUCUUUCUUAACUUGCGAUUUAGGACUUGACUCUGAGAAUAUUGUGUGCCCACACUGGUUGAGUGCAUGCCUAUCUAAGCUGCUAGUUUUUGUUCAUUUUGAUUAACUCUGAAGCUGCCUGAGCUUAUUCUGCUUCCAUCAUUUAUUAAUCCAUCAUGUUUCUCUUUCAGUCGUUCCAUCUGCAGCUCAAUAUGAUCACAGAGGAAACGCACUCAGCUGUCACAGAAGUUAUCGAGAAAUGCAAACUUUCAUAGAAAGAGUGAAGAGGGGCCUGUACAGAUCAACUAACAACCUCUUUGCAGCAAAAAAGCAUACACACAAGUGUUUGUCUUGGCCUGGGGCUCUGCAGAUGGACUGAUACUCUGACCUGCAGUGGGCUUGGGAGCUAACAAUGGUUUCAUUCUUUUUUUUUUUAUGUUUUCCCCUGUUGUUUUUGCUCAUGUUUUGUGUAAUUUUUUCUUCUCAUCUAGCGAUGUUAUUUUUCUUAGCAUGAUGGGAGUAGCCCUCCUUUUUUUUUUCUCUAAUUAAGUGUAAAGUAGCAACAGCAUAGGGAUGAAUGUUCAGUGUAGUGUGUGGUGUUUCAGUUAUUCAGAGACGUCCAUACAGUUUGUACCUUGUGACCACACGUCUUAAUCUGAUGAAGCUUAGAAUAAAUCACAUGUUAGCAAUGCAAUAUCAUCUGCGUCUUCUCUCACUUUGGUGGCCAUCAAAUUCUGUGUAGAAGUGUAUGGUUGGUGUGCUGUUGCAAAUGCCGUAUUCCGCUCUGUUUUGUGGAAGUUAAGAAGUCCCUAGUUGAAAUACCGAUUUUUCAUGAUCUCGGAGAUUGAUGCAACUCUGAUUGCAGCAUUUCUUUUUAUUAGAAUGUACACUCCAUGCUAUCAUGAUGUUUAUUGUUUAGUACUACAAGAUUUGGUUAACCAUUAUUUUAAUAUCAUAAUAAUUUUAUAAAAUCUUGGAGUAACAAGUUCAUAAUACAUGAUAGCAUAACUUUUUGAGGCUAGUCUAUGUAUAUUGUCUCCUUUGUUUUUAAACUAAGCACUCAAUAAAUUAUUGAUGGCUGUAAUUUUCUGAAGGUUUCACCGGUUUCGGCCCGUGCUUUAUAAAUAGCUUCGGCACAAAAGACAAAACGGUCCCUCCAACACAUAAAUGGUUGAGUUUACGUUUUCAUUAUCUUUGGUAAAAUCAAGUCCACCACGUAGACACUCAUAACAAAAGUUUGAAUAUCCUCAGAAAUUUUGACUUGAGUCUAUCUUACCUUUGAUAUCGGACAUCCAACCCUCCCUCCCUCCCUGAACUUUAUAUUAUUCAUAUUACACCUGAACUUUAUAUUAUUCAUAUUACACCCUGAAGUGGUUUUCAUUUAAUUGCAUACAUGCUGAAAUAGUUUGACAACGUGAGAUGCACAAAAUCUACACGUUCGUCUUAAGUUGCAAUUCAUUUUAUCCCUUUUCUUUUUCUCUCUUACAUAGGAAUAUCAAUAGUACUAAUUCACAUUACAAUAUAGUAUAAAUUGGUGAUCGAUUAUUGGCAAUAUACUAUAUUAAAUAUUCAAAACUAGUCAUUUAAGCUGCCAAAUAAGUAAACCACUAUCGAAAACCACAAUAUAAAUGGCAUUACAAAACUUAGGGGGUUGAAUAUCCAAUUUUAAAGUUCAUGAUGCUAGAGGAAUUUCUAUCAAAAGUUUAUGGGUACAUAUGGACUUUUUCCUUUUUAAAAGAAGCUAUUCUUAUCGUAAACGUUAAAUAUUUUUUGUACUUUAUUUUUUAUGAUUGAAAAAAAAACUUAGUUUUCAAAAUGAUUGGUCUGUAUACAAGCAUCAAUUAGACUUAAUAAAUUCAUCUAACAGUUUCCUGGCAGAAACUGUAAUUUGUUUUUGUUAUUAGACUACGUUUAUUAUUUCAAAUGUGUGUACGUAUAUCCGAUGUGACAACCAAACCCAAAAAUUUUCCCUAACUCCAUGAGGCCUUACAGAUAUAUUUGAUGGGUGUAAAGUUUUUUAAGUUCUUUGGGUGCAAAGUUUUUAAAGUAUACGGACACACAUUUGAAGUAUUAAAUAUAGACAAAUAACAAAACAUAUUACAUAUUCUGCCUGUAAACAACGAGACAAAUUUAUUAAGCCUAAUUAAUCUGUCAUUAGCAAACGUUUACUGCAGCAUCACAUUGUCAAAUCAUAGCGUAAUUAGGCUCAAAAAUAUUCGUCUCGUAAUUUACAUGCAAACUGUGUAAUUGGUUUUUUUUUUCGUCAACAUUUAAUACUCCAUGCAUGUCCAAAUAUUUGAUGCGAUCUUUUUGGCCAAAUUUUGUUGGAAUCUAAACAAGGAUCAAAUUUGCUGAAUUUUUCCAGACGUCACGGCUUGUUCAUCCAUCGUUCGCAUCGCGAUUCGCCACCGACGCCUUGGUUUCCAACGAAUUUUAUCAUCCGCUUAAAUACAUCCAAAGCUCUCCAUCGCCAUCGGCGGCCAACGGCGACCGCUCCGCUCUACCCAAUCCACCCAUCCACUCGCCGCCGCCCCCUGAUCCAAAGCCUCCGCCGCGCCGCCGUCGAGAGGAGGAGGAGGAGGAGGAGGAGGAGGAGGAGGCGUGAGCCCCUAUGGGGACCCUCCUCCGGCCGCGUCCGCUCGCCCACGCCGCCGGCGCCGGCGACGCCACGCCGUCGACCGCGCACGGUAGCCACGCGCCUCUCGAGAGGCCCCCCCCCCGCCGCUCGCUGAUCUCUCUUCUCAUCCUGUUUGGGUUUGGGUUUGUGAUUUGGGUGUUUUUUUUUUUCCGCAGCGGUGGUGGUGAGCGGUGGCCGCGGCCGUGGCGUGGAGUGCCAGCCGCAUCGGGUGCGCCGCCGCCCGGGUCCGCAGGUUGCGGUGGCGACGGCGAGCUGGAGGAGGCGGAGGGAGACCGUGGUGAGAUCGGAUUUCGCCGCUGGUGGUGCCGCUACCAUGGGGGAUUCGCCGCAGGCGCUCUCAGGUUUGCAGCCUCCUCCACUCUCUUCUCGCAAAAUGUGUUGCUAUGUUCCUCUCGCUGGGCUGGCCUCAUAGCCAUUAAUGUAGUUUGCUGGAACAUUACAUUCGGAACGUUGUUGGCAAUUGCUUGACAAAAUGUGGAAUUGUGGAGGGGAGAAAAAUCGUUUGAACCUGCAGUGACAAAAUUGCCAUCUAUAAUUUUAAAACUGAAGGUGUGGAAAUCAAACAUAAUCAUUGCCAGCACAUCAUUCUUGUUAACCACCUUGACAUAUUGUUGGCUUAUAACAGUUAGCUCCACACCAACUUGGAAGGUGUCAAUGGAAUGUAAGUAUAAAUUGAGGAUAACUGGCAGUUGUUAAGACUUUCUACAGAACUUGUAGCAGCUAAAACUAGCUAUUGUGCAUUUAUGUUUCAUGGAAUUUGAGCGGCAAUGGAUAUUUCUUACUAAGACGUAUAAUGCAAAACAAAAAAAAAAAAAACUAUGUCUAUGCAGUUUACAUGUAAUGUGCGGAUGCAAAUAAAAUCAUGUUCAUGGACAAACUAAUGGGAUUCAUACCAAAUUCCAGAAUUGCAUUUCUUAUGUGGUUACUUUUGUUUGUUGAUUUGGUUACCAGACAUCGAUGUGGUUUCAAGGGUCAGAGGGGUUUGCUUCUACGCGGUGACUGCAGUUGCAGCAAUCUUUUUGUUUGUCGCCAUGGUUGUGGUUCAUCCACUUGUGCUCCUAUUUGACCGAUACCGGAGGAGAGCUCAGCACUACAUUGCAAAGAUUUGGGCAACUCUGACAAUUUCCAUGUUCUACAAGCUUGACGUCGAGGGAAUGGAGAACCUGCCACCGAAUAGUAGCCCUGCUGUCUAUGUUGCGAACCAUCAGAGUUUCUUGGAUAUCUAUACCCUUCUAACUCUAGGAAGGUGUUUCAAGUUUAUAAGCAAGACAAGUAUAUUUAUGUUCCCAAUUAUUGGAUGGGCAAUGUAUCUCUUAGGAGUAAUUCCUUUGCGGCGUAUGGACAGCAGGAGCCAGCUGGUAUGGCUGUAGUCUCAUCCCUGCUUUCUUAAGUAGACAUAUAUACAUUUACAGUAUUUGGUAAAUAAACAAGAUUUUAUGAAUCAUAUAUGAUUUUGGGGAAAACACAAAACUCUCUUUGUUGGCUGCCUUGAACAUAGUUCUGUUCACACAGUUAUAGCACCUUCUUUAAAAUGAAGAACUUUGUUGCAUACACAUAAGGCCAAACCACAUAAUGAAUUUUGUUUAUUUCUAUCUUUGAAUGUUAGCAUCGUUUUUGUUUAAUGCAUGAUCGCCUUCCUAUAUAUUUGUAGUAUGUCAACAUUGUAUUCCAUGCUGAGCAUAACAAAUGGUUUGUUAAAAUUCAGGACUGUCUUAAACGGUGUGUGGAUUUGGUGAAAAAAGGAGCAUCUGUAUUUUUCUUUCCAGAGGGGACUAGAAGCAAAGAUGGAAAGCUAGGUGCAUUUAAGGUUCAGUAACCAAACUUAGGUUACAUUACAUCUAAUGAGAUUUUUAUAUUCAGUAUAUAAUGUUAACCUUCUCAUGGUGUACUGACGUGGUUAUAAAUGUCCCCAGAGAGGUGCAUUCAGUGUGGCUACAAAGACCGGUGCUCCUGUGAUACCUAUUACUCUUCUCGGGACAGGGAAACUGAUGCCUUCUGGAAUGGAAGGCAUCCUUAAUUCAGGUUCAGUAAAGCUCAUUAUUCACCAUCCAAUUGAAGGGAAUGAUGCUGAGAAAUUAUGUUCUGAAGCAAGGAAGGUGAUAGCUGACACUCUUAUUCUAAACGGUUAUGGAGUGCACUAAAGAAAGAUGGUGUUUUUUUUUAUUAUAUGGAACCUAUUCAAAGGCACAGACAGGCUUUCAAGGCUAAGCUUGUUACAGGUACUGAUACUAGUUACUAAUUACUUUCGUAAUCAGUAUAAAUAAGCUUGUGUAGUGUAAUGGCAUUGUACAUUUCUGCACUUGGUAAAUUUACAGAAGAGGCAAGUAAUAUUUUAGAGGAUUGAGUUUAUUCACCCAGUCAUAUAGUUGAAGAGGCAAGUAACCUGUAAGAGAGGACUGAACAUUAACACCUCUUGUUCGAUUAAAAAUGACCAAAGAGCAUCAAACAUGUAUUCGAGGCUGUUACUUUAGAUAUGGCCCAUUAAUUUGUUUAGUUGUCUAUGUACAUCCUAGUUGGUGUAAAUGCCAGUUACCAUUUCUAUGAUCUAAAACAAUCAACUCUUUUAGUAUAUUUUCAAAAACGAAAAUUCAGUACACAUGUAUGAAUCUUAAUAUUCUUCUCUAGCUCGUUACAAAAGCAACAAAGGCACCGUGUCAGCUGGUUCACAUUAGCUAGUUUGUACUUAGCAUUAUCCACUAGCACCUUAUUUUCAUGCAUAUCAUGCUAAUUUGCUUGCCCACGUUGAGUGGGAAUUUUUUUCAUGUUUUAUAAUUUAUAUAUGUUUUAGACUUCUAGUCCACAAUUUAUGUACUUCAUGUUCCUGAGCCUCUAGUAUGGCUGAUAGCAGACUAGGUGCUGAGUGCUGUCCUUUUUUGCAGACUGAAGAGAGAAGAAAUACAAGACUGUCCAUUGUUAGUCAGAUUUGUAAAAAUAGACUCUGAUGUAGUUUACUUUUGCCCCUAUUUUAUUUUUAACAAUACAAAUAUAUAACAGAUCCUAAGAACUUAUCUUAAUUUAGGAGAAGUUGCUCGUUUCAUUAAAUUAAAUUGUGAAGUAAAAAUGUGUGCUCGAGUCUGUCAAUGCAAUCCUGUGUUCUUGUUUGAAGAUAUGGUGUAGGGCAGGCCAGGAUUGAACACUGAAUGGUAAGACUGCUUCUGCCUUCAGACGUUAUUGCUAAAUUUUUAGCUACUUGCAGUUAGUGCUGCCACGCCGAUUAAGCAGUAGAACAAAGUAGUUUUGUCGUGCACAAAUGAGUUAUAUUUCAUUGGAAAUCGAAGCGAAAACGAAUCAAAAGUUAGAAGAAAAGGGGAAACUUGGUAAUUACUCCAUAAAGAGAGUGCAUUUUAUUGGUAAGAUGGUAUCCGGAAGCUGUGAGCUCCGGGCUGUAUGUAUUCUGGCAAAUUUGAUAUGAGAUGCUCGAUUAUUGGCUUAAGUUAGCGAUAUCAAAUUUGGGGAAGCACCAAAGGAAUUAUUGUGAAGGAGUUAUGGGUGCGUGACGUUAUCUGCUAGGUUCAAAUCCUUGUGGCUAUGAAUAUUUAUCUGCUAGGUUCAAAUCCUAGUGACUAUGAAUAUUAAUGGGUAAGGUAAGGGAUUUAUUGUUAAUUUUAGUUUCUUUAAGAUUGUGCCAUCGGACGCCAUUCGGUAACUGUAAUAAUGCUUUGUAUUGGAUUCACUUGUGUUACAUGCACGCACUAAACAUGUGCUUUACCUUUUCAUCUGUUUUUGCGUUCUGGGCUAGAAACUCAAACGUUGAAUUUUCCAUGGUCUGCUCAACUUGACAAUUACUGCGUGUCAAGCGAUCUUAUACGCAUACUAUGCGCACAAGUGAUUGUAUACGGAUAUGAUGACAGUAUAACGUGUGAUAUUGAUUUUUUUAAUAAAAAAAUGAUGUUCCUUUCCUUGAUGAAGGAACAAAGACUUUUUUUAAAAGAAGGGUAUUACUAAAAACAAAAAUGACAAAAACAAAAUAUCAGUGCACAUGGCAAGUGUGCUCGGCAAUUUUUUCUCUGUACUUUAAACAAAAAUACUUCUAUAUGUUCUUUUUUAUAAGGGUGGCACAAAUCUUUUAAAUGAGCCAAAUAUCUACAUUGGAUUUAUUAAAAACUGUAUAAAUUAUAAUUUAUACUCUGAAAGGUUGUGUGCAUCUCUCUUGGAGAAAAUGUAUAAGUUGCAAACAAACAUUAAUCCACGUUAUGUAACUUUUUUUCGCCGGAAAGGCCGAAGGAGGCCUGACGGAGCGUGGGGCUCCUCACCGGGAGACCGCGCAGGCCCCCCUUUGCCGGUUCGGCCGGGGACUCAGGGUGAAAUUCUAAGCUCUCUGUAUGUGGAAGGUUCGCGACCGUCGAAAGAGCAUAAGACACGGGCGAUGUAUACAGGUUCGGGCCGCUGAGAAGCGUAAUACCCUACUCCUGUGUUUUGGGGGGAUCUGUGUAUGAAGGAGCUACAAAGUAUGAGCCAGCCUCUCCCUUGUUCUGGGUUCCGAAUCUGGAAAAGUCCAGUCCAGUCCCCCCCUCUAAGUGGGCAAGGUCCUCCUUUUAUAUCUUAAGGGGAUACCACAUGCACCAUCUCCCUCCUUUCUGUGGGGACUUACCCUACCUUUUCAUAAAUGGACGGAGAUUUGUAUAGUUGCCGUCCGAAUGACCUUCUGAUAGGACGGCCCAUACCUACCUCCACUUCCGCCGAAAGCAGGUGCGACGUGGGAUUAUGGCUGUCUGCUGACGACAUGACCAGUGUCAGACUGGUCACAAAUUGCUCAUUCCUGUCCACCACGCGUCAGUUUAGCAAUCUACAUGUUGGCCCUUCUUCACACAACAUCUUGCCUGUAAUGGUUAGGAUGAAGCCUGGCAUAUAUCUAACCAGGACUAACGUGCCAUCUCUAGGAGGUAACACGCUAGCUCCAGCUGGGGACGAGCGCCUAGAAGCCCUCGUCCUGACGGGAUGGGGCGAGGCGUGCGUCAGAUCGCCUGUCGCCACCUAACCCGCGAUCUGACCGGUCUGUGACUGGUCACAGACCGGAUAAACGAGUGCACUGCACUUCGUUACAUGCCGCGUGACACGCUCAGCCAAACCGCAAUAAAUGUGGUUAGGUGAGCCCCGCUGUGCUCACCUAACCCAUACACGCGGAGCAAAAACCCACGAGGGGUCGGGGCGCCUCGGCCCUCGGGGCCGAGGCGGGUGCGGUCCGACCCCCUCGGGGGGACUAAGAGGAGGGCGAACACAUCACCCUCGGGCCCGACGUCCCCCGAGGGUGCCAGGCCACGUGGGCGAUUGUGUCUGCCUCAAACCUCUAGUCAUGAUACUCCUGAUCCCAUGUCACCGACAGUAGCCCCCGGCGUUAUGCCAGGGCGAUCGCCCUCUUUAAGGGAAGCGGUCGGGCGUGACGCCACUCCUAAGGCCUGGUGACAGGUGGGACCGGUCUCCACAAUUGGGCAGAAACCCAACGGUCACAAAUCACGCACAUCGGCAAUGGUAACUCUACUAUCAAUAAUGAGCGGUCUCUUCAAGACUGCCACAUUACUCGAGUAGCACACGAAUCUGGACAUGGCGAUUCGUUUCGUCUGGAGAUAUGGUAACGUCGCUUUGGUCGGCGAGCGUAAUUAACGCGCGCACGAUAUGAUCUAUCUCGACUGCCACAACCGCAUAUCCACCUCAUGCGCCGCAAGCGGGCGAAUGGGAUUAGUGGAAGCGUGGGCGCGAGAAACGAGGGGGCGAAAUAGUGGGCGCGAGAAGCGAGGAGCCGGGCACAGCGUUGGCAAGAGUAUAAAGGCACUGAGGAAAGGAUCUGUUUCCUUCCUUUCGCCAUCAUUUCCCUUGUCUUCGCCGCUUGCGCCCUAACUCCUUCUUUCCUGUGCUCUACUUUCGCCACACGCGCUCGCUCUCAAUCUUCUCUUCCUCCGGCGCCAUGGCACGGGGCUCCGCUCUGCUCGAUGGUAGCGUGCUGCCGCCUUCCCGCAUCGUGAGCGAGAGGCAGGCUGGGCUGCCGCGCCGCUUCAUGCCGGAAUCUGCCACCGGCCGGGAGAUAGUCACGCUGGGUGAGGGACGCCCGGCGCCAGACUACCCGGGGCGGUCCGUCUUCUUUCUCCCCUUUGCAAUGGCAGGGCUGGUUCCGCCAUUUUCUUCUUUCUUCAUGGAUGUUCUGAAGUUCUACGAUCUCCAGAUGGCGCACCUCACCCCCAACGCGGUGAUGACAUUGGCCAUCUUCGCGCAUCUGUGCGAGAUGUUCAUUGGGGUGCGCCCAUCUCUUCGGCUGUUCCGGUGGUUCUUCACCGUGCAGUCGGUGUCGCCGCCAUCGGUAGUUGGUGGCUGCUACUUCCAGCCAUGGGGGCCGGUGCUGAAUCGCUACAUCCCCUGCGCCCUCCGCAAGAAGUGGGACGACUGGAAGAGCGACUGGUUCUACACCCCCCUCGCCGACGAAGCGCGCCUCUGACUUCCGAGCCAGCCCCCGGCGCAGGCCUCCAGCUGGCGGGCGCCGGUAGAUCUGGGGGAUGGCUAUGACGCCGUCCUCGACCGCCUGGCGGGCCUACGAUCCCAGGGGCUCACAGGGGCCAUGGUGUACGGCGACUACCUCCGUCGUCGGAUUGCGCCGCUCCAGCGGCGCGCUCGGGGCGCCUGGGAGUACACCGGGUCCGAAGACUACAUGAGGACCCACCAGGGAGUCAGAUGGGACUGGGCUCCUGAGGAUUUCAAGAUAGUGGUCCAACGGGUGCUGAAUCUCAACUCCAUGGAGGCGUCCCUCAUUCCCCAAGGAAUCCUCCCUCUCUGCAGCGAUCCAGACCGCGCCUCCAUCCUGACCAUUAUGACGGCGGUCGGGGCCUCAGAGGAGUGAGCUCCAAAGGGCCACGACGGCGCAGGCGGGAGCCGUAGGGGGGAUCAAUCUACCCCGGGAGGGGGUCGUGCUUCUGGGUCUCGCGACGGAGGCCCGAGGAGCAGCCGCCCUGCCGACGCCCGGGGGAAGAGGAAGCAGGGAGGAACACCUCCCCCAUCUCCUCCCCGAGGGGGCGGGGCGGUGCGUGCCAACAGCAGGCGCCCGGAGGGGGCCGCGCCGACAUCGCAGCCCGAGGGGGAGCGCAAGAAGAAGCGGCUCCGCAAGAUGGGGGAGACAGAACCAUCUCGGGGAAACCUUAUUUCCCCUCCAAAGUGGUCGUUUAACCGACCCCCUCGCAGGUUCGUCUCUCACCCAUCGUGGCUGUAUUCAUUCUCUCAACGCGAGUUUUCACUCACCCAUCUUGUUCGUCUUCUGGUCUUUUCUUCUGUUUCAGCGAGAUCCCGUCGCGUCCCUCCCGCCAUUCCAAGUCCGGCCAGUCUGAGGCCGAGGAUCCGGCGGCCGCAGAGGCCCGGAGGCGGGAAUCUGACCGGCGAGAGGCCGCGGAUCGCCUACGGGAAGCCGAGGAGGCCGCCCAGGAGGCCGCCCGGGCUCGCCAGGGCGAGGAAACCGCUCGGGAGGAGGCCGCCCGGGCCCGCCAGGCCGAGGAAGCCGCUCGGGAGGAGGCCGCCCGAGCCCACCAGGCCGAGGAAGCCGCUCGGGAGAAAGCCGGAUUUCGCCAGGACGAGGCAAUGGCGACUUCCGAGGCAGCUCGCGAUGAGGUCGCGGGCGCGUCGCUUGAGCCCGCUUCCUCGGGCGACGCUCAGGCGACAACUUCCGGGGCAGCUGGCGACGAGGCUGCGGGCGCGUCGCUUGGGCCCACUCCCUCAGGCGACGCCCAGGACCAACCAGGUCUGAGGGACAUCCCCGAGUCCGGCACUUCCAUCGGCGGCCCGAGCCGCGUGGCAUCCUCUCCAAGGCGGCUCUUCCCCACGCCUUCUAUCGCCCCGCUGAGCGCAGAGCCCCUUCUGCAGGCCUUGGCCGCCGCAAACAUCGCGGUGUUGGACGGGCUUAGUGCCCAGGUGGAGGCCCUGCAAGCAGAGUGGGCGGAGCUCGACGCCGCGUGGGCGCGUGUCGAGGAGGGGCGGCGCUCAGUGGAGGCCAUGGUGGAGGUGGGCCGCAAGGCACACCGCCGGCAUGUCUCGGAGCUUGAAGCCCGUAAGAAGGUGUUGGCGGAAAUCGCCAAGGAAGUGGAGGAGGAGCGGGGGGCUGCCCUCAUUGCCACCAGCGUGAUGAACGAGGCGCAGGACACCCUCCGCCUUCAAUACGGGAGCUGGGAGGCGGAGCUAGGGAAAAAGCUCGACGCCGCCCAGGGGGUGCUUGACGUUGCCGCUGCCCGAGAACAGCGGGCGGGGGAGACCGAAGCGGCGUCCCGACGGCGCGAAGAGACCCUUGAGGCGCGCGCCAUGGCGCUGGAAGAGCGCGCCUGCGUCGUGGAGAGGGAUCUGGCGGACCGCGAGGCCGCCGUCACUAUCCGGGAGGCAACACUGGCGGCGCACGAGUCCGCCUGUGCCGAAGAGGAGUCCGCACUCCGCCUCCACGAGGACGCGCUCACCGAGCGGGAGCGAGCUCUCGAGGAGGCCGAGGCCGCGGCGCAACGGCUGGCGGACAGCCUGUCCCUCCGCGAGGCAGCGCAGGAGGAGCAGGCGCGCCGCACUCUGGAAUGUGUCCGCGCCGAGAGGACCGCACUAAACCAGCGGGCCGCUGACCUCGAGGCGCGGGAGAAGGAGCUGGACGCGAGGGCGCGCAGCGGCGGGGCGGCUGCGGGCGAAAACGACUUAGCCGCCCGCCUCGCUGCUGCCGAACAUACCAUCGCCGAUCUGCAGGGCACGCUAAACUCGUCCGCCGGGGAGGUCGAGGCCCUCCGCUUGGCAGGCGAGGUAGGGCCCGGCAUGCUUUGGGACGCCGUCUCCCGCCUAGAUCGCGCCGGUCGGCAGGUGGGCCUCUGGAGAGGGCGGACCGUAAAGUACGCCGCCAACCAUGGAGGCCUCGCCCAGCGCCUCUCGAAGAUGGCCGGGGCUCUCCAACGGCUCCCCGAGGAGCUCGAGAAGACAAUUAAGUCAUCCUCGAGGGACCUCGCCCAAGGAGCGGUGGAGCUCGUACUGGCGAGUUACCAGGCCAGGGACCCCAAUUUCUCCAUGGAUGGCGCUGGAUGAGUUCCCUCCUGGGACCGAGGACAGCGCGCGCGCAGGUCCGGGAUGCCGCCGACCAUAUCGUCCACAGCUUCGAGGGCUCAGCCCCUCGGCUCGCGUUCGCCCCCAACUCCGACGAGGAGGACAAUGCCGGUGGUGCAGACGACAGUGACGAUGAGGCCGGCGACCCGGGCGUAUCGGAUUGAUCCCCCAAGCCCCCGCCAUUCUUCAGUUUUUUCUUCUUUUCCUUCUUCUAAGGCCUUCGGGCCUCUUUUUUGUAUAGAUCAACUUAAUCUGUAAUCAAAAAUGAAGAAAUUUUUGUGUCAAUUUCAUCUUGCUGUGUGUAUGAGAUGAGGAUGAUCUGUGACGUGGUCCUUUUGCGUCUUAGCUUGAUUAAGGGCUCGUGCCCAGGUCCCAGUCCUCAAAAGGCGUGGGUCGGGGCUAGUGCCUGGGGAGAUCCACAUGUCGAGACUGGCCAGGCCGGGAACGUGGUGACCGAGGGUUAUGGGUGACCCGAUUGUGGGUUUUUGCCGAUUCCCCCCCGGAGUUCACCACGCCCCGGGGCACGGCUCGGUUCUGGGCCCCGUUUGGCGAUUUUAGCCGACCCGAGCCCCCGAGGGCAGGAUUGAGCACGAGUGACCUAUUUCAAGUCAAGAUUCUUCAAAAGGAAAAAAAAACACAGAUACAGCCUUUAGGAAAUUGAAACUGCUUUUAUUGAAAUACUGAAAUAAGAGAAAUAAGAAUGUGCAUGUGUGGCAGCCCCCGGCCAACCCUGCACGCCCGAGGGGGUGCGGGGUUGGCCCGAGCCCGAAACCUGACACCCGACCCCCCCCUCAGGGGUAGAAGCGACGAAGGUGUUCGAUGUUCCACGGGUUAGGCAGCUCAAUGCCGUCGCCCGUGGCCAGCCGUAUGGAGCCCGGCCGGGGGACGCCGACCACUCGAUACGGACCCUCCCACAUUGGUGAGAGCUUGCUCAAUCCAGCACGCGUUUGGACGCGGCGUAGGACGAGGUCGUCGACGCAGAGUGAUCGGGCCCGGACGUGACGCUGAUGGUAGCGCCGCAGGCUCUGCUGGUAGCGCGCGGCUCUGAGGGCCGCGCGUCGCCUUCGCUCUUCCAAGUAGUCGAGGUCAUCUCUGCGAAGCUGAUCUUGAUCAGCCUCGCAGUACAUGGUGGCCCGAGGAGACCUCAGGGUGAGCUCGGAUGGGAGAACCGCUUCCGCGCCGUAGACGAGGAAGAAAGGCGUUUCCCCGGUUGCUCGGCUUGGUGUAGUUCGGUUUGCCCAGAGCACCGCUGGCAACUCCUCGAUCCAUGAAUCGCCGUGCUUCUUGAGUAUGUUGAAGGUCUUGGUUUUAAGGCCUUUGAGGAUUUCUGAAUUGGCGCGCUCCACUUGGCCAUUGCUUCUGGGGUGGGCAGGUGAGGCGAAGCAGAGCUUGAUGCCCAUGUCUUCGCAGUAGUCGCCGAAGAGUUCACUAGUGAAUUGGGUGCCAUUAUCCGUAAUAAUACGGUUAGGCACUCCAAACCGGGCCGUGAUGCCCUUAAUGAAUUUAAGUGCGGAGUGCUUAUCGAUCUUGACGACCGGAUAAGCCUCGGGCCACUUAGUGAACUUGUCGAUCGCGACAUACAGAUACUCAAACCCGCCCGGGGCCCGCCUAAACGGUCCCAGGAUAUCGAGCCCCCAGACAGCAAAUGGCCACGAAAGUGGUAUGGUCUGCAGGGCCUGGGCCGGCUGAUGGAUUUGCUUGGCGUGGAAUUGACACGCUCUACAUCGCCGGACCAGGUCGACCGCAUCAUUGAGAGCUGUCGGCCAAUAGAAACCCUGGCGAAAAGCUUUACCAACCAAGGUGCGCGAGGCGGAGUGGGCUCCGCAUUCGCCUUCAUGGAUAUCGGCAAGAAGCACAACGCCUUGUUCCCGAGGAAUGCACUUCAGGAGGAUUCCAUUAGCCGCGCGCCGAUAGAGGGUCCCUUCUACCAGCACGUAGCGUUUGGAGAUGCGAUGGACGCGUUCACUCCCUUCGCGGUCCUCGGGUAAAGUCUUAUCUGUGAGGUAUGCUUGGAUCUCGGCAAUCCAAGCAAUCAAUCUAAGGGAGCUGGGAGCGCUCCCCUCGGGUCCCGAGGCCUGGACUUCAACGGGCCUCGGGGGCCGGUCAGGCGCGUCCGUCUCCCCUAAGGGGUCGGGUCGCGCCGACGGCUGGGCAAGCCUUUCUUCAAAGGCGCCCGGUGGGGUCUGGGCUCGCGUGGACGCGAGCCGUGAGAGUUCGUCGGCAAUCAUGUUAUCCCGUCUGGGCACAUGCCGAAGCUCAAUCCCGUCAAAAUGGCGCUCCAUACGCCGUACUUGGCGCACGUAGGCGUCCAUCUGCGGGUCAGAGCACCGGUACUCCUUACAGACUUGGUUAACGACCAGCUGGGAGUCGCCUAACACCAGGAGGCGGCGGAUCCCCAGUCCAGCUGCCACUCUGAGUCCGGCAAGGAGUCCCUCGUACUCUGCCAUAUUGUUGGUCGCUCGAAAGUCGAGGCGGACCAAGUAUCUGAGGACGUCUCCGCUCGGAGAGGUCAACGUGACCCCCGCACCGGCGCCCUGAAGAGACAGGGAGCCGUCGAACUGCAUUACCCAGUGGGCGGUGUGAGGCAGCUGCGAGGGGUCCGUGCUGGCCUCGGGGAUUGAGACGGGCUCGGGAGCCGGGGUCCACUCUGCCACAAAAUCGGCGAGAGCCUGGCUCUUGAUAGCGUGGCGUGGUUCAAAGUGCAAAUCGAACUCAGAAAGUUCGAUUGCCCAUUUCACCACCCGUCCUGUACCGUCUCGAUUAUGCAAGAUUUGACCGAGGGGGUAAGACGUAACCACAGUGACCCGAUGCGCCUGGAAAUAAUGGCGCAGUUUCCUCGAGGCCAUCAGAAUAGCGUAAAGCAUCUUCUGGGCCUGAGGGUAUCGGGUUUUGGCGUCCCGGAGGGCCUCACUAACAAAGUAGACGGGCCGCUGCACCUUUCGGUGGGGCCGAUCCUCUUCGCUAGGGGCCGCAUCCCUGGGGCACUCUUCGUCCAAGCAGCCUCGCGGGGCGCACUUGUCUUCUGUGCUGAUGACCUCGGGGUCGGAGGAUAACAGGGGCGGCCUUCCCACAGUGGCUUUGGGGCCGUCCUGGGGGUCAGGGGCUCCUGGCGUCGUCGGACAAGCGGGCAAAGGGCCAACUCCGGUCGUCAGGGGCCUUAGGCCUCCGUUCGGCUCGGGGGCCUCUUCUCCCUGCUCUUUCCCGGGUCGAGUCAGCACAGGGUUAGCCUCGGGGUCAAAGGGCGAUAGGUGCGGCCUUCCCACAGUGGCCUCAGGGCCUUCCUGGGGGUCGGGGGCUCCUAGCACCGUCUGACAAGCGGGCAGAGGGCCAACUCCGGUCGUCGGGGGCCUCGGGCCACCGUUCGGCUCGGGGGCCUCUCCUCCCUGCUCUCUCCCGGGCCAAGUCGGCACAGGGUGGGGAAGCGCGAAAUGAGAAUUGUCCUCAUCGCGCUCCACAACCAAUGCCGCACUAACUACUUGCGGGGUCGCCGCUAAGUAGAGUAGCAAGGGCUCGUCUGGCUCCGGGGCGACCAGAACUGGGGGAGAGCUUAGAUACGCCUUCAACUGGGUGAGGGCAUUUUCAGCUUCCUUCGUCCAGGUAAACGGUCCGGAGCGUUUGAGAAGCUUAAAUAAGGGUAACGCCUUCUCUCCCAGCCUCGAUAUGAACCGACUUAGGGCGGCCAUGCAACCGGUGACGUAUUGCACAUCCCUAAGUUUGCUGGGGGGGCGCAUCCGCUCUAUAGCCCGUAUCUUCUCGGGGUUGGCCUCAAUGCCCCGGGCAGAGACCAAGAACCCGAGAAGCUUGCCCGCAGGUACACCGAACACACACUUAUCGGGGUUUAAUUUUAUGCGGGCGGAGCGGAGACUCUCAAAAGUUUCCGCUAGAUCUAUGAGUAACGUUUCCUGGUUGCGCGUCUUUACAACCAAGUCAUCGACAUAAGCUUCAAUAUUACGUCCUAAUUGGCUACCCAAAGAAAUUCGAGUAGUACGUUGAAAAGUAGGACCUGCAUUCUUUAACCCGAAGGGCAUUGUCGUAUAACAAUAGGUUCCUAUGGGGGUAAUGAACGCAGUUUUUUCCUCAUCCUCCCUAGCCAUGCGAAUCUGAUGGUAACCAGAGUAUGCAUCUAGAAAACACAAAAGGUCGCACCCCGCAGUGGAGUCGACAAUCUGAUCUAUGCGAGGCAGGGGGUAAGGAUCCUUAGGACAUGCCUUGUUAAGGUCGGUGUAGUCGAUGCACAUCCGAAGCUUGCCGUUCGCCUUGGGAACGACCACCGGGUUCGCUAGCCACUCGGCGGGGUUGACGCUGCCAUCAUAUUUUUCGGCGAUGGUGGGCCGGAACCUUGGGGGCCAACGGACAUUCCGAAGACUCGCCACAAAGGCUCUACAGCCGACACCACCAACCGGGGGCACGGAGGGCUGAUUCCCGCGUCCGUGUUGAGGUGACACUCUGGACGAGGAAGCGCCCUCCGUUGCGUGGGCAGCACUUCGGUCAUUACGCCGGCGCUCGAUGCUGGUGCGGGCGUCCGGCCCCCCACGCAGAUCUUUCUGGGUCGAAGGAGUCGACGAAGGAGUGGCGGCCGAAUGGCGAACAGCGGCUGCCGCUCGUCGUGCCCUCCGUCUUGACGACGCGGAGCCGGUGGUAGCAGCACCAGAGGCCUUGGUGGCGGAGGACCGCCCACCAGCAUCUAGGCGCUGCCGUACCGUCAUGACUAAUUUGGCCACGUCGUCCAGCCAUCGUUGGGCUGGAGACUCCGGGUCAGGGACGACAGGCGGGUGACGUAAGAGCGCGCCCGCAGCUUGGAGCGCGCCCUGGGGCGUGCUGCCGUCGCCGUAGACGAGGAGGCGACGCUCCCCAUCUCGCCGUUCUUCUCCAUCGCCCGCGAUCGGUGAAGUCGCGGAUCUUUCGACCCUCUCGAGCGCCUCCCCCCGCUUAGGACUUUGGCGUGGAGGGAGCGGUGGAGUACGAGCUCGACGGCGUGGGUUCGGCUCCCCGUCGUCGCCACUCACACUCGGAGAGAGGUCGUGCGCCUUUGCUUGCUCGGCCAUCAGGCUGAACAGGAAAAGCUUGGCGCACACGGAAGAGUACGAGAGCUCAGAAAAACACACACUGAGUCCCCUACCUGGCGCGCCAGAUGACGGAGCGUGGGGCUCCUCACCGGGAGACCGCGCAGGCCCCCCUUUGCCGGUUCGGCCGGGGACUCAGGGUGAAAUUCUAAGCUCUCUGUAUGUGGAAGGUUCGCGACCGUCGAAAGAGCAUAAGACACGGGCGAUGUAUACAGGUUCGGGCCGCUGAGAAGCGUAAUACCCUACUCCUGUGUUUUGGGGGGAUCUGUGUAUGAAGGAGCUACAAAGUAUGAGCCAGCCUCUCCCUUGUUCUGGGUUCCGAAUCUGGAAAAGUCCAGUCCAGUCCCCCCCUCUAAGUGGGCAAGGUCCUCCUUUUAUAUCUUAAGGGGAUACCACAUGCACCAUCUCCCUCCUUUCUGUGGGGACUUACCCUACCUUUUCAUAAAUGGACGGAGAUUUGUAUAGUUGCCGUCCGAAUGACCUUCUGAUAGGACGGCCCAUACCUACCUCCACUUCCGCCGAAAGCAGGUGCGACGUGGGAUUAUGGCUGUCUGCUGACGACAUGACCAGUGUCAGACUGGUCACAAAUUGCUCAUUCCUGUCCACCACGCGUCAGUUUAGCAAUCUACAUGUUGGCCCUUCUUCACACAACAUCUUGCCUGUAAUGGUUAGGAUGAAGCCUGGCAUAUAUCUAACCAGGACUAACGUGCCAUCUCUAGGAGGUAACACGCUAGCUCCAGCUGGGGACGAGCGCCUAGAAGCCCUCGUCCUGACGGGAUGGGGCGAGGCGUGCGUCAGAUCGCCUGUCGCCACCUAACCCGCGAUCUGACCGGUCUGUGACUGGUCACAGACCGGAUAAACGAGUGCACUGCACUUCGUUACAUGCGGCGUGACACGCUCAGCCAAACCGCAAUAAAUGUGGUUAGGUGAGCCCCGCUGUGCUCACCUAACCCAUACACGCGGAGCAAAAACCCACGAGGGGUCGGGGCGCCUCGGCCCUCGGGGCCGAGGCGGGUGCGGUCCGACCCCCUCGGGGGGACUAAGAGGAGGGCGAACACAUCACCCUCGGGCCCGACGUCCCCCGAGGGUGCCAGGCCACGUGGGCGAUUGUGUCUGCCUCAAACCUCUAGUCAUGAUACUCCUGAUCCCAUGUCAUCGACAAGGCCAUCCGAAUGUAUUAAGGAGUAAAAGUUACAAGAAAAAACACCACAAUGCACCAAGGUGCAUGACCACACACCAUACACUACCCCCAAGCACAAACCACUGAGGGUGAAGCCUAGCACCAAACGACCGCCACUAAGUGUGACCAAACGCCGCUAGGCCUACGGCAGCAACACAUAGAUGAGACUUCGAAAACGAUGCCACCAAGGUGGUCACGACAUGUAGGAUGCUGCCAUCGUCCAUCUAAAAAGAUGUGGUUUUCACCCAGAGAAACUCAUCAAGAAGGGGAGAGGGUAACCCUUGACAGCGCCCCAAGGAGGUUACGACGCCCGAAGGCGUAGCCGCUGCCGGUCCGGUGAACCACCGGACUAGGCUUCCGCCUAGGACCCUAUAGCCUUGAUCGCAGAUCACCGUCCACCACUCAGAACCACCACACAGACAAAAGGUAGCACGUAGCUUCCACCGCACCGCACCGACGCCCCUUCGUCGGCCGACUCCAUCGAACCACCAUCCCUGAGAGCUGGCCCAGGACCCCUCCGUUCCACCACCCGCCGGCCGCCUUGCCAGUUUUGGCCAAAGGAGAACCCGGGACUGGGUGACAUUGCUUCGGCAGCCUGAGCUUCCCCCGCUGGCGAGCUGCUGUCUCAAUCCAACCUAGAAACUCCCCGCAAAAGAAGGGGAUGAGCUCUAGGAAGGGCGAGGGUGCCGACCGGCAACGAGGAAGACAACCCAUCGACUCCAGCUCCCUUUGCACUACCAUCUGGGCCUGCGCCAAUGCCGGAUACGCUGUCGCUCCGGCUCCGGCGCCACCCACCUGCACCCCCUUUGCCUGGUCUCCGCGCCCCUCCUGGCUGCGUCGCGCCGCCCAGCUGGCCGCUAAGGGCACCACGACGGCCGCCCGGCUACCGAGGCCUGGCCGCGCCAUGGGACAGCUCGCGCUGGCACCAGCGAGCCACGGCCGUCGCGCUGUUGCCGGCGCCAGCGAGCACAACCGCCAGCUCCAAGGGCCGAGCAUGCCACUGAGCCGCCGCCGCUGCCGCCCGGGCCGGCUGCACGUCACCGGCGCACACGACCGCACGCCGCCACGCUCCGCCUCCGCGCCCGAGGCAGCCCCAUGCCAUUGCCGCGCACCUCGCCCGCCCGCUGCCGAGCCGCCACCGCGCACCUUGCUGAGCCGCCACCGCCGUCCCUAGCCGCCUCGUGCCGCCGCCACGCCAGAUCCAGGCGCGGGAUGGCCGGAUCCGGCCUUGGGGGCGCCGGAUCCGCCGCCUCCCCACACCGCCACGGCGUCACCACCUCCGACCGCAGUGAGGGCUUCGUCGUUUGCCCCAUCCUCAUCGCGUCGAGGAGGAAGACGCCAAGAAAAAAGGGCCUCGCCGCUGCCUUCCUUGCUCGCUGCCGGCUUCGCCGCCGGCGAGCUCCGGCGGCGGCGAGGUGGGGGAGAAGAAGUGGGGAGUGGGCAGCUAGGGUUUUUUCGCCCCCCAAGCCGCCCGUGCGAGAGCGACGGUGGGGGGGGGGGGGGGGACUUUCCAACCUCUUCCAGUGUUCUAGUUCUCCACGUUAUGUAACUCAAUUUGUUUAACCAUAGAAAGUAAGAAACCUACCAGCGUGUUAAGCUCUCUUUCAUUCCCUUUCUUCUUCCUGGUUUUGCUUCCAUCACAUGUCAAGUGAAGGGUUCUUAACUACCAUUACUCCUACACAUCUAAUUUUUUUCUCAGAUCUUUCGCAGGUAUAUAUUGAUGCUACAUUUUAUGAUCUUAAGAUAAUCUCCUUCACAUUACCCUCUGCUGAAACUUUAGCUUGAACCGUCAUCUUCACCACAAUUUGAGCCCAAUUUGCACAGAGCACAACGAGCAAUAGCUUGCCCUUACGUUCAUUAUUUAGCAUGAACUACUACUAACUACCCAAGAAUCAAUACACCGGUUUAAUAACGCCAUUUUAUCACGUUAAUAUAUGUUUCAUUCAACACACCGGUUUUGGCACAGUUGCAAACUUGCAAUAAAUUCUUUCCUACUUCUCCAUCCCAUAAUAUAACAAAUUGGUAUGUCUCGUCUGGUACUAAGUUGCUAUAUUAUGAGAUGGAGGGAGCACUUCUUUUCUUCCAAAAUAUAAGAAUAUAGUAUUGGAUUAGAUAUUAUCUAGAUUCACGAAUUCGAUUAGGUUGUCUAGAUUUAUAGUUGUAUGUAAUGUAUAAUUCGGUAAUAGGUUAUUACCUCUCGGGAUGGAGGGAGUAGUUUUGACUUUUUUUUUCUUAUAAAUCGCUUUGAUUUUUAUAUUAGUCAAAUUUUAUCGAGUUUAACUAAGUUUAUAGAAAAAAAUUAGCAACAUUUAAGCACCACACUAGUUUCAUUAAAUUUAGCAUGGAAUAUAUUUUGAUAAUAUAUUUGUUCUGUGUUAAAAAUGCUGCUAUAUUUUUCUAUAAACGUAGUCAAAUUUAAAUAAGUUAGACUAAAAAAAAUCAAAACGACUUAUAAUAUGAAAUGGAGGAAGUAGUAGACUAUAACAAAUUUAAACCGUGCUUUGAUUUUAGAGCAUCACUAAUAUGUUAGCAAUAAUCUAUCCCUAAAAUUUAUUUUUUUUCCUAAACUGAAAAUAGGAAGUGGAAAUACUCCUCCAUCUAAGAGAGAGCCUAAAUUCAAUAAAAAACUAAAAAACUAAAGGUGGAUCCCUCUAUUAAACUACCGCAAAAAAUUUAUGUUUUUUUUCUCUUCCACGCGCGCAGAACAGAUAUCUCGAUCAAGUUAGCAUGUAAAAUUUUUAAAGAGAUACCUUAUACGACUCCUUCCGUAUUUCCAAAAGCAAACGGAUUUAAAAUCUGACUCAAAUAAAGAUCUAUAUAUCCAAUUUACAUGACACAUGUUUCGCCGAAUUUUUAUAUUAAUAAUAAUUAAUAUUUUUAAAAUUAAAUUAUUAGCAAUUUGUUUGGAGGAUUUAUCAAAACAGGAUGGACGUUGUUUAUAACAGCGUCUAGACCUAGACGCGCUUGCAAACUGCGGCCACCCUUUUAUCACACAAAUUUUUGACAAUUUGACACUUUCCAAAAAUUAAUUUUAUAAAUUAACCGUGACCAAAACUUAUUUAAAAAUAAUCUUUUUGUUGAGCGCAAAAUCGUAUACUUCAGCGCCAAAUAGCACGGCGCCGACCUCCCCCUUCCCCUCCCCUCUAUCCUCCACUGCUGCCGCCCACCUCUCCGUAUCAGCUGCGUCGCGUUGGUUUCCGCCGGCGCUGCUGCUGCUGCACCAGUCCGCUAGGGCGGGCGGGCAUGGCGCGCCGCGCCGCUUCCCGCGUCCGCGCCGGCGCUGUUGGCGCCCUUCGCUCGGAGGGCUCGACCCAAGGGCGAGGGGGCCGCACGGGGGGCAGUGGCGCCGAGGACGCACGCCACGUGUUCGACGAAUUGCUCCGGCGUGGCAGGGGCGCCUCGAUCUACGGCUUGAACUGCGCCCUCGCCGACGUCGCGCGUCACAGCCCCGCGGCCGCCGUGUCCCGCUACAACCGCAUGGCCCGAGCCGGCGCCGACGAGGUAACUCCCAACUUGUGCACCUACGGCAUUCUCAUCGGUUCCUGCUGCUGCGCGGGCCGCUUGGACCUCGGUUUCGCGGCCUUGGGCAAUGUCAUUAAGAAGGGAUUUAGAGUGGACGCCAUCGCCUUCACUCCUCUGCUCAAGGGCCUCUGUGCUGACAAGAGGACGAGCGACGCAAUGGACAUAGUGCUCCGCAGAAUGACCCAGCUUGGCUGCAUACCAAAUGUCUUCUCCUACAAUAUUCUUCUCAAGGGGCUGUGUGAUGAGAACAGAAGCCAAGAAGCUCUCGAGCUGCUCCAAAUGAUGCCUGAUGAUGGAGGUGACUGCCCACCUGAUGUGGUGUCGUAUACCACUGUCAUCAAUGGCUUCUUCAAGGAGGGGGAUCUGGACAAAGCUUACGGUACAUACCAUGAAAUGCUGGACCGGGGGAUUUUACCAAAUGUUGUUACCUACAGCUCUAUUAUUGCUGCGUUAUGCAAGGCUCAAGCUAUGGACAAAGCCAUGGAGGUACUUACCAGCAUGGUUAAGAAUGGUGUCAUGCCUAAUUGCAGGACGUAUAAUAGUAUCGUGCAUGGGUAUUGCUCUUCAGGGCAGCCGAAAGAGGCUAUUGGAUUUCUCAAAAAGAUGCACAGUGAUGGUGUCGAACCAGAUGUUGUUACUUAUAACUCGCUCAUGGAUUAUCUUUGCAAGAACGGAAGAUGCACGGAAGCUAGAAAGAUGUUCGAUUCUAUGACCAAGAGGGGCCUAAAGCCUGAAAUUACUACCUAUGGUACCCUGCUUCAGGGGUAUGCUACCAAAGGAGCCCUUGUUGAGAUGCAUGGUCUCUUGGAUUUGAUGGUACGAAACGGUAUCCACCCUAAUCAUUAUGUUUUCAGCAUUCUAAUAUGUGCAUACGCUAAACAAGGGAAAGUAGAUCAGGCAAUGCUUGUGUUCAGCAAAAUGAGGCAGCAAGGAUUGAAUCCGGAUACAGUGACCUAUGGAACAGUUAUAGGCAUACUUUGCAAGUCAGGCAGAGUAGAAGAUGCUAUGCGUUAUUUUGAGCAGAUGAUCGAUGAAAGACUAAGCCCUGGCAACAUUGUUUAUAACUCCCUAAUUCAUAGUCUCUGUAUCUUUGACAAAUGGGACAAGGCUAAAGAGUUAAUUCUUGAAAUGUUGGAUCGAGGCAUCUGUCUGGACACUAUUUUCUUUAAUUCAAUAAUUGACAGUCAUUGCAAAGAAGGGAGGGUUAUAGAAUCUGAAAAACUCUUUGACCUGAUGGUACGUAUUGGUGUGAAGCCCGAUAUCAUUACGUACAGUACUCUCAUCGAUGGAUAUUGCUUGGCAGGUAAGAUGGAUGAAGCAACGAAGUUACUUGCCAGCAUGGUCUCAGUUGGAAUGAAACCUGAUUGUGUUACAUAUAAUACUUUGAUUAAUGGCUACUGUAAAAUUAGCAGGAUGGAAGAUGCGUUAGUUCUUUUUAGGGAGAUGGAGAGCAGUGGUGUUAGUCCUGAUAUUAUUACGUAUAAUAUAAUUCUGCAAGGUUUAUUUCAAACCAGAAGAACUGCUGCUGCAAAAGAACUCUAUGUCGGGAUUACCGAAAGUGGAACGCAGCUUGAACUUAGCACAUACAACAUAAUCCUUCAUGGGCUUUGCAAAAACAAUCUCACUGACGAGGCACUUCGAAUGUUUCAGAACCUAUGUUUGACGGAUUUACAGCUGGAGACUAGGACUUUUAACAUUAUGAUUGGUGCAUUGCUUAAAGUUGGCAGAAAUGAUGAAGCCAAGGAUUUGUUUGCAGCUCUCUCGGCUAACGGUUUAGUGCCAGAUGUUAGGACCUACAGUUUAAUGGCAGAAAAUCUUAUAGAGCAGGGGUUGCUAGAAGAAUUGGAUGAUCUAUUUCUUUCAAUGGAGGAGAAUGGCUGUACUGCCAACUCCCGCAUGCUAAAUUCCAUUGUUAGGAAACUGUUACAGAGGGGUGAUAUAACCAGGGCUGGCACUUACCUGUUCAUGAUUGAUGAGAAGCACUUCUCCCUCGAAGCAUCCACUGCUUCCUUGUUUUUAGAUCUUUUGUCUGGGGGAAAAUAUCAAGAAUAUCAUAGGUUUCUCCCUGAAAAAUAUAAGUCCUUUAUAGAAUCUUUGAGCUGCUGAAGCCUUUUGCAGCUUUGAAAUUCUGUGUUGGAGUUCUUUUCUCCUACAGUUGUAUUAGAGGAGGGAUCUUCUCUUUAUGUGUAAAUAGCGAGGUAUGUAUGUCACCUCUCCGAAUUAUUUUUACUCUGGUUCCUAGACGGUAAACAAGCAAUUAUGUUCUGCCUUUGAUGCCAGAAAAAACACAAAAGUUUGUCGUUAUCUCUACUAACGGAUCAUAAAGGAAUUUGUAACUGGAGUUUCAAACUUAAUUUGUCUAGGCAGUAGUUUUGGCAUUAGAUCCAACAUUGUGUAGGAUUCAUUUGUGUGUAUCAAUCUAUAGGGUUUCAUUAAAUUUCGUUAAUGUGUACUGUUUAGGUGUUGAAUAGUUUGACUUGUUUUUUAACUGAACAAAAGAUACUGAAAUCGUUCCAUUCAACAAACACAUGUUCCGUUAAUGAAAUUAUUGUACGUUACCUUUUGUUUUCUUACUCACAAGUGUCCUCUUUUCUUAUAUCCUAUAGAUUGGUACAACAAAUUAUUGAUUCAAUUUUGGUUUUGAACAUUGAUGAUCCUCCCUGCACUAUUGGUGCAGCUGCUCUUCUAUUCAUUUUGUGAAGUGAUGUGAGUACCUCUCAAUCCCAUCCUUAUGCUUCUGUGCAUGCUUCAUUCCAAUUUUUUACGCAUAUCGAUUGUUUUCUUUUAUAUAACAGUCCAUAAAGAUAAUCACAUCAUGACAAAGUUAUUUAUUUCUACAGUAUAGUUAUAUAAGUAUUCACCAGUUUUCCAUGAAUAUUUUGGCAUGUGAUUACAAAGAAGAUUAUUUGAGAAAAUCCAUGCUUUUAUUUCAUCAUUUUGUUUGAAGUUGAACUUUAAUUUAUGGUGUAAAUUUCAGUUAUUAUUGCUAGCAGCUCGUACUCUUUAAUGGUAUAACUUCACUUGUGCUUAUUCUCCAAUAUCUCCCUUCUUGUUGUUCAGGUUCAAGAAAAUCAUUUGUUGGAUUCAGAAUCUGGUGUCCAUUUUCUUCUUAAAUUAUUAAAUCCUCCAGUGAAUCUUGUUGAUUCCAAAGCACCAUCGAUAGGUUCCAAACUUCUUGGAAUCAGUAAAGUUCAAAUGCUUAAUGGAUCAAAUAAGGAUUCUGACUGCAUUUCAGAGGAAAUCCUUUCAAAAGUUGAAGAGAUUCUCUUAAGCUGUCAAGUGAUCAAGUCGCUCGACAAAGAUGACAAGAAAACAACAAGGCCAGAACUGUGUCCAAAGUGGCUUGCUUUGUUGACAAUGGAAAAUGCAUGCUUGUCUGCUGUUUCAGUAGAGGGUAAGUUUUAAUCAAAUUUCUUGGUCAUGAUUUCCCUUUAUGACCAUUAUAUUUAUUUAUAUGAGCCAAAUAAGCAGUUGUCAACUUGUCAUAAGUUACAUAGCACCUAUUUGCAAUAUUCAUGGGUGGUUUGCUUAGCCCUUUUCUUCACCUGCUUUUGAUUGAUGACUUCCAUCUGUGUUGCAGAAUUGAAUUGGAGUAGUGGACUGCACUAGAAGCACCUAUGGCCAUUGUCAUACUAGGAAGGUUUUCCCUUAUCAAAUAUUUGAUUGUUACAGAGACUUCUGACACAGUGUCCAGAGUUGGAGGAAAUUUUAAAGAGACAUUAAGGGAGAUGGGAGGUCUUGAUAGUAUUUUUGACGUUAUGGUGGAUUUUCAUUCAACAUUGGAGGUGAGAUCUCGCUAACAUCGCAUAUUUUACAUUUCCUUUGUUCAACUCUAAUGGAUUGUGCAGGCUUGUUCCUUUUCGCCAUUUUAGCUUUAAUGUGCUUGAAGCCACAUGAAAGUAAUGCUUGUCCAGAUACAUAGCCAAAGGUUGUUAUAUUUUGGGGCAUGGAAAAUGCUUGAGGUAGUAACUAUUUUCAUCAGGACAUGGAAAAUUGGCUGCAACACAAAUUAUGUUGUUUUAUGUUGCAAAAAUAGUUUUUUAAUACUUUUUUAUUCUGCAUGUGGUGUUAGUAUCUUACAGUUCCUCUGAUGAUUAUAUCCCCCACGAUAAUAACACUUGAAACGAUAAUAACACUUGACAUAUCUACACCAAGUGAACAUUAUUCAUUUGGAUGUUACUUUUCCAGCUAUACUUGCUGUUCUUGCAUGUGUAAGCAAGUUUGGAGUAAAUUGCGCAUUAAUUUAAAUGCUUGGUGUUCCUAUCUGUGUACUUUUUAUUCCCCAACUAAUAAUGCAAUCAUAUUACGCUGAUAAACUGAAUAAAUAAAUUAACAAUAUACUUCUGGUGGCAAACCUUGUGUAUCAGAAUCUCAUAAAGGAUACAUCCACUUCAGCUUUGGACCGAAAUGAAGGAACAUCUUUGCAAAGUGCUGCUCUCCUCUUGAAAUGUUUGAAAAUAUUGGAAAAUGCCAUAUUUCUAAGCGAUGAUAACAAGGUAAUGCUCCUUAUAUGUUCUGUUUCAGUUUAGUACCCAUUUCCUUCUUCUGUACUAUCUUCUCUCCUGAUUUGUUCUGUGCAAAAUGUGCAAACAGUGCGACUUUGUAUGUCUGCUUAACAAUUUUCUUUUCUUCCUGAAAAAGCAAUAUGAACUCUUACAUUCAUUUUGCUUCUUGCAGACCCAUUUGCUUAAUAUGAGUAGAAAAUUGAACCCGAAACGCUCCUUGCUUUCUUUUGUUGGUGUCAUUAUCAAUACUAUUGAGUUAUUAUCAGGUAUUUUUCUUAAUAAUACAAUGUGUUCGCUAACACAAUAAAAUGUUUUAAACAUCCAGUAUGUUAAAGUUGCAGUCUGACGCCUAUUUUGUUUUGCUGCAGCUCUUUCAAUACUUCAGAAUUCUUCUGUUGUUUCCAGCUCUACAUAUCCGAAAUCGUCUAAAGUCUCUCAACAGAGUUACUCUGGUAAUAACAAACACCAAUUUUGUUUGAUCAGUUGAUCUCGUUGGCUUUUCUAUGCACUGUCUCAAUAUAGUUUGGUCGCCAUUCAAGUCUCACUACAGAUGUUGAACUUGGCCUGACACCAAAUAUUUAUAAAAUGCUACCUGAUAUUUUUAAUAUUUCAUGUUUCCUGACCCAGAUUAUCUUGUUGGUUCCUCGUAUAAGUUUAAUUAGUGACAUUCUUGAAGCUUUGUUAUGCAGCAGAUGUCAUGGGGGGAACUUCAUUUAAUGAUGGAAAGAGCAAGAACUCGAAAAAAAAAAACUUUUGUCGAACCAGACACGUCAUUGUUGCUUAUCUUCAAAAUCAGAAGUUUCUCAUAUUACUAUAUCUUCUGGUAGUGAUGCUGGUCUGUCACAGAAGGCAUUCAAUUGUUCUCCAUUUAUAUCAAGCAAUGGGGCAUCAAGUGGUUCAUUAGGCGAGAGGCACAGCAAUGGUAGUGGUUUGAAGUUGAAUAUAAAAAAGGAUCGUGGCAAUGCAAAUCCAAUUAGAGGCUCAACUGGAUGGAUUUCAAUAAGAGCGCACAGUUCUGAUGGGAACUCCAGAGAAAUGGCAAAAAGACUCCGUCUAUCUUAAAAUGUAAUCACCGACAGUGGUGGUGGUGAUGACCCUUUUGCAUUUGACCGCCGCGUCGGCGUCGCCACCACGUAAUCGCCCACGUCGCUGCCCCCGCUGCCACGUCGUCGACCGCGCACGGUAAUCACACGCAUCUCGAGGCCGCCGCUAGCUGAUAUCUUCUCAUCCGGUUGAUUUGUGAUUUUGGCGUUUUUGCAGUGGUGAUGGCGGGGGGCGACCGUGGCCGAGGCGUGGAGUGCCAUCCGCAUCAGGGUGUAUCGGCCGCGCUGCUCCGCCCUGGUCCGCAGGCUUUGGCGGCGAGCUGGCGGCGGAGGGAGACUGUGGUGAGAUCGGAUUUCGCCGCUGGUGGUGUCGCUACCAUGGGGGAUUCGCCGCAGGCGCUCUCAGGUUUGCAGCCUCCUCCACUCUCUUCCCUUUUUUAUUUUUUUUUCUCGCAAAAUGUGUUGUGAUGUUCGUCUCGCUGGGCAGGCCUCAUAGCCAUUAAUGUAGUUUGCUGGAACAUUUACAUUUGGAACGUUGUUGGCAAUUGCUUGACAAAAUGUGGAAUUGUGGAGGGGAGAAAAAUCAUUUGAACCUGCAGUGACAAAAUUGCCAUCUCUAAUUUUAAAACUGAAGGUGUGGAAAUCAAACAUAAUCAUUGCCAGCGCAUCAUUCUUGUUAACCACCAUGAUAUAUUGUUGGUUAUAACAGUUAGCUCCACACCAACCUUGAAGGUGUCAAUAGAAUGUUUAGUAUAAAUUGAGGAGAACAGGCAGUUGUUAAGACUUUCUAAAGAACUUGUAGCAGCUAAUACUAGCUAUUGUGCAUUUGUGUUUCAUGGAAUUUGAGCAGCAAUGGAUAUUUCUUACUAAGAUGUAUGAUGCAAAACAAAAAACUAUGUCUAUACAGUUUACAUGUAAUGUGCGGAUGCAAAUAAAAUCAUGUACAUGGACAAACUCAUGGGAUUCAUACCGAAUUCCAGAAUUGCAUUUCUUAUGUGGUUACUUUUGUUGUUGAUUUGGUUACCAGACAUCGAUGUGAUUUCAAGGGUCAGAGGGGUUUGCUUCUACGCGGUGGCUGCAGUUGCAGCAAUCUUUUUGUUUGUCGCCAUGGUUGUGGUUCAUCCACUUGUGCUCCUAUUUGACCGAUACCGGAGGAGAGUUCAGGAAAAAAAUUUGAAAAUACCCAUUUUUUGAAAAAGAUUUACGUUUAUAUACACUAGUAUGAAGAAUUUGCGAAAAUAUAACUAAUCCGCAGAUCGGUUAUGCGGGAGCGCAACAAAAGUAUGGCGUGGCGGCGCGGAGUGGACGGCCGAGGCGUUCGCGCGGAAUGGGGCUGCGGGACCGAGCCAGUCUCGCUUGCCGGUAACGCGGAACCGGUACGCUCCCGCAGCGCCAGUGUGCGGAACCGCGGCGCCAACAUUUUUUUACUGCAUGGCACUGUGUUUAAUACUGUUUGACACUGUUUCUGGUACUGUUUUACACAGUUCCCGGGUCAGUUCCGCACAAUGGAGGCGCGGCACCGACCAUGAACAAUGUGUGAACAGUGCUGCACAGGGUUAAAACAGUGUAUAAACUGCGCUGCACAGUGCUGGAGUCGCUGGCCACUGCGGUUCCGCGUUUUGGAACCGCGGGACCGUCGCGAUUCCGCGUUUUGGAGCUGCCGGACCAUGACGGUUCCGCGCAGGAUCGUCGGUCCCGUAUUUUGAAUCUGCGGAACCGUCGCUGUCCCGCGUUUCCGUUUCGCGGGAUGCGUAUAUUUUUAUAAAACCUCUCCAUGCAUGUAUAUAAACAUAAAUUAUUGAAAAAAUAAGUAUAUUUGCAAAUUUUUUUCGAGAGCUCAGCACUACAUUGCAAAGAUUUGGGCAACUCUGACAAUUUCCAUGUUCUACAAGCUUGACGUCGAGGGAAUGGAGAACCUGCCACCGAAUAGUAGCCCUGCUAUCUAUGUUGCGAACCAUCAGAGUUUUUUGGAUAUCUAUACCCUUCUAACUCUAGGAAGGUGUUUCAAGUUUAUAAGCAAGACAAGUAUAUUUAUGUUCCGAAUUAUUUGAUGGGCAAUGUAUCUCUUAGGAGUAAUUCCUUUGCGGCGUAUGGACAGCAGGAGCCAGCUGGUAUGGCUGUAGUCUCAUCCCUGCUUUCUUAAGUAGACAUAUAUGCAAUUACAGAAUUUGGUAAACAAACAAGAUUUUAUGAAUCAUAUAUGAUUUUGGGGAAAACACCAAACUCUCUUUGGUGGCUGCCUUGAACAUAGUUCUAUUCACACAGUUAUAGCACCUUCUUUAAAAUGAAGAACUUUGUUGCAUACACAUAUGGCCAAACCACAUAAUGAAUUUUGUUUAUUUCUAUCUUUGAAUGUUAGCACCUUAUUUUCAUGCAUAUCAUGCUAAUUUGCUUGCCCACGUUGAGUGGGAAUUUUUUUCCAUGUUUUAUAAUUUAUAUAUGUUCUAGACUUCUAGUCCACAAUUUAUCUACUUCAUGUUCCUGAGCCUCUAGUAUGGCUGGUAGCAGACUAGGUGCUGAGUGCUGUCCAUUUUUGCAGACUGAAGAGAGGAGAAAUACAGGACUGUCCGUUGUUAGUCAGAUUUGUAAAAAUAGACUCUGAUGUAGUUUAUUUUAGCCCCUAUUUUAUAUUUAACAAUACAAAUAUAUAACGUAUCCUAAGAACUUAUCGUAAUUUAGGAGAAGUUGCUCGUUUCAUUAAAUUAAACUGUGAAGUAAAAAUGUGUGCUCGAGUCUGUCAAUGCAAUCCUGUGUUCUUGUUUGAAGAUAUGGUGUAGGGCAGGCUAGGAUCGAACACUGAAUGGUAAGACUGCUUCUGCCUUCAUUUGUGCACUUGGUGCUGCCACGCCGAUUAAGCAGUAGAACAAAGUAAUUUUGUCGUGCACAAAUGAGUUAUAUUUCAUUGAAAAUCGAAGUGAAAAUGAACCAAAAGAUAGAAGAAAAGGGGAAACUUGGUAAUUAUAUACUCCACAAAUUUAUUGGUAAGAUUUGAUAUUAGACGCUCGAUUACUUGGCUUAAGUUAAGGAUAUCAAAUUUGGGGAAGCACCAAAGGAAUUAUUGUGAAGGAGUUGUGGGUGCAUAACGUUAUCUACUAGGUUCAAAUCCUAGUGACUAUGAAUAUUAAUGAGUAAGGUAAGGGAUUUAUUGUUAAUUUUAGUUUCUUUAAGAUUGUGUCCGGGUACACCAUUCGGUAAGUGUAAUAAUGUUUUGUAUUGGAUUCACUUGUGUUACGUGCAUGUGAUUUACCUUUUCAUUUGUUUCUGCGUUCUGGGUAUGAAUUUGACGAGAUUCCAUGGUCAGCUCAACAUAUCAGUUACUGCGUGUCAAGCGAUCUUAUAUGGUAUGCGCACAAGCGAUUGUAUACGGAUAUGACAGUAUAACGUGUGAUAUUGAUACGAUGUUCCUUUCCUUUAUAAAGGAACAAAGACUUUUUUAAAAAAAAGAAGGGGUAUUACUAAAAACCAAAAUGUCAAAAACAAAAUAUCAGUGCACAUGGCAAGUGUGCACGAGCAAUAGCUUGCCCUUACGUUCAUUAUUUAGCAUGUACUACUACUAACUACGCAAAAAUCAAUUCACCGAUUAUUAAACUGUUAACAUCAUUUUAGCACGUUAACAUAUGUUUCAUUCAACACACCGGUUUUGGCACAUUUACAAACUUGCAAAGUUGCAAUACUCCCUUCGUUACAUAGCAUAAGAGAUUUUAGGUGAAUGUGACACAUCUAUCCAAAUUCAUUAUACUAGAAUGUAUCACCGCCUCCACGCCGGGAGGGAGAGCGCCGCCGGUGGAGAAAGGGGGAGGGAGUGGUCGAGGGGAACCAGUAGGGUGCCCUCCCCGUCGCCGCCUCCCCGUGGCCGCGCCGGCGAGACAGGAGGAAGAGGGGGAUAUGGAGCGGCGCCGCCGGUGAGGGCGCGCGCGCGGGGGGGAGCGGCGACGCCGGUGAGGAAGGGAAGGGGAGUGGUGGCUUUGAGAGAGAUAGGGGGGAGGAAAAAUGAUUUUAGAGUUAGGGUUUGGGCUGCUGAGUUUUUAUAUAGAUCGGGAUCAAUCAGGACCGUCCAUCAGAUCGGACAACUACGGCUUCUCCCGCGUUGGGCCGGGUGCCACUCCUAGGUUGCCCACACUAUUGGGCCACAUGUACGCUCCGCGUGAAAUAAGUUCACUUUAGGUCCUUUAAGUUGCCUCUGAAUUGUUCCCAGGCCGGCCGCACUAUUGGGCCACCCCAUAGGCCAUGUGUACGCUCCGCACAGAAUAAUUUCGCUUUAGCUCCCUUAAUUUGUCCCCUCAAACUCCUAAAACCAGUGCAAAUCUUUAAUUUUUAGUUCACCCAUUGCAACUCACGGGCAUAUUUGCUAGUGACAUAUAAUAUGAAACGAAGGAUGUAGCAGACUAUAGAAUUUAAACUGUGCUUUCAUUUUAGAGCAUCACUAACUGUUAUUUAGAUUUUUAUUUAAAUAAAUGCUGAAAUGAUGUUUUUAUUAUGAAAAUUAGCAAUAAAGCUCCCAAAAUUUCAAAAAAAAAUUAAAAGAGAUUUAUUAAUCAUGGUUAAUUUAAUUAAAAAUUAAAUCUAACCAUAUCAUAUUAUUUCACGGUCCGUGAUGAGGAAAUGGCAGCUGCUAUCACUUACGGUGGGAGAGAAGGGGCAUUGUUUAUUUUUAUAACUAUCUCUUAUAACUCCCAUGAAACUAUAAAAUAAAUAUAAUCAUUAUCAUAACAUUAGUUUUUUUUCCAUUGCAACGCAAGGGUAAUUUUUCAGUACAAUAAAAAAAAUAAAAGUGGGCCAUUCUGAACGGAAAUUUCUGGUUUUUUUUCCCAAGAGCGCCGCACACAACUGCGCAAGAGAUCGAUCGCGAUCACCCUGCUCGUCGCCGAUCUCCUACACCAUCCCUGCCAUCUCCUUCCCCUCCACUGGCUGCUGCUGCACCUGUCAGCUAGGGCGGGCAUGGCGCGCCGCGCCGCUUCCCGCGCUGCUGGCGCCCUUCGCUCGGAGGGCUCGAUCCAAGGGCGAGGGGGCCGCGCGGGGGGCAGUGGCGGUGGCGCGGAGGACGCACGCCACGUGUUCGACGAAUUGCUCCGUCGUGGCAUACCAGAUGUCUUCUCCUACAAUAUUCUUCUCAACGGGCUGUGUGAUGAGAACAGAAGCCAAGAAGCUCUCGAGUUACUGCACAUAAUGGCUGAUGAUGGAGGUGACUGCCCACCUGAUGUGGUGUCGUACAGCACCGUCAUCAAUGGCUUCUUCAAGGAGGGGGAUCUGGACAAAAUGCUUGACCAGAGGAUUUCGCCAAAUGUUGUGACCUACAACUCUAUUAUUGCUGCGCUAUGCAAGGCUCAAACUGUGGACAAGGCCAUGGAGGUACUUACCACCAUGGUUAAGAGUGGUGUCAUGCCUGAUUGCAUGACAUAUAAUAGUAUUGUGCAUGGGUUUUGCUCUUCAGGGCAGCCGAAAGAGGCUAUUGUAUUUCUCAAAAAGAUGCGCAGUGAUGGUGUCGAACCAGAUGUUGUUACUUAUAACUCGCUCAUGGAUUAUCUUUGCAAGAACGGAAGAUGCACGGAAGCAAGAAAGAUUUUUGAUUCUAUGACCAAGAGGGGCCUAAAGCCUGAUAUUACUACCUAUGGUACCCUGCUUCAGGGGUAUGCUACCAAAGGAGCCCUUGUUGAGAUGCAUGGUCUCUUGGAUUUGAUGGUACGAAACGGUAUCCACCCUAAUCAUUAUGUUUUCAGCAUUCUAGUAUGUGCAUACGCUAAACAAGAGAAAGUAGAAGAGGCAAUGCUUGUAUUCAGCAAAAUGAGGCAGCAAGGAUUGAAUCCGAAUGCAGUGACCUAUGGAACAGUUAUAGAUGUACUUUGCAAGUCAGGUAGAGUAGAAGAUGCUAUGCUUUAUUUUGAGCAGAUGAUCGAUGAAGGACUAAGACCUGACAGCAUUGUUUAUAACUCCCUAAUUCAUAGUCUCUGUAUCUUUGACAAAUGGGAGAAGGCUGAAGAGUUAUUUCUUGAAAUGUUGGAUCGAGGCAUCUGUCUUAGCACUAUUUUCUUUAAUUCAAUAAUUGACAGUCAUUGCAAAGAAGGGAGGGUUAUAGAAUCUGGAAAACUCUUUGACUUGAUGGUACGAAUUGGUGUGAAGCCCGAUAUCAUUACCCUUGGCAGGUAAGAUGGAUGAAGCAAUGAAGUUACUUUCUGGCAUGGUCUCAGUUGGGUUGAAACCUAAUACUGUUACUUAUAGCACUUUGAUUAAUGGCUACUGCAAAAUUAGUAGGAUGGAAGACGCGUUAGUUCUUUUUAAGGAGAUGGAGAGCAGUGGUGUUAGUCCUGAUAUUAUUACGUAUAACAUAAUUCUGCAAGGUUUAUUUCAAACCAGAAGAACUGCUGCUGCAAAAGAACUCUAUGUCAGGAUUACCGAAAGUGGAAUGCAGAUUGAACUUUGUUAGAUUUAAUUGGAUAAUUAAUCCAUUUAAAUCAAUUAAAUCAAAUAAAUUCCAAGGCUCAUUAUGCUAGGAAUUCAUGUGAAUUCAUUCUUCUAUGGGAUAUCAAUGGGAUGAAGAGUUUUGAGAAUUAAUCCAUUUGAUUAAGGAAUUGGUAACUUAUAUCAAUUAAUCCUAAUUGAUGGAUGGUUGAUGGUUGUGUAGUGGAGGAUGGUUCAUGGCUAGUUGAUGACAAUUAGUUGCUCUAUUCCUCUUCCUAUUCCAUUGGUAACUUACAUCAAUUACUCUUAAUUGAUUGUUGGUUGAUGGUUGUGUAGUGGAGGAUGGUUCAUGGCUAGUUGAUGACAAUUAGUUGCUCCAUUCCUCUUCCUAUUCCAUGACUCUUACUCUUCAUCUUCCAUUCCUCUUAUAAAAUGAGAAUGGAUUUGAUCUCCCGCGAGAAGAAGAAGACACACUUUCAUCCAUUUUCAAAAGCUGUUGCUGCUACGGUAAUCCCAUCCCGACGAGUGUGUGCACACGCGUUGGGAGAGUAGGCCUCCGAAACCACGCGUUGCUGCGACGUUUGCACAGACGGGCGGGCGAUCAGGUUUUUGGGGAGCGCAAGGCGCGACUACUCACUGUUCGUCAACAUCUACUUCAUCUUCACCAACAUGUCGAACACUGGAGACAAGGAGAAGGAGACUCCCGUCAACACCAACGGAGGCAAUACUGCCUCAAACUCCAGCGGAGGACCAUUCUUGGGGUAUAACCUUAUUACAUUAUUUCAAUUAGAAGUUUUACUGUUAAUGUUCAUCGCAAUGUCAACAUUGUGUCAUUAUGUGAUUGUUGAUGCUUAUUCAACGUUAAGCAUGCUCAUGUUGAUUACAUUCACCACUAUCACUGGAUCAAAUCCUAUUGUAAAUAUCAUGUUUAUUAUCUUGUUAUUUUGGAUUAAAAUAUGCCGAAUUAUGACCAAAUUUCCAACAAACUUAGCACAUACAACAUAAUCCUUCAUGGACUUUGCAAAAACAAACUCACUGAUGAUGCACUUCGAAUGUUUCAGAACCUAUGUUUGAUGGAUUUGAAGCUUGAGGCUAGGACUUUCAACAUUAUGAUUGAUGCAUUGCUUAAAGUUGGCAGAAAUGAUGAAGCCAAGGAUUUGUUUGUUGCUUUCUCGUCUAACGGUUUAGUGCCGAAUUAUUGGACGUACAGAUUGAUGGCUGAAAAUAUUAUAGGACAGGGGUUGCUAGAAGAAUUGGAUCAACUCUUUCUUUCAAUGGAGGACAAUGGCUGUACUGUUGACUCUGGCAUGCUAAAUUUCAUUGUUAGGGAACUGUUGCAGAGAGGUGAGAUAACCAGGGCUGGCACUUACCUUUCCAUGAUUGAUGAGAAGCACUUUUCCCUCGAAGCAUCCACUGCUUCCUUGUUUAUAGAUCUUUUGUCUGGGGGAAAAUAUCAAGAAUAUCAUAUAUUUCUCCCUGAAAAAUACAAGUCCUUUAUAGAAUCUUUGAGCUGCUGAAGCAUUUUGCAGCUUUGAAAUUCUGUGUUGGAAUUCUUUUCUCCUACAGUCCGAUUAGAGGAGGGAUCUUCUCUGUAUGUGUAAAUAGCGAGGUAUGUAUGUCACCUCUCCGAAUUAUUUUGACUGUGGUUCCUGGACUGUAAACAAGCUAUUAUCUUCUGGUGUUGAUGCCAGAAAAAACACAAAAGUUUGUCGUUAUCUCUACUAACGGAUCAUAAAGGGGUUUGUAACUGGAGUUUCAAACUUAAGGUAUCUAGGCAGUAGGUAUAUAUUGAUCCUACAUCUUAUGAUCUUAAGAUGAUAUCCUUCUCAUUAUCCUCUGCUGAAACUUUAGCUUGAACCGUCAUCUACACCACAAUUUGAGCCCCUUAGCACAGAGCACAACGAGCAAUAGCUUGCCCUUACGUUCAUUAUUUAGCAUGCACUACUACUAACUACCCAAUAAUCAAUACAUCGGUUAUUAAACUGUUUGUACAGUUUAAUAAUGUCAUUUUAUCACGUUAACAUAUGUUUCAUUCAACACCACACCGGUUUUGGCACAGUUGCAAACUUGCAAUAACAUUUUUACUACUUCUCCGCCCCAUAAUAUAACAAUCUCGUUCCAUACUAUAUUGCUAUAUUACGGGACGGAUGAAGUACUUCUUUCCUUCCAAAAUAUAAGAAUCUAGUACUAGAUUAGAUAUUAUUUGGAUUCACGAAUUUGAUUAGGCUAUCUAGAUUUGUAGUCGUAUGUAAUGUCUAAUUCGGUAAUAGGUUAUUACCUCUUUGGAUGGAGGGAGUAGUUUUUAUUUCGUACUCCCUCUGUUUCAUAUUAUAAGUUGUUUUGACUUUUUUCUUAGUCAAAUUUUAUUGAGUUUGACUAAAUUUAUAGAAAAAAAAUUAGCAACAUUUAAGCACCACAUUAGUUUCAUUAAAUGUAGCAUGGAAUAUAUUUUUAUAAUAUGUUUGUUUUUUUAUUAAAAUGCUACUAUAUUUUUCUAUAAAUGUAGCCAAAUUUAAAGAAGUUUGAUUACGAAAAAAAAUCAAAAUGACAUAUAAUAUGAAACUGAGGAUGUAGCAGACUAUAGCAAAUUUAAACUAUGCUUUUAUUUUAGAGCAUCACCAAAAGAGAUAGCCUAAAUCUUAUCUUAACUAAUUAAAAUAUUCAUAAUUUUCCUUUCGUCACAUUAAAUUUUCGUCCGUAAAUCCGAUUGAAAUCCAACUAGACAAUCCAAAAAAUAGAGAAAAAGAACAGAAAAAAUAAUAAAAAGCACACAAAUCUUAUCUCAAUCCCGCGGGAAGCUGCCGAUGCCGCCGAAUCCGCUCGAGCGCCGCCGCCGCCGCUCACGGGGAACGAUGUCGCUGCUAUCGCACGUGGUAUGGGAGGGCGCCGCCGCCGCUGCUUGGGAGAUAGGAUAUGGAGAGAGAAGGAAAUGUGAGGGAGGGUUAGGUUUUUCCCCAUUCGUAUCUUCAGCGACACGGAGGCGAUCCAAGCUGUCCAUCAGAUCAGACGGCUCAGAACGCCUCCAUCUUCAGGCCGCGCAUGCUUGAUGGGCCGAGGGAAGGCCGGAGGGUCGAACAAACGUAGUCAGAGGAGGAGUUGGAGGAGGUAAAGUAGAAUUUAUUUGCGGGCUGAGAUAGUAAAUGGACUGAAAAUGGCCCAUAGAGAAAUUGGGAAUUUUAUUUAAAUAAAUGUUGAAAAGGUGUUUAUAUUAUCAAAAUUAGAAAUUAAGCUCCGAAAAUUUUAAAAAAUAUUCAAAGAGCAUUAUUAAUCAUGAUUAAUUUAAUAAAAAUUAAAUCCAACCAUAUCAUAUUAUUUCACGGCGCGCAGUAGGAAAAUGCGCAGCUGUUGUCGCUUACGGUGGGAGAGAAGGGACAUUGUUUAUUUUCAGAACUAUCUUUUAUAACUCCCAUGGAACUUUAAAAUAAAUAUAAUCAUUAUUAUAGCAUUAGUUUUUUUCUGUCUUUUUUUUCCCCAAGAGCGCCGCGCAGAAGAGAUCGAUCGCGAUCUCCCUGCCCCGACGUCGCCGGCCGAUCUCUCAUUCUCUCCACGCCCUGCUCGUCGCCGAUCUCCUACACCAUCCCUGCCAUCUCCUCCUUCCCCUCCCCUCUAUCCUCCACUGGUGCCGCCCACCUCUCCGUAUAAGACAAACUGCGUUGCGGCGUUGGUUUCCGCCGGCGCUGCUGCUGCACCUGUCAGCUAGGGCGGGCAUGGCGCGCCGCGCCGCUUCCCGCGCUGUUGGCGCCCUUCGCUCGGACGGCUCGAUCCAAGGGCGAGGAGGCCGCGCGGGGGGCAGUGGCGCCGAGGACGCACGCCACGUGUUCGACGAAUUGCUCCGGCGUGGCAGGGGCGCCUCGAUCUACGGCUUGAACCGCGCCCUCGCCGACGUCGCGCGUCACAGCCCCGCGGCCGCCGUGUCCCGCUACAACCGCAUGGCCCGAGCUGGCGCCGACGAGGUAACUCCCGACUUGUGCACCUACGGCAUUCUCAUCGGUUGCUGCUGCCGCGCGGGCCGCUUGGACCUCGGUUUCGCGGCCUUGGGCAAUGUCAUUAAGAAGGGAUUUAGAGUGGAAGCCAUCACCUUCACUCCUCUGCUCAAGGGCCUCUGUGCCGACAAGAGGACGAGCGACGCAAUGGACAUAGUGCUCCGCAGAAUGACCGAGCUCGGUUGCAUACCAAAUGUCUUCUCCUACAAUAAUCUUCUCAACGGGCUGUGUGAUGAGAACAGAAGCCAAGAAGCUCUCGAGUUGCUGCACAUGAUGGCUGAUGAUCGAGGAGGAGGUAGCCCACCUGAUGUGGUGUCGUAUACCACUGUCAUCAAUGGCUUCUUCAAAGAGGGGGAUUCAGACAAAGCUUACAGUACAUACCAUGAAAUGCUGGACCGGGGGAUUUUACCUGAUGUUGUGACCUACAGCUCUAUUAUUGCUGCGUUAUGCAAGGGUCAAGCUAUGGACAAGCCAUGGAGGUACUUACCACGAUGGUUAAGAAUGGUGUCAUGCCUGAUUGCAUGACAUAUAAUAGUUAUUUCUUGAAAUGUUGGAUCGAGGCAUUUGUCUGGACACUAUUUUCUUUAAUUCAAUAAUUGACAGUCAUUGCAAAGAAGGGAGGGUUAUAGAAUCUGAAAAACUCUUUGACCUGAUGGUACGUAUUGGUGUGAAGCCUGAUAUCAUUACAUACAGUACACUCAUCGAUGGAUAUUGCUUGGCAGGUAAGAUGGAUGAAGCAAUGAAGUUACUUUCUGGCAUGGUCUCAGUUGGGUUGAAACCUAAUACUGUUACUUAUAGCACUUUGAUUAAUGGCUACUGCAAAAUUAGUAGGAUGGAAGACGCGUUAGUUCUUUUUAAGGAGAUGGAGAGCAGUGGUGUUAGUCCUGAUAUUAUUACGUAUAACAUAAUUCUGCAAGGUUUAUUUCAAACCAGAAGAACUGCUGCUGCAAAAGAACUCUAUGUCAGGAUUACCGAAAGUGGAACGCAGAUUGAACUUAGCACAUACAACAUAAUCCUUCAUGGACUUUGCAAAAACAAACUCACUGAUGAUGCACUUCAGAUGUUUCAGAACCUAUGUUUGAUGGAUUUGAAGCUUGAGGCUAGGACUUUCAACAUUAUGAUUGAUGCAUUGCUUAAAGUUGGCAGAAAUGAUGAAGCCAAGGAUUUGUUUGUUGCUUUCUCGUCUAACGGUUUAGUGCCGAAUUAUUGGACGUACAGGUUGAUGGCUGAAAAUAUUAUAGGACAGGGGUUGCUAGAAGAAUUGGAUCAACUCUUUCUUUCAAUGGAGGACAAUGGCUGUACUGUUGACUCUGGCAUGCUAAAUUUCAUUGUUAGGGAACUGUUGCAGAGAGGUGAGAUAACCAGGGCUGGCACUUACCUUUCCAUGAUUGAUGAGAAGCACUUUUCCCUCGAAGCAUCCACUGCUUCCUUGUUUAUAGAUCUUUUGUCUGGGGGAAAAUAUCAAGAAUAUUAUAGGUUUCUCCCUGAAAAAUACAAGUCCUUUAUAGAAUCUUUGAGCUGCUGAAGCAUUUUGCAGCUUUGAAAUUCUGUGUUGGAAUUCUUUUCUCCUACAGUCCUAUUAGAGGAGGGAUCUUCUCUGUAUGUGUAAAUAGCGAGGUAUGUAUGCCACCUCUCCGAAUUAUUUUUACUGUGGUUCCUAGACUGUAAACAAGCAAUUAUGUUAUGCUGUUGAUGCCAGAAAAAACAUAAAAGUUUGUCGUUAUCUCUACUAACGGAUCAUAAAGGGAUUUGUGACUGGAGUUUCAAACUUAAUGUGUCUAGGCAGUAAUUUUGACAUUAGAUCCAAAACAAUUUAUAGGGUUUCAUUAAAUUUCAUCUAUGUGUACUGUUUAGGUGUUGAAUAGUUUGACUUGUUUUUUAACUGAACAAAAGAUAUGUCUGAAGCUUUGUUCUUUACCAAAUGCAGUACUGAUCAUCACAAUAUAUUUUUUAUGGAACAAGAUUGGAUUGUAUAGAAUGGUUUCCGAUCUGAUUAUCUUAUCUCAACGUAUUAUUAUGCACAUGUACUAAUCAUGAAAUAUCUGAUGGAAUGAUGUUUCUAUUUACCUGUGUGAGGCAGCAAGGAGUGAGAUGGAUAACACCACAUACUCCCUCUAUCCUAGAAUAUAAGAAGUUUUAGAGUUGGACACGAUUAUUAAGAAAGUAGGUAGAAGUGAGUAGUGGAGGGUUGUGAUUGCAUGAGUAGUGGAGGUAGGUGGGAAAAGUGAAUGGUGGAGGGUUGUGAUUGGUUGGGAAGAGAAUGUUGGUAGAGAAGUUGUUAUAUUUUGGGGAGUACAUUAUUAUUCUAGAACAAUACUGUUGUGCUCAAGAAGCGUUCCAAAGAUGUUUCACAACCUGUGCUCGAUGGGUUUUGAGCUUAAUCCUGGGACAUUCAGUAUCAUGAUCUGUCUCAUUCUUAAACAUGGAAUAAAGGAUGACAGCAUGAUUUCUUUGUCUCUAUAAUCUUUUGGCUACCCACAGAUAAUAGCUGUAAAUCUAUACUACUUUAAAAGGAGUAGUGGUGGUGGUGAGUGGUGAAUCUGCCACCACCCCACCACCAACUCUCAAAAUUCUGACAUGUGGGAUCACUGUCAAUCCCUUCUCCAAGACAUGUGGGAUCACUGUCAAUCCCUUCUCCAAACCAAUUGUAUGAUAGAACAGUGGAAAUCACGGACAGACCAUGGAGCUCUCAACCAUAAUCAUCCUUGCGAGUUAAUAACAAAUGGAGCGUAAACUUGGCAAGCAAAAAACUCAAAUUAAUUCUAAAAUUAAGCUCUAGGAUUCAAAAUAGAUUUCCUCUCUGCAUUGUGCUGUUAUGAUUUUUAAUUCCGUAACAACGCAAAUGCAUUUUGCUAGUCUUAUAAAGAAGGGUUAAUGCAAAUAUUCUGAUUAAAUGAUUGUAUCUAUGAAGUUUGAAUGCUAGUGGAAGCUCCUUUGACCAUGUUUUGUUGUGCGAGCAUUUAAGAGAGUGAAGAGAAUGCUUCUUUGGUGCUGUUCUGGUAUGGAAGGAUCCACAGAUAAAAUUCAGGUUCUACUGCUUCUCUGCUUGUAAUUUUCAUGAAGCUGCAGUGAAUACCUUGUUGACCACUUGAUCUGUUGCUUUGAAGGAGAAUAUAGUAGUGGCCAAGGUUGGUGACGGUGAUGGUGGCAUGUGAUCCCCCAGAUCUUCAGUGACCCAGAGAGGAGGGGACGGCGCGUGGUGAGCUACAAGGCAUACUCAGUGGAGGGCAAGAUCAAGGCCUCCCGUCCGUAGGGGACUCCGCUGCAUCAAGGCCAACUGCUCCGAACUGAUCAAUUUCUGGUACGGAUCACUUCUCCUUUCCUUUUUUUUUUCACCUUAAGCACUCUCUUGAUUCUUCGCUGCUACCUCCCUUAAUUUCUUUCAAUAUAUUGUGGCACUUGAUCAUGGCGGAGACCCACCUUCCAGUGUGAAUGGAUUUUGUCAAAGAACUAAAUUUAUUCCAUUAGCUUAUUUUCUGAUUACAUGGAAGACAUUCUUUUCUGGAAUAAAUACAGAACUAAAUCCUGUUUCCUGAAUAAAAGUUGUUAGUGUGUGGCAUGGUGCAUUUCCGCGCUUCUAAAUUUUAUAAAACCUGUUCAUUCAAUUUGAACCUGCAUCCAAUCCAAUAUUUUAGGUGCAGACAGGUGCUUGCGGUCAGGUUAAAGAAGUUGGCAAAAAUGCUUCUGAAGAAAGGUUAAUUGUUGUUUCAUCUCAGGAGGUAAUAUGCAGAUGAUUAUUCCAAUUGGCAUUGCCUUGCCAUUUUUAUCACGAGUCUUUACAAUUUUAUAUCCUCCUACAUAUUCUUUCCAGAUUCCAGAUGAUCCAGUGUCUCCAACAAUUGAGGCGCUUAUUUUGCUCCAUAGUAAAGCAAGUACACUUGCUGAGAACCACCAGUUGACAACACGGCUUGUUGUACCAUCAAACAAAGUUGGUUGUAUUCUUGGGGAAGGUGGAAAGGUAAUUACUGAAAUGAGAAGACGGACUGGGGCUGAAAUCCGAGUCUACUCAAAAGCAGAUAAACCUAAGUACCUGUCUUUUGAUGAGGAGCUUGUGCAGGUAAUUUAUUUGGCCAUACCUACACCAGAGAUCCAUAUAUUACUUUUAUAACUGCAGUUUUUACUUGUUAACAUUUCAUUGUGCUUUUACAUUUGUUCCAAGCUUUCAGGUUGCUGGGCUUCCAGCUAUUGAAAGAGGAGCCCUGACAGAGAUUGCUUCGAGGCUUUGAACUAGGACACUCAGAGAUGGAAGUUCUUCCAAUAAUCCGACACCUUUUGCCCCUGUUGAUGGUCCUCCUGUUGAUAUCUUGCCUAACAAGGAAUUCAUGCUAUAUGGACGAUCUGCUAAUAGUCCCCCAUAUGGAGGGCCUGCUAAUGAUCCACCAUAUGGAAGACCUGCCAUUGAUCCACCAUAUGGAAGACCAAUAUCCACAAUAUGGAAGACCUGCCAAUGAUCCACCAUAUAGAAGACCUGUCAAUGAUACAUCAUAUUGAGGGUUGGACAAUGAUGGGCCUCGUGAUCAGGCCCGGUCCUGAGGGGGGUCGAAUGGGGCGAUCGCUCCGGGCCCCCGAUUCCCAGGGCCCCCACCUAUCUGUGCAACGAGUAGUAGCGAUCUUCCAGCGCGCAACGUGAGGCGAUGUUUCUCCGUGAUUUCGCCGGCCUGCAACUGCGAGAUCGCGAGUAUAACGAUCAGCCGAUCGAUCUCAUCUGCCGACUGCCAUGCUGAUGCCACACGCAAGCGCAGCAUAUCAGCCUUAUCUUGGUUGAUCGGCAUGCUGGACGAGCACAUCUGUUGUCGCAUCAACUGCUGACUGCUAUAUAUGUGCUGGUGCUGAAUCGAUCGAUUGUCGUCGCGGAAGUGAAGAACAACCACGGCACUGCUGCCUGCUGGGCUCUAGCCGCCAUCAGUAAGUACGCUAUACUGCCUAUCUAGAUCUAGAUCGAGAUUACAUAGUGGAAUUAUCUGUUUAUAACAAAAUUACAAGGUAUCAAUUGAUAAUUUAAGGUUAUAACCGUACAAACUUCAGUGAUUUGCUGGUUUCACAUUGGUUAGAUUUGUUUCAACUAAUUUGGUACUUCUGUAGCCUUGUAAUUUACGAAUCUAGUAUUAAUAUUUUCUUAAGUAUUAGCCUGUUCCUUGAUAUUAUGCUGUUGAGAAAGUAUGCAAUAGAUAACAAAAACAAGUAGGUGUGUUGAGGAUGCUCAAGAGUAAUACAGCCACUUCAAUAAUUCUGAUAUUAUCAGGACAUCAUCAAUAAUUCUGCGCCUACAAAUCUUCAAAGAAAAUUUUAAUAUAAUGCGUAUGAUUUUUUAAAUACGAAUAUUGAUUGCUAUUUAAAGAUAUUUAUAUUAUAUGGUAAUUAUUAUUUGAAGGUUUAUAAUAAAGGCCUCCGUUUUUAGUUUCACGCUGGGCCUUCAGAAUCUCAGGACCGGCCCUGCUCAUGAUCCUUACACCGUGUAUCCUGUAGAGUACUUCUCUAAAAGAGAGUACCCUAGUGGAAGUAGCAAAGUUGCACCAUCUGCUUCAUACGAAAGAUAUGCAGCAACUACUCGCUUGCCUAAUGGAGAACUGCCCUCAUCUAUUAGUCCUGGUGCCGAUUAUAUGUCCUGCCGUUCUUAUCUUGACCAAGUACCUACUGAUAGGUACUCUAAUAGGGUUACACUACAAUUAGGCCUCUCGAGAGCCGGGAAUAGUAAUGUGCAACAAUUAGGAAUCACCAGAGCUGGAAAUUCCAAUGCUUAUGAUUAUACUGAGGUACAUUUCCAAUGCGUUAGCUUGCC